RNAcentral lists this long non-coding RNA (111828 nucleotides) under Triticum aestivum (bread wheat). RNAcentral describes it as "long non-coding RNA (TAES_LNC006677)". The record is from RNAcentral. Lineage: Eukaryota; Viridiplantae; Streptophyta; Magnoliopsida; Poales; Poaceae.
AAGACUUCAACUUCAUUUGCUAACUGAAAUUUUCUAAAUCAAAGACAAACUGUGUGCAACCAAGUUUCAUGUCAAGAAACCAUUUGUAAAUGUCUCUAACUAAAAUCUAACAGCUGGCAUUCAAAAUGUAAGUUUUUCAUAUAGGUAAAACGAGAGUAUUUGAAAUGUGAUAGCAACGAACUCAAAGUUUUAUCAUUCCUCACAUAAGCCAGAUAUUAAAGCGAGCAGAUAACAAAGGCAACUAGUGAGCUACCGUAGAUUCAUAUAUACUUAUAUCAUAUGGGGCAACCAAUACACUGUAGACAUACAUUUUAUUGAACCAACUGCUUACUCCAAAAGAUCUCUGGAAACUUGGACAUGACAAUCUCAUCUAAGGUCACUAUUUAGCAAAAGUAAUUAACUAGAGAGAAGCUAACCCAGGAUGGGCACUAUACUAUAAAUUUAGCAUGACUUAGUUGCCUUCUUCAACCCAACAUAAGGCAUUUGCCUCGAAAGAUCAAUUGGAACGGAAGGAUAAGCAGUAGCUCAUACCAGGUUGGCGUACUAAAUUUUGCGGGACUUGGCUGCCCUCUCCAACACAUCUACAAUGAUAUCAGGCGAAGAUCUUUUGAGUUGUACAUACCCUUGGCUUGCGACCGCAUCAUUCAUUCUAUUCGAAGAGAGCAUAAAUUCAAUGCAAGCAUCUUUGAGAUUUCUGCAGUUAUGCUGGUCAGCUAGAGCUAAUAUGGUCGCCACAUUCUCAACAUCAAGACUCUUGCAUAGCAUGCGUUCACAUACCAUCUUCAUCCUUUCCAUGGCAUACUUAUCUGCAGCCACAAGUAAGUGCUUAACCAUUUCUCUUUUGUCAUCGUCCUCGAGAUCGUCCAUGGAAGGCAUUGAAUCCGUGUAGAUGAAGUGAAGAAAUGACUUGAAAACAGCAGGCUGCAUGUCGUCAAUAGUUAUGUCCUGUGCCCCUUUGCCCCCCAUCGGCCCGUAGUACUCCGCGUCGAAGACCGCCGACCGUGUCGCAAGCAAAAUCUUGUGAGCAGAAAAAAACUCCCCUUGAACCUUGAAUGUCACGUCUGCUCCUUUCCCCUCUAGCAAUUUUGCAAGAUUAACCGAAAGGUCUGAGGGUGGCACAUGGAUCUCGAGUGUUUCCUUGAUAACACUGACUUCGCACUCGAUCACAAGACAAUCGUUCCGCAGGUACACGGACUCUACUUAAGGGGUGCUCUUCAUGAACUUUAGCAGGCCCCAUGAUGGCCAUUUACCGUUAAACACUCGUGGUUCCUUGAAAGAGUGCACCACAAUGGACUUCUCUUUAACCGGAUCCACAAGCAUAAAGCUGCAGAGCGCCGUCACCUCGGCGUUCUUGGUCAAGAGCUCGAGGUAGACAGAGACAUGGCCUUCGCCCUCCUCGGCAUCGGGGUAGUAGCGGACGCACCAUUCGUAGCCGCCGAUGGAGAAUGCAGGAGAACGGAGGAAUUUGCCUCUAAAAAGGCCCUUGUGCCGGCUGUAGCCGGCGAUCUCGAACGCGACCGUGGCCCGCGCCGUCUCUGCUGUGCACCUUGACGGCACCCUCGCUAUUCAUGCCAUUGUGGGAGUUGGAAGGAGGACGGGGGUCGGCGACGGUUGGAACCCUCGAUUAGGGCCAGCGAUGAUGGCAGAGGCGGUUGCCUCCAAGGGGAGGACUGGGAGGCGGCGGCGCGACGGAAAAGUGAGCGGACGGAUUGAGGAUGGUUCCAGAGCGGAGAGAAGAGGGUUUGGACAAGGGACAGUUAAGUUUUGUGAUGUAGCGGUUUUUUUAGUAGUAUUUUCUUAUGCGGUAAUUGUCUUUGGUUCCUAGGUGCAUAUGCACCUAUUGUCGAAAUACACAUUUUGAAAAGUUGAAAAAUUCGGAACAAAAAUCCCGCGUGUAUAUCCGGACAUUUUAUGUACGUGCACAAGGUUUCAGUGAAAAACGACGUUUUUUGUGGCUUGUGUAAAAAAGACAAUUUCAGAUGCUUCAUUCUAACUAUUCACGGGGCAUUUCUUUAUCUUUUUUACACAAGCCACAAAAAACGUCGUUUUUCAGUGAAACUUUGUGAACGCACAUAAAAUGUUCGGAUAUACACGUGAGAUUUUUGUUCCGGAUUUUUCAACUUUUUAAAAUGUGUAUUUCGACAAUGGGUGCGUAUGCACCUAGGAGCCAAAACUCUUUCGUAUGCCAUGUUUUUAACACGGUACAAACAUAGACCCUCAUACAUAUGUAUACUAGUAGAACGUCCGUGCGUUGCCACGGGUUUUUCGAAGAAAAAAAAUGCUACUCAUGGUGCUAAAAUAACCGAGAACAAUGUAUGUCUCAGCUACCACACAUCUCAGAUCCUCGGUUAUCAGGUAACACGCUUCUUCAAUCAAUUACAACUAUUUUUUUACAAAUUAAGAAAGUUCGACUCAGGUAGUAAAACUACAUAAAAUAAUGUAAUCAUGUCUUCUUCUGAAUAAAAAUAUUGUAGUACACAACAGAUUCAGUUACUGUGACCACUAUAAAUAUCUAUCUUCUAGUGCAAAUAUUUAUAUCCUCGGUUAUUGUGAUGGCUAUCUAUAUUUAUCUUCUAGAACAGAUACUUAUAUCUAGAAGACAUACAUCUGCAAGUGUUUCUUGCUGUCAAAACCUACGUUUAGCUAAAAUAAGUAGACGUAGUAUAAAAUUUGAGAUGAGCAUAGCACAACAAGGCCAGCUUGCCUCCAUGUCAGAGAAAACACAACUUGAUUGCUCCAACUUUCGCACGCAACAUCUGUGCUAGUACAUAACUAAGAGGACUACGAAAAAUGACGGGUGAUCACUCGACGGCCGCUGAUGCACAUUUUUUACACCGCUUCACUUCUUCGAAGAAUGAAUUGCUGCCGUGUUCACCAUGCAAAGAACGUUUUUGAUGCAAACAACAUAUGGCAGCAAAUACAACAUAGAUAUGUGUUCUCGUUUCAUACUAACCUGGGUGGAUGCAAUAAAAACGCCAUGGACAAAGCGGUCGCUAGGAUGAAGAUAUGAACACCAAAUGAACCGUAGAUAAUUCCCAAUAUUAAUAUGUGACAGCAUCUCUACUAGAUAGGGAAUAAUUAUCUCUAUCAAUAAGCAGAAGCAAACAACUGAAAGAAGAUAACUAUCUCAUUUCAAUCCUUGCAUUCACACGCCAAUUUGGCCUCACCUCCGCACUCCAGCCUCACUUUUGAAAGCCUGCAAGAGCGCGAGAGAUGGGAGUAAGCACAAUAUUCUGCAAUCAGAUGAAAGAUAGUCAGGGAGCAAUUAGCAUUUUUGCCGUGCUCUCCUGCUCAGACCAUAUCGGUGCCGCCACAUCUCGUUCAGAAAAAAAAAAAGCAGUAGCAAGAGCACCCAAUCCCCAUCAAGAUAUCUCAAGCAAGGUGCCCCUUCUCUUCUCUACACACCACCACUCCUCACCAUCCAGCACUGGCGGAGCCUCAUAGAGGCCAAACAGAUCAUGACCCCGCCUUCCAAAACUGCAAGGAAAAAAUUAUUACUAUGCAUACUAAGUGUUUGAUCCAACCCAUUAGUGAAUAAUACUCCUCCCAACCCCAUUAUUAUUAGAUGAAUACCCUCGCAGGAUACACACAUGCAUAUUCGUGUGUGAAGCUAGCUAGCUACUCCAUGCAACUUGAUUGAAUGUUGUAUGAGCAGCUUCCUGCUGCAUGUGCACAUAAUGCUUGCUUACUGCUACAUUAGAUGGAUUCACCCGGCUGGUGGCUGCCUGCUGCAUAUGUUGUCAUUAGGUCGAUUCGCCCCCUGCUUGCUGUUGCGCCUACACGGACCAUCUCGUGCUAUGCGCGCAAUCGCCAAGACGAUGAGCUGACGACCGUUGAUGAGCCAAGCUGCCAAAGGAUGGAAGGAGCAAGAUAUGUCCGAUUACAUGUAAUUUUACUUCUAGGCUAUUUUGAAUUAAAAAUUUGCUUUGAGUUGAAAAUUUGCCCCCCCCCCCCGCCCCCUUGAUUGNNNNNNNNNNNNNNNNNNNNNNNNNNNNNNNNNNNNNNNNNNNNNNNNNNNNNNNNNNNNNNNNNNNNNNNNNNNNNNNNNNNNNNNNNNNNNNNNNNNNNNNNNNNNNNNNNNNNNNNNNNNNNNNNNNNNNNNNNNNNNNNNNNNNNNNNNNNNNNNNNNNNNNNNNNNNNNNNNNNNNNNNNNNNNNNNNNNNNNNNNNNNNNNNNNNNNNNNNNNNNNNNNNNNNNNNNNNNNNNNNNNNNNNNNUGAUUGCUUGCCACGCUCCGCCACUGCCAUCGAGCGCUGCUCCUCCUCUUCUACAUCCAUCUCCCACAAGUGGCUUGCAUCACCCCUCCCCCAGCUCCCUCCUAUCAAUGGAUGGCCGUGCUCCACCCGCACCCUCGUCGCAACGCCCGUGCUCCAGCCACACUUAUGAAGCCGCAUAGGUAGCUCUGGCUCCCUUCCUCUUCCCUGACGGUGGCAAGGGUGAAGUUGCCGCCCCGUGCUCCCUAGACCUCCAUCCGCCCGUGAUCCAUCCCCAUACCAUCCAAAACGGGCAGAAAAAAAAAGAAGGGGGCCAUCCCGUACUCCCUUCCCCUCCUCCACAACCAAGCAACUGCCACAUGCUCGUCCACCAAGCCUCAACCGUGGCGCCCGGAUCGAGCAUGAAUGCACGCGCCACCUGCCGGAUCUGGCACGGAUGCGCGCAGUGGCUCCUGACUUUCCUGAUUUAUGGGAGACGCCGUGUUGGGUAUGCGAUGCCCUGUCGAUCGAUGGGGUGAGGGAGGCUAACGACACGAAACGACAAUGUACUCCCCUUUAAUAGUAGAGAUAUAUGGAAUUUUUUAUUAUAAAUCCUUGAUCAACCAAUAUUUAGCACCUGGGGAGCUGGGCCAAUAAAUAAAGCUUACAUGCUAUAAAACGAAUAGGAAGGCUCAUAUGGACACAAAAUCAAGCAUCUAUCCCCAUUGGAUGUACAUAUUUUAAGCACGAGCACUUUUGAGUUUCAGUUAUACAUGUUGUUUUAGUAAAUUUGAAGUGCAAAUGUGUGAUAUAUUAAGAGAUUUACUCACAUUGCAUGUGCAGUACAUGAGUGGCAGCCGACAGGCAUAGCAAACAACGAGAUUCUAAACUUCGCAGAAAACACAAGAUCACCUUCCAAUCUGAGUAUAAAAGGGUCUCAUUUAGAUCCAGAACUAUCAUAAAAGACAUGUCUUUUAGGAGGCAUGUCUAGGAGUUUUUCUGAUGAUGGUGAAACAAAUCCUUACAUUACAUAUAGUUUUUAGUAUCUCAAGGAGCGUACAGUUGACAAUAUACAAAAUGGUACACCAAUAACAAAAAGACUGCCCUUUUUUACUAACCUGAAUUUGAUCUUUAAUUUGGCUCCUGACUUCAAGUAGAGGUCAAUAUAGCAGCAGCAGGAGCUGCAUAAUAGAACAUACAAUUUAUACUAAGCAGGCAAAAAGAAGGAAUGACUGAACAGCUAAGCAACCUAAGCAGACAAUUAAGAUGUUACUACAGAGCCUAGCUAGCUGCUCAGGUUUAUCAGUAAGCUCACGGCAUGGUCCUUCCCUGUCAUAUGCAUUUGCAUAGAGCAAUCCAGAAUAUGCACAUAGAAACAUUACCAUGCAAUGAUUUACAUCCAGGUUGAAUAGAUUAUAGCCAAAAAUUUAGUAUGAAUGUCACCUUCCCUUCGUACCGAUCGGAGUAAAUAAAAACAUAUAAUUUGAUGCAUUUUUUUCUUCUGUUACAGUCUAAUGACAUGGUUGGUACAAUUUAACAUACCUUCCCUAGUACAAAGGGGACACAAGGUUCUAUUAAUAGUCCAAAGAGGAUAAGUAUGCAUGCUUAAACAAUACACCAUGUCUAUUUAGUCACAUGUGAGCUCUUCUUGAUCAUGAAAGGUACCAGGUACCACAAAAAUAGCUCAGCACCAUCCAAAUUAAAUAAGGACCGAAUAAAUUGGCAAUGAAUCCUAAUGCAAUGAUUGGAAUAAGAAUACGACAAAAAAAAUAGAAGCAACAUAAUAAACAGAGAAAGAUUAAACGGACAGGUGAUAUAAUGUCUGCCUCUUCUCAGAAAAUCUAAUGGCAACUCUAUCAAUUUCAAGUACUCUUAUUAUAGAUAACAUUAGCAUAAAACUUAUGUAUAUCUAUUGAUUCAAGGCUACAGAUUUCUUUCUUGAAAAGGAAGACAAUUUAUAUAUGAAAGGUAGCGGCUUUCAUCAAAAAAGAUUCUUGCUCCUGACACAUAAUUUCUUUACUGGUUUCUCAGCUUUGGAGAAGAAAACGAUUUCUUAGUCACACACAGAAUUAAUGGGCACCAAGAGCAUUUGCACAUUUCAAUUCACUUGAUGCUUCAAAAAAGUGUCUCCUCUGCCCGAACAACUGAACAAAUGUUGAAAACUCAGAGGCCAUGGCAUGCUAGAAAGGGAGGGAGGGAUAGGAGGAAAUAUUACAUGAACAGCAGCUCGGGUCUCCCAUGUCAGCUCACCCCCUCAAGCAGGCCCAGAUCUCUUUCCUUGCGCCCGCUCAAACAAUCGAUCCGUCCGUUGCGUGCAGGGGAUUCCACAAAUGCGUCCUCUCAUAGCCAUGGCGGUGAACCUGCAGAACAAACACAUGCAAUGACUGAAAUGAAUGGGAUGCUUUGGUCGGUUCUUCGAGGCCCAUGGAUACUCGAAUAGAUUAAUACCUGUGUUCAUCCUCCAAACAGGGCAUGGCCGGCACGGUCUCCUCCAAUCAGUGCAACGCGACCACGCCCUGCUCUGUUCGGCGGCGUCUGCAUCGUCCGUGGGGAUCCGCAGCAGCGGCGGAGGCUGUGGGGAUCCGUGGCCAAUUCUUUUAAUGAUCAAACAUGACUCUUGCAUAAGUGAUAUCAGUAUCCGAUUAAGAUGAUUUUUUAAGGCACCAAAACAAGAACUGGGUGAAGACCAUAAUAAUAUAUAUUAGUAUCCGAGUAAGAUGAUCUAGCUAAAUACCUGUGGGUUGCCACAAAAUAACUCCUCUUGACAUGCAUGUCAAUUGCCUCCCUUUAAUACCCCCAAAUGCAUAAGUUUACAACUACAAGUCGUGCGUGGGAACAAGAUCACAAACAUAUAUUCAUUUCAUUGAUCAAAAUAGAUUUAUAAUAACUAAUUUCAGUUGUCAAAAUAGACCAGUAAUCAUAGAAGAAGAAAAGUAAUAUACAACAUAUAUUAUAACUACGCACUACGGCCAACCGGCUACAUCACCCAUGCGGCUUCACCUUCGACAACUAAUAAAAUUUCUAAUAUCAUCCACCUUGAAUAAUAUAAUAACAUUCACUUUCAUUUUAUUUUUAUCUUGGGCCUCAUGGUCACAUGUUCUAGGAAUUUUUAAUUUCAGACAGCAAUGGUAUCUACCAGCAACACGAUUUCUAGAUGUCCAGAAAUGCAGUAUAUUUCUGUGUAUGGCAUCAUCACAAUUAUCCAUGCCAUUAUAGGAUCUAUCAAUUCAAAAUAAGUGAAAAUGAUGGGUGUUAUCCCAGUUUGCGAAAUUGAUGAAGUUUUACCUUAGCGUUGAAGCUGCUAGAGAACUACACCGCAAGCAACCCAGAGGACGAAGCUUCCUUGACUUCCUUUUGAUACUCAUUUGCUCAGUCCCAUGCUUAUCAAUGGUGGCUGCAGAAACUGGAAUCAAGGAGCAAGGUAUGCUUUUGCGUCUUUUUCUUGGCCCUCCUUAAAAAACAUUAAACAGUUAAGCAAUUAAUUCAGCAGGGUAAAUGCGGAAAAUUGUAUGUGAUUUUCCUAUCCUAGGAGUGAAUAUCCUAAGUAAAGUUGAAGCAAAGGAGAGCCAAUAUGCUAACAGUUCAUAGCACAAGUUUAACAUACAUGACAAAAAAAAUGCCGUUGCUGCAUUUUUGCAGAGCAUGCCUACCAUGAGAUGAAUAUUAGAAGACUGAUUGGGUCGAGAAGGCUGAGAAAGAUGAUCUUGAUGGUGCUGGUAAACACAUCUUGGGUUGGUUGGCUGGAUUAUACAUUCACUCUCGAUGGAAAUCCCCAACCAGAAUGUACAUUUUCUAAACCAGCAGAAUAUCAAAGAAGAAAUUCUGGUUUUUUGUUGGUGGGACAUCAAUCCACAUAUUAAAUUGAUUCUAAACGCAGAACCAACACUGCAAGCACAACAUUAAGUUUAUGGGUUCGAAAGGUACAUCAAAAAGUAUCGACAAACAGUUUAACUUCGAAACAAGAGAUUGAGAUGCAUGUCCAUAUGUAGGUUUAUUUGUUUUCUUAGCGGUGAAAGUAGGAGAGACUCUUACUGUUCAAUUAGGCUAUAGAAAAAACAAGUCCAUUUCUCUUGUCAAGCAAAAUAACUAAGGAAGCUAAUUAAUAGUGCAAACGGAGCUUACUUUUUUCUAAGGAAAUUAUUUGCUUCCCUAGUCCAAAGGGGACACAAGCUUCUAUUGAUAGUCCAAAGAGGCUAAGUAUGCAUCCUUAAACAAUACACCAUGUCUGUUUAGUCACAUGUGAGCUCUUCUUGAUCAUGAAAGGUACCAGGUACCACAAAAAUAGUUAAGCACCAUCCAAAUUAAAUAAGGACCGAAUAAAUUGGCAAUGAAUCCUAAUGCAAUGAUUGGAAUAAGAAUAAGACAAAUAAAGAGAAGCAACAUAGUAAACAGAGAAAGAUUAAACGGACAGGUGAUAUAAUGUCUGCCUCUUCUCGGGAAAUCUAAUGGCAACUCUAUCAAUUUCAAGUACUCUUAUUAUAGAUAACAUCAGCAUAAAACUUAUGUAUAUCUAUUGAUUCAAGGCUACGGAUUUCUUUCUUGAAAAGGAAGAAAAUUUAUAUAUGAAAGGUAGCGGCUUUCAUCGAAAAAGAUUCUUGCUCCUGACACAUAAUUUCUUUACUGGUUUCUCAGCUACGGAGAAGAAAACGAUUUCUUAGUCACACACAGAAUUAAUAGGCACCAAGAGCAUUUGCACAUUUCAAUUCACUUGACGCUUCAAAAAAGUGUCUCCUCUGCCCGAACAACUGAACAAAUGUUGAAAACUCAGAGGCCAUGGCAUGCUAGAAAGGGAGGGAGGGAUAGGAGGAAAUAUUACAUGAACAGCAGCUCGGGUCUCCCAUGUCAACUCACCCCCUCAAGCAGGCCCAGAUCUCUUUCCUUGCGUCCGUUCAAACAAUCGAUCCGUCCGUUGCGUGCAGGGGAUUCCACAAAUGCGUCCUCUCAUAGCCAUGGCGGUGAACCUGCAGAGCAAACACAUGCAAUGACUGAAAUGAAUGGGAUGCUUUGCUCGGUUCUUCGAGGCCCAUGCAUACUCGAACAGAUUAAUACCUGUGUUCAUCCUCCAAACAGGGCAUGGCCGGCACGGUCUCCUCCAAUCAGUGCAACGUGACCACGCCCUGCUCUGUUCGGCGGCGUCUGCAUCGUCCGUGGGGAUCCGCAGCAGCGGCGGCGUCCGUGGGGAUCCGUGGCCAAUUCUUUUAAUGAUCAAACAUGACUCUUGCAUAAGUGAUAUCAGUAUCCGAUUAAGAUGAUUUUUUAAGGCACAAAACAAGAACUGGGUGAAGACCACAAUAAUAUAUAUUAGUAUCCAAGUAAGAUGAUCUAGCUAAAUACCUGUGGGUUGCCACAAAAUAACUCCUCUUGACAUGCACGUCAAUUGCCUCCCUUUAAUAGCCCCAGAUGCAUAAGUUUACAACUACAAGUCGUGCGUGGGAACAAGAUCACAAACAUAUAUUCAUUUCAUUGAUCAAAAUAGAUUUAUAAUAACUAAUUUCAGUUGUCGAAAUAGACCAGUAAUCGUAGAAGAAGAAAAGUAAUAUACAACAUAUAUUAUAACUCCGCACUACGGCCAACCGGCUACAUCACCCAUGCGGCUUCACCUUCGACAACUAAUAAAAUUUCUAAUAUCAUCCACCUUGAAUAAUAUAAUAACAUUCACUUUCAUUUUAUUUUUAUCUUGGGCCUCAUGGUCACAUGUUCUAGGAAUUUUUAAUUUCAGACAGCAAUGGUAUCUACCAGCAACACGAUUUCUAGAUGUCCAGAAAUGCAGUAUAUUUCUGUGUAUGGCAUCAUCACAAUUAUCCAUGCCAUUAUAGGAUCUAUCAAUUCAAAAUAAGUGAAAAUGAUGGGUGUUAUCCCAGAUUGCGAAAUUGAUGAAGUUUUACCUUAGCGUUGAAGCUGCUAGAGAACUACACCGCAAGCAACCCAGAGGACGAAGCUUCCUUGACUUCCUUUUGAUACUCAUUUGCUCAGUCCCAUGCUUAUCAAUGGUGGCUGCAGAAACUGGAAUCAAGUCCUAUGCUUUUGCGUCUUUUUCUUGGCCCUCCUUAAAAAACAUUAAAUAGUUAAGCAAUUAAUUCAGCGGGGUAAAUGCGGAAAAUUCUAUGUGAUUUUCCUAUCCUUGGAGUGAAUAUCCUAAGUAAAGUCGAAGCAAAGGAGAGCCAAUAUGCUAACAGUUCAUAGCACAAGUUUAACAUACAUGACAAAAAAAAUGUCAUUGCUGCAUUUUUGUAGAGCAUGCCUACCAUGAGAUGAAUACUAGAAGACUGAUUAGGCCGAGAAGGCUGAGAAAGAUGAUCGUGAUGGUGCUGGUAAACACAUCUUGGGUUGGUUGGCUGGAUUAUACAUUCACUCUCGAUGGAAAUCCCCAACCAGAAUGUAAAUUUUCUAAACCAGCAGAAUAUCAAAGAAGAAAUUCUGGUUUUUUGUUGGGGGGACAUCAAUCCACAUAUUAAAUUGAUUCUAAACGCAAAACCAACACUGCAAGCACAACAUUAAGUUUAUGGGUUCGAAAGGUACAUCAAAAAGUAUCGACAAACAGUUUAACUUCAAAACAAGAGAUUGAGAUGCAUGUCCAUAUGUAGGUUUAUUUGUUUUCUUAGCGGUGAAAGUAGGAGAGACUCUUACUGUUCAAUUAGGCUAUAGAAAAAACAAGUCCAUUUAUCUUGUCAAGCAAAAUAACUAAGGAAGCUAAUUAAUAGUGCAAACCGAGCUUACUUUUUUCUAAGGAAAUUAUUUGCUUCCCUAGUCCAAAGGGGACACAAGCUUCUAUUGAUAGUCCAAAGAGGCUAAGUAUGCAUGCUUAAACAAUACCCCAUGUCUGUUUAGUUACAUGUGAGUUCUUCUUGGUCAUGAAAGGUACCAGGUACCACAAAAAUAGUUAAGCACCAUCCAAAUUAAAUAAGGACCGAAUAAAUUGGCAAUGAAUCCUAAUGCAAUGAUUGGAAUAAGAAAGACAAAAAAAAAGAGAAGCAACAUAAUAAACAGAGAAAGAUUAAACGGACAGGUGAUAUAAUGUCUGCCUCUUCUCGGAAAAUCUAAUGGCAACUCUAUCAAUUUCAAGUACUCUUAUUAUAGAUAACAUCAGCAUAAAACUUAUGUAUAUCUAUUGAUUCAAGGCUACGGCUUUCUUUCUUGAAAAGGAAGAAAAUUUAUAUAUGAAAGGUAGCGGCUUUCAUCGAAAAAGAUUCUUGCUCCUGACACAUAAUUUCUUUACUGGUUUCUCAGCUACGGAGAAGAAAACGAUUUCUUAGUCACACACAGAAUUAAUGGGCACCAAGAGCAUUUGCACAUUUCAAUUCACUUGAUGCUUCAAAACAGUGUCUCCUCUGCCCGAACAACUGAACAAAUGUUGAAAACUCAGAGGCCAUGGCAUGCUAGAAAGAGAGGGAGAGAUAGGAGGAAAUAUUACAUGAACAGCAGCUCGGGUCUCCCAUGUCAGCUCACCCCCUCAAGCAGGCCCAGAUCUCUUUCCUUGCGCCCGUUCAAACAAUCGAUCCGUCCGUUGCGUGCAGGGGAUUCCACAAAUGCAUCCUCUCAUAGCCAUGGCGGUGAACCUGGAGAGCAAACACAUGCAAUGACUGAAAUGAAUGGGAUGCUUUGCUCGGUUCUUCGAGGCCCAUGCAUACUUGAACAGAUUAAUACCUGUGUUCAUCCUCCAAACAGGGCAUGGCCGGCACGGUCUCCUCCAAUCAGUGCAACGUGACCACGCCCUGCUCUGUUCGGCGGCGUCUGCAUUGUCCGUGGGGAUCCGCAGCAGUCGCGGCGUCCAUGGGGAUCCGUGGCCAAUUCUUUUAAUGAUCAAACAUGACUCUUGCAUAAGUGAUAUCAGUAUCCGAUUAAGAUGAUAUUUUAAGCCACAAAACAAGAACUGGGUGAAGACCACAAUACUAUAUAUUAGUAUCCGAGUAAGAUGAUCUAGCUAAAUACCUGUGGGUUGCCACAAAAUAACUCCUCUUGACAUGCACGUCAAUUGCCUCCCUUUAAUAGCCCCAAAUGCAUAAGUUUACAACUACAAGUCGUGCGUGGGAACAAGAUCACAAACAUAUAUUCAUUUCAUUGAUCAAAAUAGAUUUAUAAUAACUAAUUUCAGUUGUCGAAAUAGACCAGUAAUCGUAGAAGAAGAAAAGUAAUAUACAACAUAUAUUAUAACUCCGCACUACGGCCAACCGGCUACAUCACCCAUGCGGCUUCACCUUCGACAACUAAUAAAAUUUCUAAUAUCAUCCACCUUGAAUAAUAUAAUAACAUUCACUUUCAUUUUAUUUUUAUCUUGGGCCUCAUGGUCACAUGUUCUAGGAAUUUUUAAUUUCAGACAGCAAUGGUAUCUACCAGCAACAAGAUUUCUAGAUGUCCAGAAAUGCAGUAUAUUUCUGUGUAUGGCAUCAUCACAAUUAUCCAUGCCAUUAUAGGAUCUAUCUAUUCAAAAUAAGUGAAAAUGAUGGGUGUUAUCCCAGUUUGCGAAAUUGAUGAAGUUUUACCUUAGCGUUGAAGCUGCUAGAGAACUACACCGCAAGCAACCCAGAGGACGAAGCUUCCUUGAAUUACUUUUGAUACUCAUUUGCUCAGUCCCAUGCUUAUCAAUGGUGGCUGCAGAAACUGGAAUCAAGGAGCAAGCUAUGCUUUUGCGUCUUUUUCUUGGCCCUCCUUAAAAAACAUUAAAUAGUUAAGCAAUUAAUUCAGCGGGGUAAAUGCGGAAAAUUGUAUGUGAUUUUCCUAUCCUUGGAGUGAAUAUCCUAAGUAAAGUCGAAGCAAAGGAGAGCCAAUAUGCUAACAGUUCAUAGCACAAGUUUAACAUACAUGACAAAAAAAAUGUCAUUGCUGCAUUUUUGUAGAGCAUGCCUACCAUGAGAUGAAUACUAGAAGACUGAUUAGGCCGAGAAGGCUGAGAAAGAUGAUCGUGAUGGUGCUGGUAAACACAUCUUGGGUUGGUUGGCUGGAUUAUACAUUCACUCUCGAUGGAAAUCCCCAACCAGAAUGUAAAUUUUCUAAACCAGCAGAAUAUCAAAGAAGAAAUUCUGGUUUUUGGUUGGGGGGACAUCAAUCCACAUAUUAAAUUGAUUCUAAACGCAAAACCAACACUGCAAGCACAACAUUAAGUUUAUGGUUUCGAAAGGUACAUCAAAAAGUAUCGACAAACAGUUUAACUUCGAAACAAGAGAUUGAGAUGCAUGUCCAUAUGUAGGUUUAUUUGUUUUCUUAGCGGUGAAAGUAGGAGAGACUCUUACUGUUCAAUUAGGCUAUAGAAAAAACAAGUCCAUUUAUCUUGUCAAGCAAAAUAACUAAGGAAGCUAAUUAAUAGUGCAAACCAAGCUUACUUUUUUCUAGGGAAAUUAUUUGCUUCCCUAGUCCAAAGGGGACACAAGCUUCUAUUGAUAGUCCAAAGAGGCUAAGUAUGCAUGCUUAAACAAUACCCCAUGUCUGUUUAGUUACAUGUGAGUUCUUCUUGGUCAUGAAAGGUACCAGGUACCACAAAAAUAGUUAAGCACCAUCCAAAUUAAAUAAGGACUGAAUAAAUUGGCAAUGAAUCAUGAUGCAAUGAUUGGAAUAAGAAAGACAAAAAAAAGAGAAGCAACAUAAUAAACAGAGAAAGAUUAAACGGACAGGUGAUAUAAUGUCUGCCUCUUCUCGGAAAAUCUAAUGGCAACUCUAUCAAUUUCAAGUACUCUUAUUAUAGAUAACAUCAGCAUAAAACUUAUGUAUAUCUAUUGAUUCAAGGCUACGGCUUUCUUUCUUGAAAAGGAAGAAAAUUUAUAUAUGAAAGGUAGCGGCUUUCAUCGAAAAAGAUUCUUGCUCCUGACACAUAAUUUCUUUACUGGUUUCUCAGCUACGGAGAAGAAAAUGAUUUCUUAGUCACACACAGAAUUAAUGGGCACCAAGAGCAUUUGCACAUUUCAAUUCACUUGAUGCUUCAAAACAGUGUCUCCUCUGCCCGAACAACUGAACAAAUGUUGAAAACUCAGAGGCCAUGGCAUGCUAGAAAGGGAGGGAGAGAUAGGAGGAAAUAUUACAUGAACAGCAGCUCGGGUCUCCCAUGUCAGCUCACCCCCUCAAGCAGGCCCAGAUCUCUUUCCUUGCGCCCGUUCAAACAAUCGAUCCGUCCGUUGCGUGCAGGGGAUUCCACAAAUGCAUCCUCUCAUAGCCAUGGCGGUGAACUUGGAGAGCAAACACAUGCAAUGACUGAAAUGAAUGGGAUGCUUUGCUCGGUUCUUCGAGGCCCAUGCAUACUCGAACGGAUUAAUACCUGUGUUCAUCCUCCAAACAGGGCACGGCCGGCAUGGUCUCCUCCAACCAGUGCAACGCGACCAUGCCCUGCUCUGUUCAACAGCUUCUGCGUCAUCCCUGGGGAUCCGCAGCAGCGGCGGUGUCCGUGGGGAUCCGUGGCCAAUUCUUUUAAUGAUCAAACAUGACUCUUGCAUAAGUGAUAUCAUUAUCCGAUUAAGAUGAUUUUUUAAGGCACCAAAGCAAGAACUGGGUGAAGACCACAAUAAUAUAUAUUAGUAUCCGAGUAAGAUGAUCUAGCUAAAUACCUGUGGGUUGCCACAGAAUAACUCCUCUUGACAUGCACGUCAAUUGCCUCCCUUUAAUAGUCCCAAAUGCAUAAGUUUACAACUACAAGUCGUGCGUGGGAACAAGAUCACAAACAUAUAUUCAUUUCAUUGAUCAAAAUAUAUUUAUAAUAACUAAUUUCAAUUGUCGAAAUAGACCAGUAAUCGUAGAAGAAGAAAAGUAAUAUACAACAUUUAUUAUAACUCCACACUACGGCCAACCAGCUACAUCACCAAUGUGGGUUCACCUUCGACAACUAAUAAAAUUUCUAAUAUCAUCCAGCUUGAAUAAUAUAAUAACAUUCACGUUCAUUUUAUUUUUAUCUUGGAGCCUCAUGGUCACAUGUUCUAGGAAUUUUUAAUUUCAGACAACAAUGGUAUCUACCAGCAACAAGAUUUCUAGAUGUCUAGAAAUGCAGUAUAUUUCUGUGUAUGUCAUCAUCACAAUUAUCCAUUCCAUUAUAGGAUCUAUCAAUUCAAAAUAAGUGAAAAUAAUGGGUGUUAUCCCAGUUUGCGAAAUUGAUGAAGUUUUACCUUGGCGCUGAAGCUGCUGGAGAACUACACCGCAAGCAACCCAGAGGACGAAGCUUCCUUGACUUCCUUUUGAUACUCAUUUGCUUAGUCCCAUGCUUAUCAAUGGUGGUUGCAGAAACUGGAAUCAAGGAGCAAGCUAUGCUUUUGCGUCUUUUUCUUGGCCCUCCUAAAAAAACAUUAAACAGUUAGGCAAUUAAUUCAGCGGGGUAAAUGCGGAAAAUUGUAUGUGAUUUUCCUAUCCUUGGAGUGAAUAUCCUAAGUAAAGUCGAAGCAAAGGACAGCCAAUAUUCUAACAGUUCAUAGCACAAGUUUAACAUACAUGACAAAAAUAAUGUCGUUGCUACAUUUUUGCAGAGCAUGCCUACCAUGCGAUGAAUAUUAGAAGACUGAUUGGGCCGAGAAGGCUGAGAAAGAUGAUCGUGAUGGUGCUGGUAAACACAUCUUGGGUUGGUUGGCUGGAUUAUACAUUCACUCUCGAUGGAAAUCCCCAACCAGAAUGUACAUUUUCUAAACCAGCAGAAUAUCAAAGAAGAAAUUCUGGUUUUUGGUUGGUGGGACAUCAAUCCACAUAUUAAAUUGAUUCUAAACCCAGAACCAACACUACAAGCACAACAUUAAGUUUAUGGGUUCGAAAGGUACCUCAAAAAGUAUCUACAAACAGUUUAAAUUCGAAACAAGAGAUUGAGAUGCAUGUCCAUAUGUAGGUUUAUUUGUUUUCUUAGCGGUGAAAGUAGGAGAGACUCUUACUAUUCAAUUAGGCUAUAGAAAAAACAAGUCCAUUUCUCUUGUCAAGCAAAAUAACUCAGGAAGCUAAUUAAUAGUGCAAACGGAGCUUACUUUUUUCUAAGGAAAUUAUUUGCUUCCCUAGUCCAAAGGGGACACAAGCUUUUAUUGAUAGUCCAAAGAGGCUAAGUAUGCAUGCUUAAACAAUACACCAUGUCUGUUUAGUCACAUGUGAGCUCUUCUUGAUCAUGAAAGGUACCAGGUACCACAAAAAUAGUUAAGCACCAUCCAAAUUAAAUAAGGACCGAAUAAAUUGGCAAUGAAUCCUAAUGCAAUGAUUGGAAUAAGAAUAAGACAAAUAAAGAGAAGCAACAUAAUAAACAGAGAAAGAUUAAACGGACAGGUGAUAUAAUGUCUGCCUCUUCUCGGGAAAUCUAAUGGCAACUCUAUCAAUUUCAAGUACUCUUAUUAUAGAUAACAUCAGCAUAAAACUUAUGUAUAUAUAUUGAUUCAAGGCUACGGCUUUCUUUCUUGAAAAGGAAGAAAAUUUAUAUAUGAAAGGUAGCUGCUUUCAUCGAAAAAGAUUCUUGCUCCUGACACAUAAUUUCUUUACUGGUUUCUCAGCUACGGAGAAGAAAACGAUUUCUUAGUCACACACAGAAUUAAUAGGCACCAAGAGCAUUUGCACAUUUCAAUUCACUUGAUGCUUCAAAAAAGUGUCUCCUCUACCCGAACAACUGAACAAAUGUUGAAAACUCAGAGGCCAUGGCAUGCUAGAAAGGGAGGGAGGGAUAGGAGGAAAUAUUACAUGAACAGCAGCUCGGGUCUCCCAUGUCAACUCACCCCCUCAAGCAGGCCCAGAUCUCUUUCCUUGCGCCCGUUCAAACAACCGAUCCGUCCGUUGCGUGCAGGGGAUUCCACAAAUGCAUCCUCUCAUAGUCAUGGCGGUGAACCUGCAGAGCAAACACAUCCAAUGACUGAAAUAAAUGGGAUGCUUUGCUUGGUUCUUCGAGGCCCCUGCAUACUCGAACAGAUUAAUACAUGUGUUCAUCCUCCAAAUAGGGCACGGCCGGCACGGUCUCCUGCAAUUAGUGCAACGCGACCACGCCCUGCUCUGUUCAGCGGCGUCUGCGUCAUCCCUGGGGAUCCGCAGCGGCGGCGGCGUCCGUGGGGAUCCAUGGCCAAUUCUUUUAAUGAUCAAACAUGACUCUUGCAUAAGUGGUAUCAGUAUCCGAUUAAGAUGAUUUUUUAAGGCACCAAAACAAGAACUGGGUGAAGCCAACUGAGGAAGUCCUCGACUAGGGGGUGUCCGGAUAGCCGAACUAUCAUCAUCGGCCGGACUCCAAGACUACGAAGAUAAAAGAUUGAAGACUUCGUCCCGUGUCCGGAUGGGACUUUCCUUGGCGUGGAAGGCUAGCUUGGCGAUACGGAUAUGUAGAUCUCCUACCAUUGUAACCGACUCUGUCUAACCCUAGCCCUCUCUGGUGUCUAUAUAAACCGGAUGGCUUUAGUCUGUAGGACGAACAACAAUCAUACCAUAGGCUAGCUUCUAGGGUUUAGCCUCCUUGAUCUCGUGGUAGAUCUACUCUUAUAACACACAUCAUCAAUAUUAAUCAAGUAGGACGUAGGGUUUUACCUCCAUCAAGAGGGCCCGAACCUGGGUAAAACAUCAUGUCCCUUGUCUCCUGUUACCAUCCGCCUAGACGCACAGUUCGGGACCCCCUACCCGAGAUCCGCCGGUUUUGACACCGACAUUGGUGCUUUCAUUGAGAGUUCCUCUGUGCCGUCGCGAUCAGGAAGGAUGCCUUUUCUCGUCUUUAAAGACGGCGCCAUCGUCAAGGGAGCCUUGGCCGCCGGCCAAACUAUCCGGCUAGGUGGUUUUCUUAUGACCGCCUGUUCAGCCACCGCUCCGACGAUGACCUCUCAGGUCAUCAAAAGCAAUCUUCACGUCAGCUCAGAAUUCGUCGAGCAGCUAGAUCCGAUGGAGCUCUCCUCCGUAAACGAGCUCUUGGAUCGCAUCGCCACCCUGGGAGUCGCUACCGACUACGAUCAGAUUGGGCUUAAAACCGAUUUGAGAGAAAUUAACUCUCCCCAGGCUACCCACCACGUUGUUGUGGUAGAGGAACAAUGCGGCGACUCUUCUUCUAUUUUGAAAACCAACUAUGUCCGGAUUCCCGAUCCCUCCAUGCCGGAUUCCCGCGGAGGGACGGACGCCAAUCAAAUACUGAACCUAAAGUCAGGCAUCAGACCAGAUUCGUUGGAAAGCAUCCAACAAACCAAGCUUCCAAAUCCGGAAGCUUCUUGGCCUUUGAGCCUCAGAUCGGGCGGGGUUCCGAACUUAAUUCCACCUGCCCACCCAAACAUAAGCGAUCUAUCUCAAAUACGGCAAGAGCCCGAUGAAACAGUACAUCAUUACUGGGCCAGAUUCCUCCUGGUUAUGAAUAGGAUAAAAGACUGCCGUGAAAAAAGCAUGAUUUCAAUUUUCUGCAACAAUUGCACGGACAAGGGAAUCAUAAACGCCAUCAGUCAUCGCGAAGUUACACGCUUCGCCGACCUAGCGCCCAUUGUACAAAAAUACUGCGCGAUGGAGAGUGCCUGGAAAACCGAAACUAGGUUUUGGGACAAUCCGGCCCUGAAUACAACCCCAGUCCGAAAUAAAAGAGUGCGUCAUACUCAAGCACCUGGUUUAAAAACCAAAAAGCAAAACCCUCCUAAAGGGUACGGAACCGUACUGGAGGGAUGGCUCAACGGACCCUGCAAAAUCCACAGUACGGAGGGCGCCACUGCAACACAUAGCCUUCGAGCAUGUUGGAUACUACGGCAGGUGGCCAAAAGUGGCGAAGGCUUUUUAGCCCCGGGCAACCUGCCCAGCAGUACCAGUACGGUACUAACAGUCUUCGAGACUUUCGCCUCAAAUAACAUGCGGAAACGAACAAUCCGUAGCCUCGCCGAAGUCUACAAGUAGCAACAGCAAAUCCAUGGAGCGACACGGCUAUCACCUUCAAUGCCAGCGACGAACCUAAAUUCCAAACAGCUAGAGCUCCAGCCGCAUUGGUCCUCAGUCCGAUAGUGGACGGCUUUCGUCUUACCAAGGUACUCAUGGAUGGCGGCAGCGGAUUAAACCUUAUCUACGAAGAAACCCUUCAAAAAAUGGAAAUUGACUGGAGCCGCAUUGAGCGAAGCAGCACAACCUUCAGGGGAAUAAUCCCUAGUCGAGAAGUACGCUGCACGGGAAAAAUCACGCUAGAUGUAGUGUUCGGCUCGCCGGACAAUUACAGGUCCGAAGAGGUCACAUUCCAAGUGGUCCCAUUCGGCAGCGGAUAUCACGCCUUGUUAGGGCGAGAGGCAUUCACAAUCUUCCAAGCUAUACCCCAUUACGGGUACAUGAAGUUCAAAAUGCCCGGACCCAAUGGAGUAAUCACUCUCGCCAGUGAUCCAGAUACAGCACUCCGCGCUGAAAAUAAGACAGCCGCACUGGCCCUAGAGGCAUUAUCCGAAGCCCUAGCGGCAGAGGAACUAACUGCGUUGCCCUCCACGGCAGAUAGGGACGAUGUGAUACUCGAUAAGAGGUCCAAGUCCACCUCUUUUAAACCAGCAGACGAAAUAGUCAAAUUCCAGGUCCAUCCAACGGACCCCACAAAGACGGCCUCCAUUGGGGCACAAUUAAAUCCUGAUGUAGAAGCCGCACUACGAGAAUUCCUUCGGGAAAAUUGGGACAUUUUUGCCUGGCACCCUUCAGACAUGCCAGGAAUCCCAGGCAGGCUGGCAGAGCACAGCCUAAAUAUCCUAAAAGGAUUCAAGCCAGUCAAACAAGCUCUUCGGCGAUUUUCCGAACCCAAAAGACAGGCAAUGGGAGAGGAGCUAGCCAAACUCUUAGCAGCCGGAUUCAUCGGAGAUAUAAAACUUCCGAACUGGCUAGCCAACCUAGUAAUGGUACCAAAAAAGGACAAAUCCUGUUGCCUUUGCGUCGAUUUCAAAGACCUUAACAAGGCCUGUCCAAAGGACCCUUUUCCUCUCCCUCGCAUCGACCAAAUCAUCGAUGCUACCGCAGGGCACGAUUCAUUGUGCUUCCUCGACGCAUACUCUGGAUACCAUCAAAUUACGAUGGCGGAAAAAGACCAGACCGCAAUGGCAUUCAUUACUCCAUAUGGGCCAUUCUGCUUCAACACAAUGCCCUUCGAACUCAAAAAUGCCGGCGCAACAUAUCAGCGCAUGAUUCAGACAUGUCUGGCUACCUAGAUAGGCAAAACAGUAGAGGCAUACAUAGACGAUGUGGUCGUCAAGACCAAACAUGUCGAAACUCUAGUAGACGACUUGAUGGUGACAUUCGACAACCUCCGAGCAUAUGACAUUAAGCUCAACCCGGAAAAAUGCGUUUUCGGCGUACCAGCCGAAAAGCUCUUGGGCUUCAUUGUAUCCGGUAGAGGAAUUGAAGCAAACCCAGCCAAGAUCCGAGCUCUGUCACAAUUGGAUAUCCCAAAAGACCUCAAGCAAAUACAAAAACUAACUGGAUGCAUGGCGACUCUAAGCCGCUUCAUCUCCCAUUUGGGAGAAAAGGCACUGCCCCUCUAUCGCCUCCUCCGGCGCACCGAACAUUUCGAAUGGACGGAUGCUGCCACGGCCGGACUCGAAGAAAUAAAGGCCGUAUUGGCAACAAAUCCGGUCCUGGCCGCGCCCAACCUGGGCGAACCAAUCCUGUUAUAUAUCGCAGCAACACAUCAAGUUGUCAGCGCGGUACUCAUCAUCGAACGAGAAACAGAAGGGCACAAAUUCCCCCUUCAAAAACCAGUGUACUACGUAUCCACUGUCUUAACUCCAUGCAAGUACCGGUACCCACACUAUCAAAAGAUAGCGUAAGCGGUGUUCAUGGCAUCCCGGAAGCUGCGACACUACUUUCAAGAGUGUUCCAUAACGGUGGCCUCCGAAGUACCUCUCAACGACAUUAUAAACAAUCGUGAUGCGACGGGCAGGAUUGCAAAAUGGGCCAUUGAGCUCUUACCAUUUGAUAUAACCUACAAACCACGGCGAGCUAUCAAGUCGCAAGUUCUGGCUGACUUCAUCGCCGAAUGGACCGAAGCCGAACUCCCUAAAGAGUAUGGCGCAUACUCCAAUUGGAUCAUGCAUUUCGACGGCUCCAAAAUGUUGGCUGGCUUGGGAGCUGGCGUCGUCUUGAUGUCCCCAACCGGAGACACAGUCCAAUACGUGCUUCAAAUAAUGUACACUGACUCCAACAACGCAGCCGAAUACGAGGCCCUUCUACAUGGCCUCCGGAUGGCAAUCUUCAUGGGUAUUCAACGCCUAGAUGUGCACGAGGAUUCAAACAUCGCAAUAUCCCAAGUAAAUGGAGACUUUGACGCCAAGGAUGGCAGCCUACCGAAACACUGUCCUAAAAAUGUCAGCCCGAUUCAAAGGACUCGAAUUCAACCAUGUAGCCCGGGAUAAUAACCAGGCAACAGACGUGUUGGCACGCAUCGGCGCAAAACGCGACACCGUCCCUCCAAACAUCUUCCUGGAGCGGCUCUUUAAGCCAUCCGUAUUAUGGGAAGAGGAGUCCGGAAAUAACAAUCCGGAACCACCUGCAUCACCUAACACAGAACAUUCUGACACAGUCGGUGGCUCAGCCAAUGAAAUAACAGAUUCAGCCCAUGAAAUACUAGCAGUAAUUGCCCCGUGGAUGGAACCAUUCCUAGCCUACCUAAUCCGGCAGGAACUUCCCGAAGACCAAAAUGAGGCCCGCUGCAUAGUUCGGCGAUCUAAAGCCUACAAGGUCCAUGAGGGAGAACUUUAUAAGAAAAGCACAACCGGAGUCCUUCAAAGGUGUAUCUCCGAAGAGGAAGGGCGAAAUCUCCUGGCUGAAAUUCACGUCGGACUCGGCGGGCACCACGCCGCCGCCCGGGCCCUUGUAGGCAAGGCCUUCCGUACAGGAUUUUAUUGGCCAACCGCCCGGGCAGAUGCUCAAGACUUAGUCCAACGAUGCAUCGGUUUCCAGCUCUUUGCUAAUCAGAGCCACAUGCCACCCACCGCCCUCAAAACUAUACCCAUUACUUGGCCGUUCGCGGUCUGGGGGCUUGACAUGGUUGGACCCCUUAAAGGGGGAACCCACAAGCACAAAUACUUAUUGAUCAUGGUGGACAAAUUCACCAAAUGGAUAGAGGCCAAGCCGGUUAAAACGGCAGAAUCCGGACCUAUGAUAGACUUCAUAUCCGGGGUAGUACACCGUUUUGGCGUCCCCCACAGCAUCAUCACUGAUAAUGGCACGAAUUUCACGGCCGAUGAGGUUAAACUCUGGUGCAAAAACAUGGGCAUCAAGCUCGACUACGCUUCAGUCUACCACCCUCAAACUAAUGGUCAAGUGAAACGGGCAAAUGGUCUCAUCAUGAGCGGCAUUAAACCCAGAUUAGUGUGUUCCCUCAUGGAAUCUAACACGCACUGGGUAGAGGAGCUCGACUCCGUACUCUGGGGGUUACGGACCACGCCAAACCGCACAACCGGAUUCACACCAUUUUUUAUGGUAUACGGCGCUGAGGCAGUUCUGCCCUGUGAUAUAAUUCAUGACUCACCUCGCGUGCGCAUGUACGAGGAAAGAGAAGCCGAGCUGGAUCGGCAGGACAGUUUGGACGCUUUAGAGGAGGAGCGCGACGUGGCAAAAUCCCGUUCUGCAUUCUAUCAACAGCAGGCUUGAAGAUAUCAAAGCAGAGAAGUAUGGGCCAAAACUUACAAUGUUGGCGAGCUAGUUCUACGCCUGCCGGACAAGAAAAAGGACAAACUUAAGCCCAAAUGGGAAGGUCCCUUCAUCAUCGACCAAGUCUUUACCGGCGGUGCAUAUCGUCUACGCAACGCAUCUGACAACCGACUCGAGCCAAACCCAUGGAACGCAGCCCGUCUCCGAAGAUUUUACGCCUAGCGCCGGACUCAGGGUUCGUCUCCUUCCUCCGUCCACCUUUCAGGUUUUUUUGCUGUCUUCGUUUUUGCUCCCUUUUCCUCCCUCUUUCAGUACAAACCUCUUGAGGGCUAAUCUACGCUUCGUUCGCACUCGCUCGAUGUGCUACUCGCACUCGUUAUACCUGGGGGCUUCUUUAACAGAAGCUUAUUUAUAUGGGCUUCAUGCCCACCACAUGUGUCACACUUCCGCAUGUACCUUUUGAUCACCAUUAUAUGCAUCGAUAUGACUUAAGUUUUGGCCAAGCCGGGUUGCCUGGCUCCUGUGCUUACCCCUACGUUCCCGAUUGUUCGGCUAGGAGGUAAAGGGAGCACCUCUUCGAUUGUUACUGCCGGGUCAGCCGGAUGUGUACCUCAGACUGGGUGAAGCCGAAGGCUAGCGUUCUUAAGGGAAUAUUCGGUCGAUGGCCUGAAAGAUGAUUUAUUACUUACUUAUUUAUCUGCCCCCAGAUGCUUUUUCUGCUAUUUUCGCAGUCCGAACAUGCACUUUAGGGCAUGCCUCCCAGGGAAAGGAACCCUUAACGGAACUAUUCUCCCUGGAAGAUGUUUCUUACUAACCAUAUAAUAUAACAUAGCUAGUUGGGCACUUGUCUGAUAAAGCAAUUAUGACCCCUACGCCUUGUCUCCAUGCAUGCCCCGGUUCUUUUAUAACCGUCAGGGUAUUCGGACACACUCCGGACUAUUGGGUCCCGAGGUUGAAGCGAAAAGGUCCGCAAAGGCAAACGAUCUACAAUCCGGCUAGAAGGCAUUUUACAUGUCAUUUUAAAAUUACAUCAUCAAACUGACUGAUUGUACUCCUCUUCAAUCCCAUCUAACAGGCUAUCUAAUUUACAGUCCUGUUGGGAAUAUUUCGCGGCCAGCUCUACUUGGCCGUACAUCAAGCUCACAGGGAUCUCCUUCCCAUCAGGCCCCACAGGUCCGACCUCGGCCAUGUGGUUUUGGUCAGCCUUUGGGUACCGCGUCUUCACCAUGGCCCAGGCCUCCCUGGCGCCUUGACGGCAGGCCGAUAUCUUCCACAGACGGAGACGUCGCCGUACUCCCUGAAGCUUCUCAGCAAGCCCUCCAAGGCCCUCAGGUAGGGAGACGGAAGGCCAUAAGGCCUGAACGACGCCACUCAUCGCCUGCCGAACACGUUCAAGCAGUUGCACCAGCUCGGGAAGUUGGUCACCCGUUGAACCGGGCAUUUCCUCCAUAGGGCGACCUGUGAGCACACCUACAGACAUAUUUCUGUCAACCGACUUCCUUGCCGAACUCUUCUUUUCAAAAGAGUUUGCUCAAGCACUUACUAUAGAUGCCGCGACGAAGCCGCUGAUUCUCCUUCAAGGAGCCAGACAGCUGGGCCCGAACACCUUUUAGCUCUUCUCCAAGCUGGGUGUGGGCAUCUUGGAGUUUGUUCCUCUCCUGCUGCACCUUCAUAGGCACCCUCUCGCCGGCCUUCAAUUGGCGCAGUAGCUGUUGCUUGUCCGGAUCAAGUCCGGCAACAUCUGCAAUAUUAUUGUCAGAUUUAUAUGCACGCCGCACGCCAUAAAACAUUUUUGAAAUAUGUGUUACUGGAGGGGGUCUCUGUGUCUCCACCUGCGGCGGUCAGUGCGGCCUCAAGUUGGGCCUUGCACUCUUGAAGCUCCUGGGACAGGUGGGCAUUCUUCUUCGUAAGAUCCUGCAUAGUAGAUGAUCCUUAAAUCAGUUAUUUUAACUAUUUUAAGUCUCGGGGGCUACUGGCAUAUAUAACUAUUAAAAUUACUUACCCGUAUGUCCUUCACAUACUGCUCCGUGGCUCUGGUUAAAACAUCUUGAGCGGCACGGAGGUGCGCGUCUCGCGCAUCAAAGGCAUUCAACGCCUCCGGGGAGAAACACACGUCACGAAGAACUGUCCGGCGACGCCUGUGAUUCAUGACGCUCUCCACCUCAGAACGGGUGGCGGACAGCCUGUCGGCAUCCUCCGUUGGAGGAGCAUCCGGCUCAUGCCUUGUGUUCGCCUCCCUUCCGGACCACGCAUUGGAGCAUGGCUGGCGGAGGCUUGAUUCGCAACCUCUCCAGACAUUGGCCGGCGAGCGCUCUUUCUCCUGGAAAAGUUAUGGGCAUUAAUAUACCUCCUAGGGAUCCUUCCCUUAAAAACAGCGGUGCGCCGUACCAUUGCGGCGACGUUUUGAUUCGCGUCGCACUCCUUUUCUGCCUGUUGGGCCGAACUGACCCUUGCUGGUCAGCCGCCGCGGGUUCGGCUUCUCGCCUUGAAGGCACCUCCUGCAAGACACCGUUGGUAUAGGGUGACCUGAAAUACGCAAGGACAAAGUAAUGGUGUCAGAACUCCAGUCAUAAUUACCUGAGAAGCUGGACAUAAACCGGGGUAGUCAGCUGUAAUGGCGACUAAAGCAUUGUCCAUGCUGAGUUGGUGGAACACCCCGUCAAUUAGCUCCACCUUUAUGUUCCGGAUCAAGGGAUCUUCCCGGAUCCUCGGGUUGUGGAGCCAGACUGUGUAUGCCCUCCACAUCCCAACGCAGUUCCUGCGUCGAAAUCAUAAAGUCAGGCAUUUAACUUUGAAAGCACGGGUCGGAUGAAUAAAUGUUCGCUUACCCAGCUCCGAGGGUUAUUCAUGGAGAACCCAUUCAGUGGGCUCAUCUGGAGGAAGUCCUCCUUCUCCCCCUUGUACAAGCCGGACAUGAUCUUCACCAGAUCCGCGGCCGAUCCCGGCCCCUUGCGGCCAUGACGGGUGGCGUCGUUCUCCCCGUUGAAAUCCCACAUGGGGUGGCCCCGGUAUUGGAGCGGCUGCACCCCUCGCAUAAUGCACGUGGCCAUGAUUCCGAUCAUGGUCAAUCCGGAGUGGGCCAGUAACCUAAUCCGGCCCAUCAUAUAAUGGACGCUCCCAUCAUCCUCCCGUUGAGGGCUCCACGGGCGCCAACUCAGGCGUUUCUUCAAGGGAGCAUUGCUGAACUCCGGGAGGCCGAUCCGAACUGGAUCCGGCAGAGGGGCGUCCUCCAUGUAGAACCAUUCCGAAGGCCAGUCUUCGGACGCCUUCUUCGGGGUGCCGGAUAGAUAUCCGGUCCCGGCGAUGCGCCAUAUUUCGGCUCCGCCCACUUGAUAUAUCGACCCCUCGUGAGAACGGGGUACGAGGCAAAACAAUCUCUUCCACAGCGCAAAAUGGGGCUCGAUGCCCAAGAACAGCUCGCAAAGAGCUACAAAGCCCGCGAUGUGCAAAAUGGAGGCAAGUGUAAGGUGGUGAAGCUGGAGUCCGUAGAACUCCAAGAGCCCCCGGAGAAACGGAUGUAUGGGAAAUCCGAGUCCCCUUAUUAGAUAAGGGAUAAAGCAUACCCGCUCUCCUUUGGAGGGGUUGGGGACGCUCUCCGCCUGCUUUCCACCCCCUGAAGGUGGCCAGUCCGGCUCGAACCGGAACCAUGAAGGUUGGGGGAAGAUAUCCCUCGGUUUGGAGCGCCACUAGCUCGCUGUGUGGAACUGAGCAUCUUCCCCAAUCUCCUGGCUUAGGGCUGGGAGCGCGAGAGGAGGAGCCGCGUCGGCUAUCCAUGAUAGAGUGGAUUUUUGUCAAAGGCGCUUCGAUGAGUACUUGCGGAAGGAGAAUGGUGUGAGUUGGAUCUAGAUCCUCGCCUCUCUUAUAGGCGGCUCGUUCGCACGGCUAGGGGGGAAAAUGUAAAAAUACCCUAGCUUUUCGCAUUCAUACGACACGUGGAAGAAGGCCAUUAUUGGGCGUACAAGCCAAGGAGCGCAACAUUUAUAAGGAAGCCGCACACUAUUCAACAGGAACAUGAAGUUUGAAGGAGAACCCGCCUUGCAACCCCGAAGACAAUAUACGCGCCGGACUCAUCGUCAUUGAAGCCUGGUUCGAGGGCUACUGAGGGAGUCCUGGACUAGGGGUGUCCGGAUAGCCCAACUAUCAUCAUCGGCCGGACUCCAAGACUAUGAAGAUAAAAGAUUGAAGACUUCGCCCCGUGUCAAGAUGGGACUUUCCUUGGCGUGGAAGGCAAGCUUGGCGAUACGGAUAUGUAGAUCUCCUACCAUUGUAACCAACUCUAUGUAACCCUAGCCCUCUCCGGUGUCUAUAUAAACCGGAUGGCUUUAGUCCGUAGGACGAACAACAAUCAUACCACAGGCUAGCUUCUAGGGUUUAGCCUCCUUGAUCUCGUGGUAGAUCUACUCUUGUAACACACAUCAUCAAUAUUAAUCAAGCAGGAUGUAGGGUUUUACCUCCAUCAAGAGGGCCCGAACCUGGGUAAAACAUCGUGUCCCUCGUCUCCUGUUACCAUCCGCCUAGACGCACAGUUCGGGACCCCCUACCCGAGAUCCGCCGGUUUUGACACCGACACCAACAAUAAUAUAUAUUAGUAUCCAAGUAAGAUGAUCUAGCUAAAUACCUAUGGGUUGCCACAGAAUAACUCCUCUUGACAUGCACGUCAAUUGCCUCCCAUUAAUUGCCCCAAAUGCAUAAUUUUAGAACUAAAAGUCGUGCGCGGGAACAAGAUCACAAACAUAUAUUCAUUUCAUUGAUCAAAAUAGAUUUAUAAUAACUAAUUUCAGUUGUCGAAAUAGACCAGUAAUCGUAGAAGAAGAAAAGUAAUAUACAACAUAAAUUAUAACUCCGCACUACGACCAACCGGCUACAUCACCCAUGUGGCUUCACCUUCGACAACUAAUAAAAUUUCUAAUAUCAUCCACCUUGAAUAAUAUAAUAUCAUUCACAUUCAUUUUAUUUUUAUCUUGGAGCCUCAUGGUCACAUGUUCUAGGAAUUUUUAAUUUCAGACAGCAAUGGUAUCUACCAGCAACAAGAUUUCUAGAUGUCCAGAAAUGCAGUAUAUUUCUGUGUAUGGCAUCAUCACAAUUAUCCAUGCCAUUAUAGGAUCUAUCAAUUCAAAAUAAGUGGAAAUAAUGGGUGUUAUCCCAGUUUGCGAAAUUGAUGAAGUUUUACCUUGGCGCUGAAGCUGCUGGAGAACUACACCGCAAGCAACCCAGAGGACGAAGCUUCCUUGACUUCCUUUUGAUACUCAUUUGCUCAGUCCCAUGCUUGUCAAUGGUGGCUGCAGAAACUGGAAUCAAGGAGCAAGCUAUACUUUUGCGUCUUUUUCUUGGCCCUCCUAAAAAAUCAUUAAAUAGUUAGGCAAUUAAUUCAGUGGGGUAAAUGCAGAAAAUUGUAUGUGAUUUUCCUAUCCUUGGAGUGAAUAUCCUAAGUAAAGUCGAAGCAAAGGAGAGCCAAUAUGCUAACAGUUCAUAGCACAGGUUUAACAUACAUGACAAAAAAAUGCCGUUGCUGCAUUUUUGCAGAGCAUGCCUACCAUGAUAUGAAUAUUAGAAGACUGAUUGGGCCGAGAAGGCUGAGAAAGAUGAUCGUGAUGGUGUUGGUAAACACAUCUUGGCUUGGUUGGCUGGAUUAUACAUUCACUCUCGAUGGAAAUCCCCAACCAGAAAGUACAUUUUCGAAACCAGCAAAGUAUCAAAGAAGAAAUUCUGGUUUUUGGUUGGUGGGACAUCAAUCCACAUAUUAAAUUGAUUCUAAACCCAGAACCAACACUACAAGCACAACAUUAAGUUUAUGGGUUCGAAAGGUACAUCAAAAAGUAUCUACAAACAGUUUAACUUCGAAACAAGAGAUUGAUAUGCUUGUUCGUAUGUAGGUUUAUUUGUUUUGUUAGCGGUGAAAGUAGGAGAGACUCUUACUGUUCAAUUUGGCUAUAGAAAAAACAAGUCCAUUUCUCUUGUCAAGCAAAAUAACUCAGGAAGCUAAUUAAUAGUGCAAACAGAGCUUACUGUUUUCUAAGAAAAUUAUUUGCUUCCCUAGUCCAAAGGGGACACAAGCUUCUAUUGAUAGUCCAAAGAGGCUAAGUAUGCAUCCUUAAACAAUACACAAUGUCUAUUUAGUCACAUGUGAGCUCUUCUUGAUCAUGAAAGGUACCAGGUACCACAAAAAUAGUUCAGAACCAUCCAAAUUAAAUAAGGACCGAAUAAAUUGGCAAUCAAUCCUAAUGCAAUAUUGGAAUAAGAAUAAGACAAAAAAGAGAAACAACAUAAUUAACAGAGAAAUAUUAAACGGACAGGUUAUAUAAUGCCUGCCUCUUCUCGGAAAAUCUAAUGGCAACUCUAUCAAUUUCAAGUACUCUUAUUAUAGAUAACAUCAGCAUAAAACUUAUGUGUAUCUAUUGAUUCAAGGCUACGGAUUUCUUUCUUGAAAAUUAAGACAAUUUAUAUAUGAAAGGUAGCGGCUUUCAUCGAAAAAGAUUCUUGCUCCUGACACAUAAUUUCUUUAAUGGUUUCUUAGCUAUGGAGAAGAAAACUAUUUCUUAGUCACACAUAGAAUUAAUGGGCACCAAGAGCAUUUGCACAUUUCAAUUCACUUGAUGCUUCAAAAAAGUGUCUCCUCUGCCCGAACAAUUGAACAAAUGUUGAAAAAUCAGAGGCCAUGGCAUGCUAGAAAGGGAGGGAGGGAUAGGAGGAAAUAUUACAUGAACAGCUGCUCGGGUCUCCCAUGUCAGCUCACCCCCUCAAGCAGGCCCAGAUCUCUCUCAUUCCGCCCGUUCAAACAAUCGAUCCGUCUGUUGCGUGCAGGGGAUUCCACAAAUGCGUCCUCUCAUAGCCAUGGCGGUGAACCUGGAGAGAAAACACAUGCAAUGACUGAAAUGAAUGGGAUGCUUUGCUCGGUUCUUCGAGGCCCAUGCAUACUCGAACAGAUUAAUACCUGUGUUCAUUCUCCAAACUGGGCACGGCCGGCACGGUCUCCUCCAAUCAGUGCAACACGACCACACCCUGCUCUUUUCAGCGGCGUCUGCGUCAUCCCUGGGGAUCCGCAGCAGCGGCGGCGUUCGUGGGGAUCUGUGGCCAAUUCUUUUAAUGAUCAAACAUGACUCUUGCAUAAGUGAUAUCAGUAUCCGAUUAAGAUGAUUUUUAAGGCACCAAAACAAAACUUGGUGAAGACCACAAUAAUAUAUAUUAGUAUCCGAGUAAGAUGAUCUAGCUAAAUACCUGUGGGUUGCCACAGAAUAACUCCUCUUGACAUGCACGUCAAUUGCCUCCCUUUAAUAGCGCCAAAUGCAUAAGUUUACAACUACAAGUCGUGCGUGGGAACAAGAUCACAAACAUAUAUUCAUUUCAUUGAUCAAAAUAGAUUUAUAAUAACUAAUUUUAGUUGUCGAAAUAGACCAGUAAUCGUAGAAGAAGAAAAGUAAUAUACAACAUAUAUUAUAACUCCGCACUACGGCCAACCAGCUACAUCACCCAUGUGGCUUCACCUUCGACAACUAAUAAAAUUUCUAAUAUCAUCCACCUUGAAUAAUAUCAUAACAUUCACGUUCAUUUUAUUUUUAUCUUGGAGCCUCAUGGUCACAUGUUCUAGGAAUUUUUAAUUUCAGACAACAAUGGUAUCUACCAGCAACAAGAUUUCUAGAUGUCCAGAAAUGCAGUAUAUUUCUGUGUAUGGCAUCAUCACAAUUAUCCAUGCCAUUAUAGGAUCUAUCAAUUCAAAAUAAGUGAAAAUAAUGGGUGUUAUCCCAGUUUGCGAAAUUGAUGAAGUUUUACCUUGGCACUGAAGCUGCUGGAGAACUACACCGCAAGCAACCCAAAGGGCGAAGCUUCCUUGACUUCCUUUUGAUACUCAUUUGCUCAGUCCCAUGCUUAUCAAUGGUGGAUGCAGAAACUGGAAUCAAGGAGCAAGCUAUGCUUUUGCGUCUUUUUCUUGGCCCUCCUAAAGAAACAUUAAAUAGUUAGGCAACUAAUUCAGCUGGGUAAAUGCGGAAAAUUGUAUGUGAUUUUCCUAUCCUUGGAGUGAAUAUCCUAAGUAAAGUCGAAGCAAAGGAGAGCCAAUUUGCUAAAAGUUCAUAGCACAAGUUUAACAUACAUGACAAAAAAAUGUCGUUGCUGCAUUUUUGGAGAGCAUGCCUACCAUGAGAUGAAUAUUAGAAGACUGAUUGGGCCGAGAAGGCUGAGAAAUAUGAUCGUGAUGGUGCUGGUAAACACAUCUUGGGUUGGUUGGCUGGAUUAUACAUUCACUCUCGAUGGAAAUCCCCAACCAGAAUGUACAUUUUCUAAACCCGCAGAAUAUCAAAGAAGAAAUUCUGGUUUUUGGUUGGUGGGACAUCAAUCCAGAUAUUAAAUUGAUUCUAAACCCAGAACCAACACUACAAGCACAACAUUAAAUUUAUGGGUUCGAAAGGUACAUCAAAAAGUAUCUACAAACAGUUUAACUUCGAAACAAGAGAUUGAGAUGCAUGUCCGUAUGUAGGUUUAUUUUUUUCUUAGCGGUGAAAGUAGGAGAGACUCUUACUGUUCAAUUAGGCUAUAGAAAAAACAAGUCCAUUUCUCUUGUCAAGCAAAAUAACUCAGGAAGCUAAUUAAUAUUUCAAACGGAGCUUACUUUUUUCUAAGGAAAUUAUUUGCUUCACAUGACAUUUGUUCCUGCAAUAUUAUAAUUAUAAUAUCAAGUAUUGUUGGUAAUGGGCAAAUUUAUAUCUGAACAAAUUCUAUGAGAAAGCGACCCUGCUCCAUGAAACUACACGGCUCCCUGAAAUUACGCAUUAUACCCUUUGUGUUAGUCAAGAUAAAAAAUAGCUAGGCAUUGGUAAUCAUGAUUGUACCUUAUAAUCAAGUUAUUUGUUGUGUUGAUGUCUGGGUUGAAGUAUAUCUUUUCACUGCUCUGUCAUACGCAAGAUAGCAUCUGAAAUUCAGUGCAUACAAUCAGAGGCAUGUUACCUCCAGAAAUCCCUAUCAGAAGACACCAAUUUACUUCCCUGCAUUACAUAUGCCAAAAGAUACUAAGCAUAACAUUAACCCAUUUAGUUGUCUAGAUAACCAGAUUAAAUCAUAAGCAUUACAUGGUUCUUAUUUCAAUGAAAAGGAAUACCGUUGAAUAAUGAUUACCAAUGCAUGUCAGCAUGCAUAAUUCAGAAACCACAUGUUUAAUCAUUUAGGGGGCAGAUACAUUUGUUUUCAGAGCCUGCAACUAUGAAAUGCUAGACAAGUUUAUUGUCCUACUAAAAAUAUGAGGAAAUUAUCAAUGUCAAAGUUGUUGUGUCUAGUGCCAAAAUUAACUACUAUAUCAGGUUAGGUCUGCUAGAAAUAACAGUGGUAAGUAAGAAACGUGACAAAAAUUAAGCAUCGACUCAUAUGUAUACCUACAGAUCUAGCCAAAAGCUUUGACAUGCAAGAACAAUACUAACAAUGAACCUGCUCGAGUCUGGGCAUAUACUUGACUUCCUGUGCAAAUCUAUUCGCUAUAUUAUUUACCCAUAAAUCACUCUUCAUCAUCUUCUUAUUUCUCUAACAACUAUAUCCGCAUGACCAAUCAAAGUUCACCACCUCUAUUAAUGGCAUAUCCAACCCACAACUUAGAAUUUCAAACACUUGCCGGUGCACUUGUCUUCCACAACUCAUUAAUAUUUACAUGGUGUAAUGUAACUUCUCGAACUUCAUCCCGGCUCAUUAACUCCACCACUCCAGCUCACACACAAAAUAUUGAUUAUGCUCUAUAGAACAAAGAACAAAAAUGACUUCACAUGCUAAAUAUUGAUUCUAACAAUGACAUACUGUUUCGAGAAGCUGAUUGAUACGUCUCUGUCGUAUAUAUAAUUUUUGAUUGUUCCAUGCCAAUAUUAUUCAACUUUCAUAUACUUUGGCAACCUUUUAUACUAUUUUUGGGACUAACAUAUUGAUCUAGUGCCCAGUGCCAGUUCAUGUUCGUUGCAUGUUUUAUGUUUUGCAGGAAACCCAAAUCAAACGGAAUCCAAACGAGAUAAAAAUGGACGGAGAAUAUUUUUGGAAUAUUUGGGAUUUUCCGGAGGAAGAAUCAACGCGAAACGGUGUCCGAGGUGGCCAGGAGAUAGGGGGCGCGCCCACCCCCCUGGGCGCGCCUCGCACUCUCCUAGGCCACCCAUAAGGCGGUUGACGCUCUUCUUUUGCCGCAAGAAAGCUAAUUUUGCGAGAAAAAUCUGGGCGAAAGAUUCACCCCAAUCGGAGUUACGGAUCUCCGGAUAUAAAAGAAACGGUGAAGGGGCAGAAUCUGAGAACGCAGAAACAGAGGGAUAGAUCUAAUCUCGGAGGGGCUCUCGCCCCUCCCAAGCCAUGGGAGCCAAGGACCAGAGGGGAAACCCUUCUCCCAUCUAGGGAGAAGGUCAAGUAAGAAGAAGAAGAAGGGGGGCUUUCUCCCCCUUGCUUCCGGUGGCGUCGGAAUGCCGCCGGGGGCCAUCAUCAUCACCGCGAUCUUCACCAACACCUCCGCCAUCUUCACCAACAUCUCCAUCACCUUCCCCCAUCUAUAUUAAGCGGUCCACUCUCCCGCAACCCGAUGUACCCUCUACUUCAACAUGGUGCUUUAUGUUUCAUAUUAUUAUCCAAUGAUGUGUUGCCAUCCUAUGAUGUCUGAGUAGAUUUUCGUUGUUCUAUUGGUGGUUGAUGAAUUGCUAUCAUUGAUUUAAUUUGCUUGAGGUUAUGUUGUUGUCCUUUGGUGCCCAUCAUAUGAGCGCGCGCGUGGAUCACACCAUAGGGUUAGUUGUGUGUUGAUAGGACUAUGUAUUGGAGGGCUAGAGUGACAGAAGCUUCAACCUAGCAUAGAAAUUGAUGCAUACGGGAUUGAAGGGGGGCCAAUAUAUCUUAAUGCUAUGGUUGGGUUUUACCUUAAUGAACGUUAGUAGUUGCGGAUGCCUUCUAAUAGUUCCAAUCAUAAGUGCGUAGAAUUCCAAGUCAGGGAUGACAUGCUAGCAGUGGCCUCUCCCACAUAAAACUUGCUAUUAGUCUAGUAAAGUAGUCUAUUGCUUAGGGACAACACAACUCCUACCACCACUUUUUCCACACUCGCUAUAUUUACUUUAUUGCUUCUUUAUCUAAACAGCCCCUAGUUUAUAUUUACUCGUUCUUUAUUAUCUUGCAAACCUAUUCUAUCACACCUACAAAGUACCUCUAGUUUCAUACUUGUUCUAGGUAAAGCAAAUGUCAAGCAUGCGUAGAGUCGUAUCAGUGGCCGAUAGGACUUGAGAGAGUAUUUGUUCUACCUUUAGUUCCUCGUUGGGUUCGACACUCUUAAUUAUCGAAAGAGGCUACAAUUAUCCCCUACACUUAUGGGUUAUCAAGACCUUUUUCUGGCGCCGUUGCCGGGGAGUCAUAGCAUGGGGUGAAUAUUCUCGUGUGUGCUUGUUUGCUUUAUCACUAAGUAAUUUUUAUUUGCUGUUUUAAGUUGUUCUCUAUCUUUAGUUGUGGAUAUGGAACAUGAAAUACCAAAAAAAUUAGGUGUACUUGCUGCUCAUGGAGAUGGGGAACCUCCUAAAACCCUCGAUGCUCGCUAUGUUCGAGAUAUUAUGUACUACUUUGAUAAUCCUGAGAAAACCCCAUUCAAUUAUGUUAUGGGAGACACGUUGGAUCAACGUGAAUACUUUAGGGAUUAUCAUUGACACAAAAAGGGAAACUAUUAUGGGAUUAAAUUUCUGUGUUGCGUUGGUAUGCCCAGAAUCUAUGCUUGAGAUAUGAUAUUACUUGUUGCUCUAGGAUGAAGGCUCCACACCUUCCCUUUUCAUGCAAAUUUAAUGAUAAUGAAACCUUAGCUUCUUAUGCUAGAGGUAUAUAUGAUUAGUAUGAUGUUGAACAAAUUGAAGAAUUUGUUGCUUUUAAGGCUGCUUAUGAAAUUGAAUAUUUGUUUGAAAAGUAUGAAGCUUUAGAUGAUGAUGUUUAUAGGCCUGAAAAUUAUGCUAUAUUGAGAUAUUGCUAUGAAAAUUAUGAAUAUAAUUACAAUAUUAAUGCAUUUAUUGAGAAAGUCUCUGCUGUCCAAGAAGAGACUAAUAUUUUGUAGGAAGCUAUGGAAGAAGAAAUUGAUGAAACUGUGAGCUCAUCGGAUGAAAAAGAUGAUGAGGAGAGCGAAGAACAAAAGGAGGAAGGGCGGAUGAUCACCCGUUCCCACCUUCUAAUGAGAGUAACUCUUCAACUCAUAUAUUGUUUAAUUCCCUUUCAUGCUUACCGAAGGAUGAUUGCUAUGAUCCCGUUGAUUCUCUUGAAAUAUCCCUUUUUGAUGAUUCUUGCUAUGCUUGUGCCCAAGAUGCCAAUAUGAAUUAUGCUUAUGGAGAUGAACUUGCUAUAGUUCCUUAUGUUAAACAUGAAAUUGUUGCUAUUCCACCCACGCAUGAUAGUCAUGUUAUCUUUUUGAAUUCUCCAAACUACACUAUAUCGGAGAAGUUUGUGCUUAUUAAGGAUUAUAUUGAUGGGUUGCCUUUUACUACUACACAUGAUGAUUUUGAUAGAUAUAAUAUGCAUGUGCUUGCUGCUCCUACUUGCAAUUAUUAUGAGAGAGGAACUAUAUCUCCACCUCUCUAUGUUUCCAAUAUGAUAAAAUUGCAAGAAACUGCUUAUACUAUGCAUUGGCCUUUACUUGGUGUGCAAGAAUUGUUCUUUUAUGACUUGCCGAUGCAUAGGAAGAGAGUUAGACUUUGUUGUUGCAUGAUACAUGUUACUUUGUGCUCACUACCAAAUUACAAAUCAUUGUUAAUUAAAAUUGGCUUUGAUAUACCUUGGGAUUCGGGUGGAUCCAUUACUUGAGCACUAUAUGCCUAGCUUAAUGGCUUUAAAGAAAGCGCUGCCAGGGAGACAACCCGGAAGUUUUAGAGAGUCAUUUAUUUAUGUUGAGUGCUUUUAUAUAGUUUAAAAACAAAAAAAAAUAAAGAGGGGAACCUAAAAACUUUUCAAAAAGGAAUGUGAAAGUGAGAAAGACAAGCAUUGUUGAAGUGGGAGCUAGCCUUGAACUUUGUUCAUGCUCACGGAAACUUUGUGAAUCUUGAUUACAGAAACUUUUCAACAAAAAUAAUUAUCCCCUUGUACAAUUCCAUUGUAUUAUAAAAAUAAUGUGCUAAGGUUUGCCUUUAGGAUGUUUACAAUGCUUGUUGGUUUGUACGGUGCAGGACAGAAACUUUGGCUGUAGUGCGCGAUUUUACAUUUUUAACUGGAAUGCCAAAUGGUUCUGAUUCUUUUUGCACUGUAUUUCUGUAAAUUGUUUUUAUUUUUCCUAAUUUUGGUAGAAUUGUUGUGGUACCGUAAGUAUUCUGAAUGUUCAGAUUGCUACAGACUAUUCUGUUUUUGACAGAUUCUGUUUUUGAUGCAUAGUUUACUUAUUUUGAUGAAACUAUCAAUUUAUAUUAGUAGAUUAAGCCAUGAAAAAGUUAUAUUACAGUAGACACAAUGAAAAAACAAAAUAUGAAUUGGUUUGAUACAGUACUUAGAGUGGUGAUUUGCUUUAUUAUACUAACGGAUCUUACCGAGUUUUCUAUUGAAGUUUUGUGUGGAUGAAGUGUCUAAUCGAGGAGGUCUCGAUAUGAGGAAAAGGAAGAGAGGCAAGAGCUCAAGCUUGGGGAUGCCCGAGGCACCCCAAGUAAAUAUUCAAGGAAUCAAGUGUCUAAGCUUGGGGAUGCCCCAGAAGGCAUCCCCUCUUUCUUCAACAAGUAUCGAUAUGUUUUCGGAUUCGUUUCGUUCAUGCAUUAUGUGCAAGUCUUGGCACGUCUUUUGCAUUUAGUUUUCAUUUUUCCUUUACACACCAUGAUGGUAUGAGAUAGUCCUUGGUUGAUUUAUAGAAUGCUCAUUGCACUUCACUUAAAUAUUUUGAGUAUGGCUUUAUAGAAUGCUUCAUGUGCUUCAGUUAUAUCAUUUGAAGUUUGGAUUGCCUGUUUCUCUUCACAUAAAAAACCGCCAUUUGUAGAAUGCUCUUUUGCUUCAUUUAUAUUUUUUUGAGCGUGGGCAUAUCUUUUGUAGAAAGAAUUAAAAUCUCUUGCUUCACUUAUAUCUAAUUUAGAGAGAUGACAGGAAUUGGUCAUUCACAUGGUUAUUCAUAAAAUCCUACAUAAACUUGUAGAUCGCUGAAUAUGGUAUGUUUGAUUCCUUGCAUUAGUUUUGCGAUAUAAAGGUGGUGAUAUUAGAGUCGUGCUAGUUGGGUAAUUGUGAAAUUGAGAAAUACUUGUGUUGAGGUUUGCGGGUCCCGUAGCAUGCACGUAUGGUAACUGUUGUGUGACAAAUUUGAAGCAUGGGGUGUUUCUUUGAUUGUCUUCCUUAUGAGUGGCAGUCGGGGAUGAGCGAUGGUCUUUUCCUACCAGUCUAUCCCUCCCGGGGCAUGCGUAGUAGUACUUUGCUUCGAGGGAAAGUAGACUUUUGCAAUAAGUAUGUGCGUUCUUUAUGACUAAUGUGAGUCCAAGGAUAUACACACACUCACCCUUCCACUUUGCUAGCCUUUAUUAUGUCGCGCAACCUUCGCCGGUAUCAUGCACCCAUUAUUUACCUUCCUCAAAACAGCUACCAUACCUACCUAUCAUGGCAUUUCCAUAGCCAUUCCGAGAUAUAUUGCCAUGCAACUUCCAUCAUCAUCAUAUACAGCCUUGAGCAUUCAUUGUCAUAUUGCUUUGCAUGAUCGUAAGAUAGCUAGCAUGAUAUUUUCAUGGCUUGUCCGUUUUUUGAUGUCAUUGCUAUGCUAGAUCAUUGCACAUCCCGGUACACCACCGGAGGCAUUCAUAUAGAGUCAUAUCUUUGUUGUAAUAUUGAGUCGUAUGUAAAUAAAAGUGUGAUGAUCAUCAUGUUGGAAAUAUGCCCUAGAGGCAAUAAUAAAAUGGUUAUUAUUAUAUUUCCUUGUUCAUGAUAAUUGUCUAUUAUUCAUGCUAUAAUUGUGUUAUCCGGAAAUCGUAAUACAUGUGUGAAUACAUAGACCACAACAUGUCCCUAGUGAGCCUCUAGUUGACUAGCUCGUUGAUCAAUUGAUAGUCAUGGUUUCCUGACUAUGGACAUUGGAUGUCGUUGAUAACGGGAUCACAUCAUUAGGAGAAUGAUGUGAUGGACAAGACCCAAUCCUAAGCAUAGCACAAGAUCGUGUAGUUCGUUUGCUAGAGCUUUUCCAAUGUCAAGUAUCUUUUCCUUAGACCAUGAGAUCGUGUAACUCCCGGAUACCGUAGGAGUGCUUUGGGUGUACCAAACUUCACAACGUAACUGGGUGACUAUAAAGGUAUACUACGGGUAUCCCCAAAAGUAUCUGUUGGGUUGACACGGAUUGAGACUGGGAUUUGUCACUCCGUAUGACGGAGAGGUAUCUCUGGGCCCACUCGGUAAUGCAUCAUCAUAAUGAGCUCAAUGUGACCAAGUGUUUGGUCACGGGAUCAUGCAUUACAGUACGAGUAAAGUGACUUGUCGGUAAUAAGAUUAAACGAGGUAUUGGGAUACCGACGAUCGAAUCUCGGGCAAGUAACGUACCGAUUGACAAAGGAAAUUGUAUACGGGGUUGCUUGAAUCCUCGACAUCGUGGUUUAUUCGAUGAGAUCAUCGUGGAACAUGUGGGAGCCAACAUGGGUAUCCAGAUCCCGCUGUUGGUCAUUGGCCGAAGAGCUGUCUCGGUCAUGUCUGCGUGAUUCCCGAACCCAUAGGGUCUACACACUUGAGGUUCGGUGACGCUAGGGUUGUAGAGAUAUUAAUAUGCGGAAACCCGAAAGUUGUUCGGAGUCCCGAAUGAGAUCCCGGAUGUCGCGGGGAGUUCCGAAAUGGUCCGGAGGUAAAGAAUUCUAUAUAGGAAGUCCAGUUUCGGCCACCGGGAAAAUUUCGGGGGUCACCGGUAUUGUACCGGGACCACCGGAAGGGUCCCGGGGGUCCACCGGAUGGGGCCACCUAUCCCGGAGGGCCAAGUGGGCUGAAAGGGGAAGGGAACCAGCCCCUGGUGGGCUGGUGCACCCCCCCUUGGGCCUCUCCUGCGCCUAGGGUUGGAAACCCUAGGGGUGGGGGGGCGCCCCACUUGACUUGGGGGGCAAGUCCCCCCCUAGGCUGGCGCCCCCCCUUGGAGAUGGGAUCUCCAGGGCCAGCGCACCCCCUAGGCCCCCUAUAUAUAGAGGGGGGAGGGAGGGCAGCCGCACCCAAGUCCUUGGCGCCUCCCUCUCCCCCCGUACCACCUCUCCCUCUCGCUGAGCUUGGCGAAGCCCUGCCGAGAUUGCCGCUGCUUCCACCACCACGACGUCGUGCUGCUGGAUCUCCAUCAACCUCUCCUUCCCCCUUGCUGGAUCAAGAAGGAGGAUACGUCUUCCCCAACCGUACGUGUGUUGAUCGCGGAGGUGCUGUCCGUUCAGCACUAGGAUCUUCGGUGAUUUGGAUCACGACGAGUACGACUCCCUCAACCCCGUUCUCUUGAACACUUCCGCUCGCGAUCUACAAGGGUAUGUAGAUGCACUUCUCUCUCUCGUUGCUAGAUGACUCCAUAGAUUGAUCUUGGUGAAGCGUAGAAAUUUUUUAUUUUCUGCAACGUUCCCCAGCACAUCAUUAUUAGAGCAUUGCCCAAGUGAGGAAAGGAUGAUGGAGACUAUGAUUCCCCCACAAGUCGGGAUGAGACUCAUGACUUUAUGAAAAAUAAAAGAGGCCAAAGAAUCCCAAAUAAAAAAAGAGGCCAAAGAAGCCCACCAAAAAAAGAGAAAAAAAUAAAAAAAUGAGAGAAAAAGAGAGAAGGGGCAAUGUUACUAUCCUUUUACCUCAUUUGUGCUUCAGAGUAGCACCAUGUUCUUCAUAUAGAGAGUCUCUUGAGUUAUCACUUUCAUAUACUAGUGGGAAUUUUCAUUAUAGAACUUGGCUUGUAUAUUCCGAUGAUGGGCUUCCUCAAAUGCCCGAGGUCUUCAUGAGCAAGCAAGUUGGAUGCACACCCACUUAGUUUCCAGUUUGAGCUUUCAUAUAUUUAUAGCUCUAGUGCAUCUGUUGCAUGGCAAUCCCUACUCACUCACAUUGAUAUCUAUUAAUGGGCAUCUCCAUAGCCCGUUGAUAUGCCUAGUUGAUGUGAGACUAUCUUCUCCCUUUUUGUCUUCACAACCACCACCAUAUACCACAUAUAGUGCUAUGUCCAUGGCUUGCGCUCAUGUAUUGCAUAAGAGUUGAAAAAGCUGAAGCGCGUUAAAAAGUAUGAACCAAUUGCUCGGCUCGUCAUCGGGUUGUGCAUGAUGGGAGCAUUUUGUGUGACGAAAAUGAAGCAUGGCCAAACUAUAUGAUUUUCUAGGGAUAAGCUUUCUAAGGCUAUGUCAUUUGAUAAGACAUAAUUGCUUGGUUGGUAUGCUUGAAGUAUUAUUUUUUUAUGUCAAAUGAUAGACUAUUACUUUGAAUCACUCGUGUCUUAAUAUUCAUGCCAUGAUUAGACAUAUGAUCAAGAUUAUGCUAGGUCGCAUUCCACAUCAAAAUUUAUCUUUUUAUCAUUUACCUACUCGAGGACGAGCAGGAAUUAAGCUUGGGGAUGCUGAUACGUCUCCGUCAUAUCUAUAAUUUUUUAUUGUUCCAUGCCAAUAUUAUUCAACUUUCAUAUACUUUUGGCAACUUUUUAUACUAUUUUUGGGACUAACAUAUUGAUCCAGUGUCCAGUGCCAGUUCUGUUUGUUGCAUGUUUUAUGUUUCAUAGGAAACACAUAUCAAACGGAAUCCAAACGGGAUAAAAACAGACGGAGACUAUUUUUGGCAUAUUUGGGAUUUUUCAGAGGAAGAAUCAACGUGAAACAGUGCCUGAGGUGGCCAGGAGAUAGGGGGAGCGUCCACCCCCUGGGCGCGCCUGGCACUCUCCUGGGCCACCCAUAAGGCGGUUGACGCUCUUCUUUUGCUGCAAGAAAGCUAAUUUUACGAGAAAAAUCUGGACGAAAGAUUCACCCCAAUCGGAGUUACGGAUCUCCGGAUAUAAAAGAAACGGUGAAGGGGUAGAAUCUGAGAACGCAGAAAUAGAGAGAUAGAUCCAAUCUCGGAGGGGAUCUUGCCCCUCCCAAUCCAUGGGAGCCAAGGACCAGAGGGGAAACCCUUCUCCCAUCUAGGGAGAAGGUCAAGGAAGAAGAAGAAGAAGGGGGGCUCUCUCCCCCUUGCUUCCUGUGGCGCCGGAACGCCGCCAAGGGCCAUCAUCAUCAUCGCGAUCUUCACCAACACCUCCGCCAUAUUCACCAACAUCUCCAUCACCUUCCCCCAUCUAUAUUCAGCAGUCCACUCUCCCGCAACCCGCUGUACCCUAUACUUGAACAUGGUGCUUUAUGCUUCAUAUUAUUAUCCAAUGAUGUGUUGCCAUCCUAUGAUGUCUGAGUAGAUUUUUGUUGUCCUAUUGGUGGUUGAUGAAUUGCUAUGAUUGAUUUAAUUUGCUUGUGGUUAUGUUGUUGUCCUUUGGUGCCCAUCAUAUGAGCGCGCGCGUGGAUCACACCAUAGGGUUAGUUGUAUGUUGAUAGGACUAUGUAUUGGAGGGCUAGAGUGACAGAAGCUUCAACCUACCAUAGAAAUUGAUGCAUACGGGAUUGAAGGGGGGCCAAUAUAUCUUAAUGCUAUGGUUGGGUUUUACCUUAAUGAACGUUAGUAGUUGCGGAUGCUUGCUAAUAGUUCCAAUCAUAAGUGCAUAGAAUUCCAAGUCAGGGAUGACAUGCCAGCAGUGGCCUCUCCCACAAAAAACUUGCUAUCGGUCUAGUAAAGUAGUCAAUUGCUUAGGGACAAUUCCACAACUCCUACCACCACUUUUUCCACACUCGCUAUAUUUACUUUAUUGCUUCUUUAUCUAAACAGCCCCUAGUUUAUAUUUACGUGUUCUUUAUUAUCUUGCAAACCUAUUCUAUCACACCUACAAAGUACCUCUAGUUUCAUACUUGUUCUAGGUAAAGCGAACGUCAAGCGUGCGUAGAGUCAUAAUAGUGGCCGAUAGUACUUGAGAGAGUAUUUGUUCUACCUUUAGCUCCUCGUUGGGUUUGGCACUCUUACUUAUCGAAAGAGGCUACAAUUAUCCCCUACACUUGUGGGUUAUCACUGAUCAAUACUCGUAAGAUCUAUAGUAGGUACAAAUGUUGCAUAAGUUGAUGUACUUUUUGAAGCCGGAAUGAACAUGCUAGAAAAGCAAGUUGUUUGCAAAUCUUAUUGGAUGAAUAAACUGGAAGUACAAAUGUACUUAAAAUAAAGAAGUUUUGAUCAAGUUCAUUAAUAAAUAACAUGCACCAAACCACUUGUUAGAAUAAGGAUGCUAGAGAGAUUACUUGAAAUCCAUACAAGCGAGCAAUUAGAAUUACGUGGUGCAGAAGAAUGAUUUUGGGAUGUUAAAAAUAAAGAACAAUGAUUGUGUCUAUCUAUACACGAUUUUCCUCUGCUCAAGCAAGCAAGCAAGAAUCAAACAACAUAAUAUACAGCAAUUUGAUUGCACACACGUUCAAACUGGACGGAUACGUGCACAUUAGCAAACACCACCAAGUUGUGUCCAGACCAUUUGCAAUCAAAAGAUGAGAUGUGCAGGGAAGGGGGUGGAGCUCACCACACCAGGACAGGGGGUAGGAGGAUGGAGUAGGCAGCCGCAGCAACGAUGAGGGAGGGCUUGUCCUCGUCCACCUGAAGCAGUAGGUGGAGCAGCUGGUCUAGAUCCGAGCAACCUGCACAGAAAACAAAGGAAAGGAAAGGAAAGGAAAGGAAUCACAAGGAUGGGCAUGAAGAAACCGACAAGACAAGGGAAGGAGGCGUGCGCACAAUGGUCGGAGGUCGUUGGAGAUGGCCUGCAGCCGGCGCACGUCUUUUCCUUGGAGGUUGAGGCGUCGGACCUCCACGGGUAGCUAGGGAUUCGGGCGUCUCAGUCCAUGUCUGCAGCCGGGUCGGACCUCCAUGGACGAUCUCGAGGGACGGCGGCCCGCCGGUGCGGCUGCGGAUAUGGGCGUUGCCUCUCCUUGCCACUGGAUCCCUUCCAGUCCCUUCCCUCCCUUGGGAGAGAGAGAGAGAAGGUGAGGGGGAGGAGGACGCCCGACAAGGCUCCUCCCGCCUGCCCGCAACGAGAGGUAACGGGGGCGGUCGCGACAGGAGGUGGGGGGGCGGCGGCGUUUGAGGGAGGGGAUCGGCGGCGGCUAUGAGGGCAAAGGAUCUGGUGAGGCGGCGGGGCAGAAGCUGCAAGAGACGGUGGAGGGGACCUCGAGGCCGAGCUCAGGCCAUGGCUUCCCUGGCUCCAAAGGCCAUGGCGGCGCUAGACGUAGCGGCGGGGCAAGGAGGAGGCCGGCCGUCGGGGAGGCAGGAGCUCCUUGUCCCCUUGAUCCAAAUUGGGAUCGAGGAGGGAACAACAGGGGCGCGAGGGAGCGGGCGACAGGUCGGGGCGUAGGUUAUUUUCGUAGGUUAACCGUCGUAGAUUUUUUUAGGACGAUUUUCUGUCGAUGAACCGUAGUGUUUCACAACUGGCAUCGUGGUAGCAUACCGUUUUUUUGUCGGUCUCGUGGGCGGAAGGGGGGAACCGCUGGGUUGUGGGAGGUGGGAUCGAGGACGAAAAUUAACCGUCUCUGGUGGAACGAAAAUUGACCGGCGGAGACUACCAACUGCUCCAUUAGGAGUAGAGAUACAUUUAUCUUUAUAAAUGCACGCAUGCACACUCUAACUCUACGAGCAUCUCUUAGAGACUGAGCCGGCACAUCCUCUUAAGAUCAACGAACACUAGUGCAGAACCGGGCAAUAGCACCGGCUCGUAAGGGCUAUUAGUGCCGGUUUUGUAACCGGCACUAAAGGGUGGGGACAAAAGGUCCCCCACUUUAGUACCGGUUCGUCACGGACCGCCACUAAAGUGCCACCACAUGGCACGAGGCAGGGCCGGGUGUGGGGAGACCUAUAGUACCGGUUGGUAACACCAACCGGUACUAAAUGUUCGGGUGUUUUUUUCCUUUCACUUUGUGUUUUCAAUUUAAUUUAGAGAUUAUUUUAACAUUAUAAUGAGUUGUUAAAUCAUUAGGUGAAAGUACCCGCAGAUUAGUUUCAACUGGAUGCAUGCAUGGAUCCUGGCUAAGUGAUCAAAGUAUAUAUGCCAUAUCCAUAUAUAUUACUUGAUCACUUAUAUUAGGUGAGCAAGUAAUUAAUAUGGAUAUGGCAUAUAUAUACUUGAUCACUUAGCUAGCUAGGAUCCAUCCAGUUAAAACUAAUCUGCAGUUUCUUUCAUAAAUGAUAUAAUAACUCAUCAUCAUCAUAUUAAUAUAAAAACUAUUGCAUCAUAUAUAUCAUCACCAACAAGUUAUAAUGGUAUACUAGCUAGCUAAAAAUCAUUAUAGUCGUCAUUACCACUAUUUAAUCAUCAUAGUCAUUACUGCUAUCUAAUCAUCACCAAUACCAGCUUAAAGAAGAAACAUUCACUUUGUACCAGAAGGAAAGAUAUCAUCGAGUUCAACAUGAUCACUCUUUGAGAUUAAGUUCAGGACGAAAAACACGGACAUGAGAGGACAAGUACUAAGAGCAUGCUAAUCACUCCUGCUGCUCUGUCUCGGGUAAAAUGACAUAGAACAUGUGUAGCUGUCCUGAUUCAUCAUAUUGGAGCAUGGAGAUGAACCUGUCUCCUAAUCGUGGGUUGCGCUUCUGCUUGUUGACUCCUAGUACUUCUCUGUGAUCAUUCACAAUUUUGCUCCUGUCUUUCAGUAUUAAGCAUUCCUCGGUUCUAGAAAUCUUGAAUGCACUCAUGUGCAAUGUAGGAUGUCUUGGCCGUAAGCUAACAAUUGACAUGCGACCGUUAGUCGAGAUCCACUAAGGCAGAACUAUCAUCGGGAGUCCCUGUUGAAGAGAACAUCGUAUAGUAUCAUACUUAGCAACAUGAAGUUUAGCUUAAAAAAUAAUGUAUGCAAAAGAUACACUGAGGACAAAUAGUAAAAAUCUUACCAUCUUUCCUAAAUACAUGUGACCGUAGUUCAAUACGAAUGCUAUUGGUCGCACGUUUUGAGUACUAAGAUAUGCAAGUCUAAGAAAAUAAUGUCUCUUGACAGCAUCAAGAUCCUCAAGCCAUGAAACAUAUUGACUUAUCUCCUCGCAGUUUAGUUCAGCCCCGGGACAGUGGACGGUCCUGUCUACCAAGCAUUGGACACGUUUGCUUGAAUGGAAAUAAGUUGUCAAUUGAAAUUAUAGUUGUCAACUAUUUUUGAAAAAACAAUAUCAACAUAAAUAUGGCAUGAGAUACUCACAUAAUGGUAGAACUGGAGGCUUCUGCACAUCGACCCAAAUGUCACUAUUACCUUCAAUGUCAUCUUCGGGACGAAUAUGAAAGGUGAUAAACAUAUCAGGCUCAAAUGCAUAAGCCUUGCAUAGUUCUUGCCAAGUUUUGCAUUCAAAGUGGGUGUAGGUUUCUUGAUUGUAUAAUUUCACGUUGAAGGUAUAACCAUGCUCGGUCUUCAAGUAAACUCUCUUUACCUCCAUAGUUUUGUCAGGACUAAAACCUAUUUUAUCCAAGACAAAUAUUCUUGCAUGGCAGGGGAUACGCUAGUAUAAUAGUGAAAAUUUGAAAUAAUAAGUUCAAGCAAAUGAAGCACAUAUAAGUCAUGCUUAAUUACGAAAAAAGACUUGUCGUUGUGACUUACUGUAUCCACUUCGAAGGUCUCAUCUAGCUUGAUGCUGAAGAGCCUAUCAUCAACUAGGAAAUUUCUGUUGCACAGGCCGCGUUGGUCUUCGCAGUCUUCGCACAUAAUGAAAUCGUUUUCGUCGUCAUACGACAUUUCCUAUGUUCAUAGGUGAAACAUUAAACACUUAUUAGUUAUAUAUUAAUUCAACUAAUUAGACUAGUUCUAUUAAUUCAACUAGCUAGUUCAACUAAUCAAUUCAACUAAGCACUAACUAAAAAUAUACCUAAAUAAAAAAUAUAUAGCUCCUAAUUAAACUAAUUCAACUAAUUAACUAGUUCAACUAAUUCAACUAAUUCAACUAAACUAGUUCUAUUAAUUUUCUUACUAAAAAUAAAUUAGCUAGUUUUAUAUACACCAAUUUUAAUUGGAUGAUCAAAUCUCGUAUACCUAAAUUUAGUAUAUAUUAUUUCAUCUAACAUUAAUAUAAAUUCAUCUACUAAAAAUAUAAAAAACUAACUUUCAUCUAACAUUAUCUAAUUAUUAUAUAAUCUAACAUUUAUAUAAUCUAACAUUUUGACAUUAAACUUUUAUGUGUGUGUGUGUGUGCUUGUGUGUGUGUGCAUGUGUGUGUGUGUGUGUGUGUGUGUGCGUGUUUGCAGGAGGCCGCCGGCGAGCGGCNNNNNNNNNNNNNNNNNNNNNNNNNNNNNNNNNNNNNNNNNNNNNNNNNNNNNNNNNNNNNNNNNNNNNNNNNNNNNNNNNNNNNNNNNNNNNNNNNNNNNNNNNNNNNNNNNNNNNNNNNNNNNNNNNNNNNNNNNNNNNNNNNNNNNNNNNNNNNNNNNNNNNNNNNNNNNNNNNNNNNNNNNNNNNNNNNNNNNNNNNNNNNNNNNNNNNNNNNNNNNNNNNNNNNNNNNNNNNNNNNNNNNNNNNNNNNNNNNNNNNNNNNNNNNNNNNNNNNNNNNNNNNNNNNNNNNNNNNNNNNNNNNNNNNNNNNNNNNNNNNNNNNNNNNNNNNNNNNNNNNNNNNNNNNNNNNNNNNNNNNNNNNNNNNNNNNNNNNNNNNNNNNNNNNNNNNNNNNNNNNNNNNNNNNNNNNNNNNNNNNNNNNNNNNNNNNNNNNNACGUACGGUGACGGGGACGGCGACGACGACGAUGUAUGGCGACGGGGGUGGUGCAGGGGCGGCGCGCGCAACGUACGGGGGCGGCGAUGACGUACGCCGACGGGGGCACGCGGCGAAGGGGGUGGCGAUGACAGUGACGGCGGUGGCGCGCGCGAGGACAGGGCGCGAUGAAGAUGAUAACUGAAAAUUUUCGUAAGUGCUGGUUAUAUAGGGGAAGCCUUUAGUACGGUUGGAGCCACCAACCUGUACUAAAGGUUAAAUUUGGCCAGGCGAAGCGGCAGGAAGUGACCCCCUUUAGUACCGGUUGGUGGCUCCACCCGGUACUAAAGGCCACCCUUUAGUACCGGUUUGUGCCACGAACCGAUACUAAAGGGGGUGCGCUCCGUGCUCAUUGUUUAGUCCCACCUCGCCGAGCGAAGGGCAACCGCACUGGUUUAUAAACCCAGCCGCGGCUGCUCCUUUGAGCUCCUCUAUAAUGCAGGCCUCUGGGCCUAACUUUGCCGCGCUGCCCUGUGAGCCUGCUGGGCCUUAUGGGCCUGCAUAUGCACGCCCAAGGCCAGGCAGGCCCACUAGGCAAUGCGGAAAUAUAUUUUUUUAUAUAGUUUUUUGCUUUUGUGGUUUAUAUAUUUUCUUCUAUUUAUUUGUGAGUAGUUUUUUGCUGUAUUUAGAGUUUCUUAUAUUUAAUAUUAGUGUGUUUUAUCAUUAUAUUCAUAUUUGUAGUGAUUUUUCAGUUCAUUUUGUACUGCUUUUUUUCAUAUAGUUUUUUUUUCUUUUGUGGUUUAUAUAUUUUCUUCUAUUUAGUUGUGAGUAGUUUUUUGUUGUAUUUAAAGUUUCUUAUAUUUAAUAUUAGUGUGUUUUAUCAUUAUAUUCAUAUUUGUAGUGAUUUUUCAGUUCAUUUUGUACUGCUUUUCACUUUCACGGUGAUUUAGCUCUGAAAACAAAUCAGUAAAUGCAUCAAAAAUAGCAAAUUAUGUCAGAAAGGGUUGAAAGUUGAUGACGUGGAUUUGAAUUAUGCAUCUGAACGCAAAAAAGUGCGGAGUUGUACUAAGUUAUUAAAAUAUGGAAUAGCGGGUCUAACAGAUGAGUUUUUUUCUGAAACCCUGAUACUUCCUAAGAGAUUGUCCAGUUUGAACACGACGUGCAUCCAGUUUUUGCCGUAACCCUCUCUACUUUUUUGCACAUGCUAUGCGGGUGAAAUGAUGAUACCUUGCCAAGUUUCAACCUUUUUAGAGUUCAUUUUGUACUGUUUUUCACUUUCGUGAUGAUUUAGCUCUAAAAACAAAUCAGUAAAUGUAUCGAAAAUAGCAAAUUAUGUCAGAAAGGGUUGAAAGUUGAUGACGUGGAUUUGAAUUGUGCAUCUGAACGCAAAAAAAGUCCGGAGUUGUACUAAGUUAUUAAAAUACUGAAUAGCCGGUGUAACAGAUGCGUUUUCAUCUGAAACCUUGAUACUUCCUAAGAGAUUGUCAAGUUUGUACACGACGUGCAUCCAGUUUUUGCCGUAACCCUCUCUACUUUUUUGCACAUGCUAUGUGGGUGAAAUGAUGAUACAUUGCCAAAUUUCAACCUUUUCAGAGUUUAUUUUGUACUGCUUUUCACUUUCACGGUGAUUUAACUCUGAAAACAAAUCAGUAUAUGCAUCGAAAAUAGCAAAUUAUGUCAGAAAGGGUUGAAAGUUGAUGACAUGGAUUUGAAUUGUGCAUCUGAACGUAAGAAAAGUCUGGAGUUGUACUAAGUUAUUAAAAUAUUUAAUAGCCGGUGUAACAGAUGAGUUUUCGUCUGAAACCCUGAUACUUCCUAAGAGAUUGUCCAGUUUGUACAAGACGUGCAUCCAGUUUUUGCCGUAACCCUCUCUACUUUUUUCACAUGCUAUGGGGGUGAAAUGUUGAUACCUUGCCAAGUUUCAACCUUUUCAGAGUUCAUUUUGUACUGCUUUUCACUUUCACAGUGAUUUAGCUCUGAAAACAAAUCAGUAAAUGCAUCAAAAAUAGUAAAUUAUGUCAGAAAGGGUUGAAAGUUGAUGACAUGGAUUUGAAUUGUGCAUCUGAACGCAAAAAAAGUCCGGAGUUGUACUAAGUUAUUAAAAUAUUGAAUAGCCGGUGUAACAGAUAAGUUUUCGUCUGAAACCCUGAUACUUCCUAAGAGAUUGUUCAGUUUGUACACAACGUGCAUCCAGUUUUUACCGUAACCCUCUCUACUUUUUUGCACAUGCCAUGCGGGUGAAAUGAUGAUACCUUGCUAAGUUUCAACAUUUUCAGAGUUCAUUUUGUACUACUUUUUACUUUCACGGCGAUUUAGCUCUAAAAACAAAUCAGUAAAUGCAUCGAAAAUAGCAAAUUAUGUUAGAAAGGGUUGAAAGUUGAUGACAUGGAUUUGAAUUGUGCAUCUGAGCGCAAAAAAAGUCCGGAGUUGUACUAAGUUAUUAAAAUAUUGAAUAGCCGGUGUAACAGAUGAGUUUUCGUCCGAAACCCUGAUAUACUUCCUAAGAGAUUGUCCGGUUCGAACCGGCUGUUGUGUAAACAUGUAAAAAUAUAAAUAAAAUACAUUGAUCAGUACCGCCUUUCAGCCAAAAACGCGCUACUGCUACAGAGAAAUACAUCAAAAUACAUUGAUCAUCGAUGAUCUUUUUGUGUAGAAUCUGAAUUGUCAAUAUGAGUCGUCCCCGGUAGGAACCGGAGAAGACUCAUAUUGCGGCCACAAAUUCUACACAUAGAGUUCAAUAAAGACCAACUGCUUGUGAUAGUUUGAGAAGUAACAUAUUUAAGGUGGUAAAAACUCUGUAGCGAGGUGGGACUAAAAAACCACUAUGAACUAGGAACCUCUAGUACCAGUUUGUGUCAUGAACUGGUACUAAAGGUGCGGGUGGCCCCCCAGCCUAACCACAGCCUGCAACAGCCACUCUAGUACUGGUUCGUGGCACGAACCGGUACUAGAAGGUCGCCACGAAUCGGUACUAAUGGUCUCCACCCCUAGCCGUUUGGACCGGCACUAAUGAUCACAUUAGUGUCGGCUUUGUUAUAAACCGGGACUAAUGUGCUUCACAUUAGGCCCUUUUUCUACUAGUGGAAGUCACCACAUGCACCUCCAUAAUCGACCGGAACAAAUUCUCACUCUAAAAGAACAUUGCCGUAAAGGUCUGGAAAAAAUCAGAAAAAUACGAGCAUCAAUGUCAAGUCUAGGACAUUCAUAGGGUAGUGUGUGUGUGUGCAUUCACAGGAUGAGUAUAUGUGUGUGUAUGAGCAUCUACAUCUGUAUUGUAUUAAAAAAAACUAACCAUUUGAGUUGGGCUCCCGUGGCUGAUGCCGAGCAGGAGUUAAAGGAGAGGUCUUUACUCCUGCCGUGGUGGGUGCACCGUGAUGUGGGCGGUUGGUGGUGUCUCGGACAUGGAUACUGGGGUGGUGAUCCCAGAUGGUGGUCCGCAUGGUUUGCUUUCUGGCAGGCACCAUGGGAGCGGUGUUGGCCUUCCCUCUUGGUUGUGUGGGCGGCAAGAAGUGGAGUGGCGGGUGGCUCAGGCGUGCUUUCUGUCACCUGGCAGUGGCUCCGCCCCGAUCUGGAUAUGGAGUUCUGACUUUGACGCACUCGUUCUGGAGCCUUCCUCUUCUGUUCAUGGCGCUAGGAGAGAUGCAUUCAUAUAAUCAGUAACACGCCUUUUCACUUUAUUCAAAACAGGGAUAGAUGGUACAUGAACAUCUGAAGUAAAAAGAUGUUGAAAGUAUUGACUGAUCAGACUUCUCGUAGACUCAUUGUCUUCCUUCCAAACGCGACCAUCAUCCCGCAACCGCUUAAUGUGAUUUCUCUUCUUCCUGGCUGACGCAAAGUUAUGGAAAAAUUAGUAUUGCGGUCGCCAAACUUUAACCAGUUAGCAUGACCGCGUUGGAUCCAGUAUAUCUCCUCCUUCUGUAGAUUUUCUUCAAUUUUUAUUAGCAGCUCAUGUUGCCGUUUCGCCCACUCAUCAGAAAGUGGGCCUGAUCACAACAAUUGCACCUUCGUGUUAAGUUCCUUCAAACACCGAGCUCAAUCCCAUUCAUGCAUGGCCUCAUGCACGCUUGCUGUUCGCGCGGCAAAAGUCGCCAAGGGAUGAGUAUGUUCCCAAGCUUCUAAAAUGAGCUCCGCCAAACCUGAACAAAUGGGCCAGCCCGGUCCGGCCUGGCAGGAGUUAAACAAGAGUCAGGCACGACACGUCCUGACCAGGCACGCUAAGUACACAGGCCGUGCCGGGCCGACACACGUACUGCCCUUUUUUACCCAAGCACGGCCCCUCACUACACGGGCCAACACGGCGGCCUGUUUGACACGCCUGCACGGUUAGCCCAAGCGACAGACGAAGGCAUGCUCCGCAGAUCGCCUCAUUCGCUUGUGGCAUCGAGGCACAAUUGUGCACUCAUGCAGCCUGCUAGGAGGACACAUGCCUCCAUGUCCUUUUUUUCUUUUGACAGUACGCCUCUCUGUCCUUGCUCCCCAUUACUUCCAAAACUAAUAAAAUAAAAUGCAUAUAUAUCACUAAACGGGUCGUGCCGUGCUGGCACUUGUGCCCACCCUCAUGGCCCAAGCAGGGCCCUAGGCGAGCGCCGUGCCGGCACGACCCGAUUAUAAAUGUGUGGGGCUAGGCCCACACGGUCUGGGCACGCGGGCUAUCGGGCCGACAUGCUAAGACUGGCCCAUUUGGCCAGGUUUGGGUUGCACCACAUUGUCCUCUUGAAACCACCUCGACUCAAAUUUCUUUUGAUGUACAAGAUGUUGGUCCCCCUAUCACCUCUCCUUCCGUAUCAACAAAAACAGGUAUGUGAUCAGACUUGGUAUGCUCUGCGUUGAUCACCCUAGCAUGCGGGGAAAGGCCAUGAAACCGGCCAUUACAGACUGCUCUAUCCAAACAUUCCGGGAGGCUCCUUCUUCGCCAGGUAAAAGGAUCACCCGCGAAGCCCAUGUCAUCAAGUUCAUAAUCUAAUAGGGCAUCUCGGAAACUUUGCAUCAUGUGCAUCAGCCGUGGUGCGCCACCCUCCUUCUCAUUAGAAUAUAGGACUUCAUUAAAGUCACCAGCUACCAACCUUUUAUUACCCCUUUGCUAAAUUAAAUCAUUCAUAUAUUUUAUUUUUGAAAUUUUUUAUAUAUUUGAACUCCUCAUGUCAAAGCCUAAAACAAGACCAAUCUUGAAUACAAUUCAAACACAUUUAAAUUUCAAAUGUUUCACAUUUCAUAUGAAACAUACUCAUUUCACUAAUAUUCUUUUGAAAAAAACUUUUAAUAGAAAUAUGUUAAACCAAUGCAUUUCACUAGAAACCAAUUAAACCCAAAUAGGAAACUGAAAUGUCAACUUUGUGAAAUUGAUUUUUUUUUAAUGUGUAACAAAUUUUUUUAAUGGAGUGAAAAUGCCUUUUGAAAUAUGUGCAAUUUUUGUGAAAUAGUCCAAUGAAAUGUAAACUGUAGGUUCUAAAUUGUGAAAUUAUAAACACAAAAAAUGAACCUACCAAUGUGAAAUUGCUUAUUUCAAAAGAGUGAAAUAUGUUAUUUAAAAAAUGUGUAAUUGAAAUAGAUGCGAUUUCCGUGAAACAGGCCAAUGAAAUGUAAAAUGUAGGUUCUGAAUUGUGAAAUCGUAAUCACAAAAGGUGAAAUUAUAAUGUAUAGUGAAAUUGCUUAUUUAAAAAAGUGAAAUAUGUUAGUCCAAAAAAAUAUGUAAUUAAAAUAGAUGUCAUUUCUGUGAAAACAGGCUAGUGAAAUGUAAAAUCUAGGUUCUGAAUUGUGAAACAGUAACCACAAAAAAAUAAAAUUAUAAUAUAGCAGUGUGAAACUAAUUUAUUCAAAAGAGUGAAAUAUGUUAUUUUGAAAAAUGUGCAAUUGAAACAAGCCGGUGAAAAGGAAAAUGUAGGUUCUGAAUUGUGAAAUAGCAACUACAGAAAUUUUGUAACGUAUCAUUGUGAAACCGAUUUUUGAAAUGUGAAAUAUACGUCCGAUUUGAAACAUGGUUGAAAAUAUCCAAAAUUUGAUCCUAUUUUAAAGGUUUUGAUGCAAGGAGUUCAAAUAUAUGAAAAGUUUGAAAACGAAUAUGCGCUUUAAAAGAUAUAGAUGUUUUAACUUAGCCAAGAUGGAAAAAUGAUUGGAUUUAUUGAGAGAGAGAGANNNNNNNNNNNNNNNNNNNNNNNNNNNNNNNNNNNNNNNNNNNNNNNNNNNNNNNNNNNNNNNNNNNNNNNNNNNNNNNNNNNNNNNNNNNNNNNNNNNNNNNNNNNNNNNNNNNNNNNNNNNNNNNNNNNNNNNNNNNNNNNNNNNNNNNNNNNNNNNNNNNNNNNNNNNNNNNNNNNNNNNNNNNNNNNNNNNNNNNNNNNNNNNNNNNNNNNNNNNNNNNNNNNNNNNNNNNNNNNNNNNNNNNNNNNNNNNNNNNNNNNNNNNNNNNNNNNNNNNNNNNNNNNNNNNNNNNNNNNNNNNNNNNNNNNNNNNNNNNNNNNNNNNNNNNNNNNNNNNNNNNNNNNNNNNNNNNNNNNNNNNNNNNNNNNNNNNGAGAGAGAGAGUUGUUCUUCCAUAUUACUGCGAUGCAUACGUGUGAUGUACAAUGGUGAGGUUGAAAAGAGAGAGCAGAAAUACGGAGAUGAGAAAUAGAGAAAGAAGUGCAAUACAAAGAUAGUUGGCCCACGGAGUAUUAGGUGUCUGCUUUCUAUUGGAGCCAACCUUGCCUGUACAUAGCACUACCGUGCAAUUUUCAUUUCAGUCUCCCGUUUGGCAUAGUUUGACCUGGUCAUACCAAAAAAAUUCCCCUCACUAGUCACUACGGGCAGCGUAAGACCGUACGAAGCCGAUCGUGAGACCCUCUCUCGCGUGCGACGCGUGGCUAUAUACGAAUCUCAAAGCAGCAACCGUCUGGUUCCCCACUUUCUCGUUUGCAAAUCACGAUUCAGGAUGUGUUUGGUUUGUGCUCAAGAUUGCCCCGCCAAAGCAUUGGCUAGCCAAAAUUUUGGUUGAGAAUUUGGUUGCCCAAGAUUUAGCGAAUAUUGAUAGGAAAAAUGAAUUAGAGUUGGCUAGAGUUUAUUGGCAUGCUAAAAAAAUUGGCAACCAUUCAAAUAAAAACCAAUUUUUGAGUCAUGACCAAAAUUUUGGUAGGAUGCACUUUGGCUACAAUCCAAACAAACCUUCAAUCUCUAGAACGCUCCCAAAUUCCAGCCGCCAGUGUGAUACUCCCCGAUGCUCACCACAUCACCGCCGAUGAGCUCCUCGACACCAAGCACACACACUUGGUGCGAUUCAUCCCCGUCGGGCGGCCCAACUCGUAGCACCGCCCAGCUACUUCUCCCCGCCGGCCAGGGCGAUGCUCACGGGCGCCUCCACUCGCGGCAUCGCCAGCGCAUAUACCCCUUGGCUGCGGCCAAGCUUCUCACGUGCAGGUGUGUUACUCGCCGUCCAUGGCCACCCUCCUCAGUUUGGCUCUGCUGGCUACCUUACUCUACAUUGACCUGCUGGCUGCAUCGUAGUAAAAGGAUAACUUCAAGUUCACAGCAUGUUUGCUCAUCUGCAAGUUGCAACACCGUUUCUGCUCCGGUGCUCCCCCCUGGGCUGAACGCGAGGUGGAAAAACACAUCGACGGCUAGGAUGAACCAAAAAUGGUUCAUUACGAGGGGCACAAUCAUCUUUGUUGCCCUCGCGUAUAGCUGUCGAGGAGCCCUGGGAGGCCCAUGCGGGCCCGGUUAGAUCGUAUGCCCGGUCGUAUACAUAUUUGUAUACGGCGGCAUUUCGUUCACGCAUGCAGCCGCAGGAGCGUGGGGCAGCACGUGUCACGGGUAGUUGCCAAAACCGUCCCAUCAUAUAAAUGUGGACGACAAGCACCUCCGGCCGAAUCGCCCACCAUUUCACCCCGCCGCAUCGUCCCCCUCUCUCCACUCCCCACUCCCUCUCCUCUCCAACCUCCUCGUCUCCCUCUUCCCAACCGCAUCCUCUCCAUCGCCAUGGCGGACGCAGGAGGCGAGCACCUCACUUGGGGCACAGAUCUGGUGGAGCAGGCGCGACAGGUCGCUGCGGGCACCUUUGUGAUGGGACGUGCUGGCGUCCAGCGCGGUGCUCCCCCCGCUGCAGAUCUGGAGAAGGUGGGGGCGGGCUGCAGCGGUGCAGUCCAGCCAAAUGCGUCUGCUCUGGCGAUCUCUGACGAUUCGUAAAAGGUGUAGGCAGGCUCUGGCGAGGCGCAGAAGAUGGAGGCGGGCUUUGGCGAGGCGCACGAGGUGGAUAAGGUGGAGAAUGUGGAGGCCGGCUCCGGUGAGGAGCAGGUGGAGCAGAAGGUAUCUGUUUGUCCCUUUUAGUUGGUAGUUUUUAGAUUCUAGUGCUUUUGGCCAGAAGUUUCUUGGGUUAGAUUAGUUGGAUGGAGGGUUUUCUCUGCAUUAGGGUUCUUUUGUAUUUGAUUCGUGCAAGACUGGUGGACCAUAUAUGAUUAUUAGAUUAGGUUAGCGGUAGCUGGAUUGAGGGAUGGAGUUUUUCAGAUGCUUAUUAGAUUAGUAGUGGAACUUUUUCUUGUUAGAUUUUAAUUAGUAUGAGGUUGAACACCUUAUUUAAGGGGGAAUUAAAGGUCAAAUAGACCAUAUAUGAUUAUUAGAUCUGUAGUUCAAUGCUGCAGACAUAUAUGAUUAUUUGAUUUGAUAUGUGGUUCAAUGAUACUGGAUGGAAACAUAUUUGAUUUGGAAUGCAUUAAUUUUGAUGUGCCAAUGAAUUGAUUUAGAUGAUACAAGAUUCAUCUAUAGUAUAAUUUGUUGUUGUUUAGGUAAUUAAUGAAAUUUUAGAUGUUUGUUGGAGAUGUAUGCAUUUAUAGUUGAAGUUGUACCUAAUUAACUACUGCAUUAUGUUAAUAUGUGUAGGAGCUUUGCUACAUUAUCCCAUAAAAUGCUUAGGUACAUAUGAAUUAUUCUUUUGUAGAGGUUUCCUGUAAUUAGAAAGUUUUCCAGAAUAUGUAUUUAUAUUAGCUAUCUUGUUCAGAUUGUGUGCAUGAAAAUGGAAAAUGCAAGUAUGAUCAUAGUUUGGAUAAGCUGAUCAAUGUGUCAUGUGUGCAUAUUAAAAUUUGUAGUUGGCUUCUGUAAUUAGUAGCAAUGGAUGUAUUUUUAUAUUCACUGUACAAUUGCAGAAGGGUGGACUCAAAAACAGUAACAUGGCCUUGAAAUAUUGUCCUUGUACAAAAUUUUAUAAACCAAAUGUUGUCGGCAGGCCUAUUGUCCAGCCUCAUAAAAUUAACCAGGCCAGAGAUUUUCCUCUUGUGAAAAUGAACGUGUAUGUUCAUAACCCAAAUGUUUAAUGUGUAGAUAGCUUAAUAUAUAGUCUAUCAAUUAGUUGUUGAAAUGUACAUACCAUGUGUAACGAGUGCACUUUUUCAAUAUAGAUUGGAGCUUUCCAUCAUUAUGCAAAAAGAAAUUGUUUAGGUAGCUUUAUUUUUUUAUCUGUAGGUUUCAUAUUAAAUUAUUUUGCAUUGGAAAAUAUAUUGACAAUAUUGGUCACUUGCAACAUACCAAUGUGGUUCACAUUCACAAUUUUGUUUGUAAUGACAUUCUUUGAACUGCAAUUCAAUUCAUUGUAAUUGAUGUGCUUGUUUGACAAUAUAGCAGGAGGAGGAUCUUGUGGGAAACAAGAGGAAGUGGGACAAGACUGGGUUCUACCCAUAUGACAGUGAUGAAGAUGAGCCGUACGAGGUAAGGCCUAGUUGAAAUGUUAUUUGUGCAUUGAGUUAGUGUUAGAUGUUUAUAGUAUUUGAAUGCAUAAUGUAUUAGUGUCAGUCAUUAAUGUGUGCAGUAUGAAUCUGGAGAUGAUGUGGUCGAGGGGAACGUCGAGUCCUUUGAAGAGAAGGUGGUGGAGAAGAUCAGGGCCCAAGCAUCUGGUACGUACUACAACUGGAGGACGGACAAGUACCGCUGCCCCUACUGCAUUAGGCCCAAGCACAGGUCUGGGUUGCUGGAGCAUCUGAUGGAACAUUGUCGGGCUACAUCCAUCAGCAGUGAUGAGUACAAGAUCAGGGCUCAGCAUUCUACCCUCCACAAGGUCCUGAGAAACCCUAACAUGUAGUUGUCAUAGACCCUGGUUGACAUAUGAUGGAGGAAGCCUCAGUCAUUUUGGUGAACUUUAUGUGGUAGUCUGAUGGUGGAAACUUGAAGUGGUAAUGUAGUAUGAACUUUAUCUAAGUGUAGUACUGUGAUGUGUGCUCUGAAUUUAUCUAAUGCUAGUGGUUCGAAAUUGGAGGUGUCUGCAUCAGAAAGUGUGUUGUGUGGAUGCUGCUAUUUAUGGUAGUAUUAUAUAUUUCUAUCUAUAUUUGUGUCCCUUAAAUUUGCCAUUAUGGUUCCAUAGAUGUAUGAUUUGUUUGAAUUUACCUGCUACAAUGAUCAGACAUGCUGCAUCAGUGUUGCUUCACUGAUCAGGCAUGCUGCAAACACUUCCCAUGCUGUGGCCAUGUGGAACAUGGUGUGGCAAUGGUGCAAUAAAUUCCGAUGUUGUGGCCAUGUGCAACAUGCUCUGCCCAUAUCAAAAUCGUACCAAAUGUACAACUUUGCGUUAAGUUAAUUAAUGUUGUUUAGUGAAGUAAGUGGAAAUUGUUCAUCCACACAUAUGACAUAUUUCCAUCAUUUGAGUAAGCAAAAAUAGCAAAUACUCCACCAUAUGAUCAAAUAUUCCAAUAACUGAGCACAUAUUCCAUCAUUUCAUCAAAUAAUAUAAAAAAGUAGUUAAAUAUGGUGUGUGUGUGUGUGUGUGCAAAAAACAACAUUUUAAUAAAGUUGUAAUGAUUACUUGUAAUCUGAAGGAGUUUUUUCAUGAAAUGCAAGUUGAUUUUUUGUAAUAUGAAAGAUCUCCUUUUCUUCAAUUUAUAGUGGCUCCGUGAAGCUACAAGUUUUCUUUUACAUGGUGACCCACAUGUGCCAAACAUGGCUAUCAAAGAAAAUUUGGAAAAAAGAAAUUUUACAAUGCCCCCUUGAGGUAUAUACCGAUGUUUGGACCAGUCAGUCUAUAGGGCAGUAUAAAUUCAAAAAAAAAUAAAAAUUAUAUAAAACCUUGGAAACCUAGCUAUAUUUGUGCAAGAGAUCAUGUGUGCAAAAGUUGAGGUGAUUUGGAGGUGGUCGAAAAAAUCACCGCAUUCCGGAGGGACCAUUUGGUCUAACUUAAGCCAGUUUUUGAGCAAAGGCCAUUUUUCCACCACCUUACAUNNNNNNNNNNNNNNNNNNNNNNNNNNNNNNNNNNNNNNNNNNNNNNNNNNNNNNNNNNNNNNNNNNNNNNNNNNNNNNNNNNNNNNNNNNNNNNNNNNNNNNNNNNNNNNNNNNNNNNNNNNNNNNNNNNNNNNNNNNNNNNNNNNNNNNNNNNNNNNNNNNNNNNNNNNNNNNNNNNNNNNNNNNNNNNNNNNNNNNNNNNNNNNNNNNNNNNNNNNNNNNNNNNNNNNNNNNNNNNNNNNNNNNNNNNNNNNNNNNNNNNNNNNNNNNNNNNNNNNNNNNNNNNNNNNNNNNNNNNNNNNNNNNNNNNNNNNNNNNNNNNNNNNNNNNNNNNNNNNNNNNNNNNNNNNNNNNNNNNNNNNNNNNNNNNNNNNNNNNNNNNNNNNNNNNNNNNNNNNNNNNNNNNNNNNNNNNNNNNNNNNNNNNNNNNNNNNNNNNNNNNNNNNNNNNNNNNNNNNNNNNNNNNNNNNNNNNNNNNNNNNNNNNNNNNNNNNNNNNNNNNNNNNNNNNNNNNNNNNNNNNNNNNNNNNNNNNNNNNNNNNNNNNNNNNNNNNNNNNNNNNNNNNNNNNNNNNNNNNNNNNNNNNNNNNNNNNNNNNNNNNNNNNNNNNNNNNNNNNNNNNNNNNNNNNNNNNNNNNNNNNNNNNNNNNNNNNNNNNNNNNNNNNNNNNNNNNNNNNCCCCCUUGAUGUAUAGACCGAUAUUUGGACCAGUCAGUCUAUAGGGCAGUAUAAAUUCAAAAAAAAAAUAUAAAACCUUGGAAACCUAGCUUUGUUUGUGCAAGAGGUCAUGUGUGCAAAAGUUGAGGUGAUUUGGAGGUGGUCGAAAAAAUCACCGCAUUCCGGAGGGACCAUUUGGUCUAACUUAAGCCAGUUUUUGUACAAAGGUGAUUUUUUCCACCGCCUCCAAAUCACCCAAAUUUUCUUGUACAUGGUGACCCACAUGCGCAAAACAUGGCUAUGAAAGAAAAUUUGGAAAAAUAAUAUUUUACAAUGCCCCCUUGAGGUAUAGACCGAUGUUUUGACCAGUCAGUCUAGAGGUCAUUAUAAAUUAAAAAAAUCAAAAAAUAUAAAACCUUGGAAACCUAGCUUUGUUUGUGCAAGAGAUCAUGUGUGCAAAAGUUGAGGUGAUUUGGAGGUGGUCGAAAAAACAGUAGAACACUGCCUCGGCGUGACGCAACGUGCGUUUUGUGUCCGAGUUCGUGCACACCUUGCCUGGGGGGCCACAUUGGCAGCUCCCAAAAGUUGGGGUCAUCUCAUGCAUGCCUCCACAUGCACCAUGUACAAGCCGGACCAUUCGGGUCUGUCGGAGGGCAAGUCUGAAAGAGGUUUUCCUUGUCGGUCACUAGUAGAAAAAGGGCCAUUUGUCCCGGUUCGUAAGGGCCUUCUAUCCCAGUUUAGGAACCGGGACUAAACGGUCGUUACUAAUGCCCUUGGCCUUUAGUCCCGGUUCUUGCACGAACCGGGACAGAUGGGCCUCCAUGUGGCCGCUGCGCCCAGCCCAGGCAGGGGGGCCUUUAGUCCCGGUUGGUGACAUAAACCGGGACCAAAAGGCAUCCACGCGUCAGUAGCUGGCUAGAGCUGAGGUUUUUUUGAAAGGGGCCGGUUUAGGGGUUUUGGGGGUUAAUUUAGGUUGUUAUUAGCUAGCUAAUAGAGUGAAGUGUCCUCUCUUAUAUCUCUAUGCUUCAUUUACCAACGCCACUGCUAUGUUCAUUUCACCCGCUGAUAUAUAAUAACUCUUCAUGCUCGCAUCAUGCAUCAUCAUAUAUAAUAACAAGUCCUACUAAUCAUGCAUCAUCAUACAACUGCUACUCGUUAUUAAUAACAAGUCAUACGAUUAUCAUCCUCAUAGUUAUCGAACCAACCCUACUUAAUUGUUCUUAGCACAUGAUCAUCAGUAUUAGGUAGGACCUAAAUACCCUUAAGGUAAAAUAGCAUAAAACAAUAUAGACCCUGACUCUCCAUUAUGGAGAAUGGAGAUCAUCCUGUCUCCAAUUCUUGCGCUUCGCUUCCUUUUGCUUCCAAGAACCUCCUUACAACUGUCCAUACAUUUUUUCCAUUCUUUGAUUGUCAUGUCUCCACUUCUUUUAGAAAUCCGGUAUGGACAAUUGAGAUUCGUAGGAUGACCUGGUUGUAUGUUCAAAACAUCAAGGCGACCAUGCUGAUACAUCAGAUGAGGCACACAAUCAUUCGGGAUUAUCUGUUGAAAAAGAUAGUAAUAACUUCGUAGUUAGCAAUGAUGUACUAGUUUUAGAAGUAUGCAAAAGAUGCGUCGUAAUAGUAAAAAAUCUUACCAGGGUAUCUCCAUGGUAGUUACCGUAGUUCAACACGUGCACUAGUGGCACGUAUUGACCAUAAUGUCGAGGAGUUCGAUUGUAGAUAUUGUAAUUCUCAAGAUCAGUACAAAAUGCGAUCAGAUGAUUUUUCUCCUGAUAAGUUAAUUCGGAGCCAUCGGUGUAGUGGGUUUUGUCUACCAUCUUCCACACAUUCUUUGAAGAAUGAAAAUAAGCUGUCAAUGGAAAUAAGAUGUCAACUAUUUUGAAAUAAACAAUAUAAAUUACUUAAUAACUAUAUUUGAGAAGCUCACAUAGGGUAAGAAUUGGAAGCGUAUCAACAAGAACCCAAAUGUCCAUAUUGUCUUGCUCGAUUUUAGGAUCACCAGGAUCCAUGGUGACAAGCAUACCCUCAUCAAAACCAUACAUCUUGCAAAGUGCUUCCCAAUUUUUGCAACCAAAGUGGGUUACACUCUCAGAAUUGUACAGCUUUACUUCAAAAUCCACACCAUGAUGGGCCCUUAGGUGAAUUUUCUUUGUUUCCAUACUUUCAUGGUCUUCAAAACCCAUCCUCUCCCAGACAUAGCGUCUUGCAUAGCAUGGGAUAAGCUAGUCGAAUUGGAAAAGAUGAAAUGUACACGUUGAAAUAGUUGAAGUCGUGCUUAAUUACAAAAAAACUCUUGUCGUUGUUGCGUACCAUUUCAACAUCGAAGGUCUCCUCGAGCUUAAUGCUGAAGUGUCGAUCUUCAUCCAGCUCAAGGAACCUGUCGCACAUACCUCGGUCGUCGUGGCACCAGUCGCACUCCCCCGGGCGGUUUUUGUCGUCCGAGUACGACAUUUCCUAUGUUCAUAAUUCAAAUAUUAAACUUGUACAAUUAAAUAUAUGUACUAAAAAACCUAAAUUAGAUCAUUAUUAUUCAUCACGGGUUGACUAUCGGUCUGUCGAGCCUUUUCUUGAAAACUCUCAGCUCAUGUGGUGUACAUAUUCGACUGUCGGUGAUGGUAGUUCCGCCUUUCAUUCCCGAGUGCAUUACAACAAAUUGUCUAGCACACGGGAAUGAAGGAGAAGCUACCCCCACGACAACAGUCGUGAUACUUCGUCGUCUCAUAUAUAUAUAUAUGGUUGGAGACUCUCCCUCACUGAUUCCUCUCUGACAUUUGCGACCGUCGGUGAUGGUAGCUCCUCCUUUCGUUCCCGAGUGCAUUACACCAAAUUGUGUCUAGCACACGGGAACGAAGGAGAAGCUACCCCCACGACAACAGUCGGGAUUCUUCGUCCUCUCAUAUAGGUGGAGACUCGACAGACUUAAAGUCAACCCGAUCGAGGACUCAUAUUAUAGGACUCAUAUUGACAUGGAGAUUUGGCUGGUCUCACCUCGAGGUCGGAGGGGGGUCUGUGACGGGGACGACGGCACGGAUGAUGGAGGGGGCUCCUAGAUUUCUGCAUAGUGCUCUCCAAUUUUAGCAUUCAAAGUAGGAGUACUUUUCCAAUUUGAGCAUUCAAUAAGCAAAAUCAAAUCGUAAAAUAAAUUAGUAUUCAAAUUGGCAUGCAUUCAAUUAUAAGCAAAACUACAUCAUCUCUUGUGUCCGUACAUCGUCGAAUAUUAUCACUAAUACUCCUCGAAUACUAUCAUUUAUAUAGCAUCGCUAAUACAGCUAGAACCGUAGCGCCCGACGGGUAUCGUCGCGGGUGGUGGACACCCAAAGAGAAGGAACCAUCACCGGAUCAUAGCUCCAGUGAGAUCCCUGAAGAACCCGUCAGGUAUUGUCGAACCUGCCCUCCAACGCAAUCAUGUAGCGACAGACGUGCUUGUCUUCCUCGCUGACACAGUGACGUACCACCUCCGCGGUGUCCGGAAGCCUCGGCACCAUCACUGGCCCACGCGACCGCCACCAAACAAGGAUCGGGUCAACAACGGGCUGGCUCCUCGCCAACCUACGCCCCCAAGAAGGUAGCACCUCCCAAUACCAUCCCGGCGGAGCCCAGUCCCGGACAUGGCCCCUCUGAUCAAGCCGGCCUCCUCCGCUGAGUCGACAGCAAGGAUGCGGGAUAGGCAUCAUUGACAUCGAUGCGGGAUUAAUUGCUUGAACUAAAAAAAUAAACUAGUUCUAUUAAUUUUCUUGCUAAAAAUAAAUUACUUCUAUAUAUGGUAAAAUAAAGUAGUUUUAUUAAAUCAACUAGUUCAACUACUAAGCACUUACUAUAAAUAAAUAAAAUAAAGUAGUACUUACUAAAAAUAAACUACUUCUAUGUAUAGCAAAAUUUAAUAAAGUAGUUUUAUUAAAUCAACUAGUUCAACUACUAAGCAUUAACCUAAAAUCGAUAUCGACUAACCUAAAUAAAAAAUUAAUACAUAUAUGAAAAAAAACAUAUAUAAACAAAAAAAUGCUAUGAACAUUAUAUUCAUACAUACAUAGCCACAUCCAUUCAUCAUAUAGCUACCACAUUAUUCAUACAAACAAAAAAAUGCAAUGAGCAAAAAAAACAAUACAGAUUAUAUGAAGAAAAAAAGCACUGAACAGAGCCGUGGCGGCGGCGGCUCACAUCAGGGGCGGCCGGAGAGGGCGACGGCGGGGGCUGUGAGGGCAUCGGUGACGACCACGGUGGGGGCGCGAGCCGGGCAGGGGCGUGGUCGGCGACGGCAGCGACGGUGGGGGCGGGUCGUGGCACAGGGGGGCGCGGUUGGGCGCUAUCGGGGGCGACGGAGGGAGACGGCGUGGGCGAUGAACGGUGUCGGCAUUGGCUCGGGGGCGGCGGACGGCGUCGGUGUGGGCACGGGCGACGGCGAUGGCAGUGGGGCAGCCUGGCGGCGUCGAGGAGGUCAGCGCGUCGCGGGCAACUGGCGAUGGAAAUCUGAAAAUUUCCUAAGUGCUGGCUUAUAUAGCAAAGGCUUUGGUCCCGGUUCGUCGCACCAACCGGGACCAAUGCGCCCUUUAGUCCCGGUUGGUGCCACCAACCGGGAUCAAAGGUCUCUUUUCAGCAGCACAAAGGGCAGGAAGUAGAGGGCUUUGGUCCCAGUCGGUGGCACCAACUGGGACUGAAGGAGGGCAUUGGUACCGGGUGGUGCCACGAACCGGGACCAAAGUUGUGCAUUGGUCCCGGUUCAUGGCACCAAUCGGGACCAAUGUCCUGCUGCCAAAGCCGCGAUGCGGUGGGAUGUUUAGUCCCACCUUGCUAGCCGAGGGGCGGCAGGACCGGUUUAUAAGCCCUGCCCCGCCAGCUCCAUUGAGCUCCUCUCAGCUACAGGCCUCUCGGCCCAAUCUCGCACUGCUCUGCCUGUGGGCCUGCUGGGCCUUCUGCGGGCCUGAAUCCUGUCCCAUGGAUGGGUUUCUAGUUGUAUUCAAGCCAUGUUGGCCUAGUAGGUGGCAUUUUUUAAUUUUUUCCCAGUUUUUUUUUGCUUUAUUUAUUUUAUUUUGUUUCUACUUACAACAAAAUACUUACUGUUGCUAUUUUAUUUAUUUUAGGAAAGUUCUUUUUGCUUAUAAUGUUUUGAACAGAAAAUACUUUGGUAAUUUUAGGUCCAUAAAUUUUAUUUAUGUUAUUAAAGUUCAUUUUAUUUUAUUUUAUUUUGUUUCUACUUAUAUAUUUUAUUAAAGUUUAUUUUAUUUUAUUUCGUUUCUACUUACAUCAUCAAUUUUCAUCCCUUUCUGACUUCAUUUGUUAAUUUUCAUGCAUUUACUGAUUAUUUUGAGCUAUAAGACCCUGAAAUUGGAAAGCAUUUCAAAUGAACUCUGAAAAGGUUGGAAGUUGGCAUGGUAUCAUCAUUUCAUCCACAUAGCAUGUGCAAGAAAGUUGAGAGGGUUACGGCAAAAACUAGAUGCACUUCAUGUACAAAACGGACAAUCUCUUUCAAAGUAUCAGGAUUUCAACGGAAACUCGUCUGUUACAAAGGGAUUUCAUUUUUUAUAACUUAUUUGAACUCCUGACUCUUUGUGUGCUCAAAAUGCACCAUUCAAAGCCACAUCAUCAAUUUUCAACCCUUUCUGACUUCAUUUGUUAUUUUUCAUGCAUUUACUGAUUAUUUUGAGCUAUAAGACNNNNNNNNNNNNNNNNNNNNNNNNNNNNNNNNNNNNNNNNNNNNNNNNNNNNNNNNNNNNNNNNNNNNNNNNNNNNNNNNNNNNNNNNNNNNNNNNNNNNNNNNNNNNNNNNNNNNNNNNNNNNNNNNNNNNNNNNNNNNNNNNNNNNNNNNNNNNNNNNNNNNNNNNNNNNNNNNNNNNNNNNNNNNNNNNNNNNNNNNNNNNNNNNNNNNNNNNNNNNNNNNNNNNNNNNNNNGAGAGGGUUACGGCAAAAACUGGAUGCACUUCGUGUACAAAACGGACAAUCAAUUUUGAAGUAUCAGGAUUUCAUACGAAAACUUGUCUGUUACAAAGGGAUUUCAUUUUUUAAACUUAUUUGAACUCCUGACUUUUUGUGUGUUCAAAAUGCACCAUUCAAAGCCACAUCAUCAAUUUUCAACCCUUUCUGACUUCAUUUGUUAUUUUCAUGCAUUUACUGAUUAUUUUGAGCUAUAAGACCCUAAAAUUGAAAAGCAGUUCAAAUGAACUCUGAAAAGGUUGAAAGUUGGCAUGGUAUGAUCAUUUCAUCCACAUAGCAUGUGCAAGAAAGUUGAGAGGGUUAUGGCAAAAACUGGAUGCACUUCAUGUACAAAACGGACAAUCUCUUUCGAAGUAUCAGGAUUUCAUACGGAAACUUGUCUCUUACAACAGGCAUUUCAAAUGAACUACGAAAAGGUUGAAAGUUGGCAUGGUAUCAUCAUAAUAGUUGUGGAGAAAUUCUUCACUUUUUCUUCGCUCGUGUCCUUUCCUUAUUGCGCCGUAACCAUGGAUAAUCUUCAUUAUUUAUCAGGAUGCUUGGGUCAGCCUUGACUUUGAAGGGAGGAAUUUCAUGGAACUUUUCAUAAUCUUCGGACAUGUCUGUCUUGCCCUCCACUCCCACGAUGUCCCUUUUUCCUGAAGGAACUAUGUGGUGCUUUGGCUCAUCGUAUGAUGUAUUCGCUUCCUUAUCUUUUCUUUUUUCUCGGUUUGGUAGACAUGUCCUUCACAUAGAUAACCUAUGCCACAUCAUUGGCUUGGACGAAUGGUUCGUUAGUGUACCCAAGAUUGUUCAGAUCAACUGUUGUCAUUCCGUAUUGUGGGUCUAACUGUACCCCGCCUCCUGACAGAUUGACCCAUUUGAAUUUAAACCAAGGGACCUUAAAAUCUACUCUGUAGUCAAGUUCCCAUAUGUCCACUAUGUAACCAUAAUAUGUGUCCUUUCCCCUCUCUGUUGCUGCAUCAAAGCGGACAUCGCUGUUUUGGUUUGUGCUCUUUUGAUCUUGGGCGAUCAUGUAAAAUGUAUUCCCAUUUAUCUCAUAUUCUUUGUAAGUCAAUACAGUUGAAGAUGGUCCCCUGGACAACGAGUACAGCUCAUCACAAAUAGUGUUGUCACCUGUGAGACGUGUUUCCAACCAACUGCUGAAAGUCCUGAUGUGUUCACAUGUAAUCCAAUCGUUGCACUGUUCUUGUGUUCAUCAACGUACGGGGUCACCAAGGUAGAGUUCUGUAGAAUAUCCGUCCCUGCAUAUUAUUGAGUCCCCUCCAAGCGUGCCUUUUCCAGUCAGUCUCCCCUCAUACCGCGAUUCAAGGAGACCUAUCUUCUGAAGGCCAGGAAUGAAGUCAACACAAAACCCAAUGACAUCCUCUGUUUGAUGGCCCAUGGAGAUGCUUCCUUCUAGCCUAGCGCGGUUACGGACAUAUUUCUUUAGGACUCCCAUGAACCUCUCAAAGGGGUACAUAUUGUGUAGAAAUACGUGGUCCAGAAUGACAAUCUCGUCAACUAGAUGAACUAGGACGUGUGUCAUGAACUAGGAAGUGCAUUAUAUAUAAUUAUGUGUGUCAAAAGUAAGAAAAUCAGACAAGUAUCUAUCUAAAGUAAGAAAAUUAGAGAAGUAUCUAUCUAAAGUAAGAAAAUCAUAAAGAAGAUAAGAACAAGAGGCUCACCAUGGUGGUGUCGGCGACGAGAUCGGCGUGGGCGAUCAACGGAGGCGAAAAUGGGGACGGGGCAUGAUGGACCGCUAAAUCUAGACAAAUCUCGGGAAAAAUGGAGCUCCAAGGUCGAGCUUCGAGAGGAGAAAGCUUAACUACUGUGGCUCAGGCAUUUCACCUCAUGUGCAUAGGAGGUGAGCUAGAGCACCCAAAUGCCCUCCCCUCGCCGGCCAGAAAAACAGAGCACUUUGGACUGCUCUGUCACGGUGAUGGGUAUAUAUAGGCAAAAUAUUUAUCCCGGCUUGUGGCAGGAACCAGGACUAAAUUUACCCUACUAUACCGGUUCAGGGAAGGAACAGGUACCAAUGGCUGUGGGCCACGAGCGCGGUCCAUUGGUCCCGGUUCGUGCCUAGAACCGGGACAAAUGGAUCCAGACGAACCGGGACCAAUGCCCACGAGGCCCCGGCCGCCCCCCCUGGGCUCAUGAACCGGGUCUAAUGCCCCCCAUGGGUCCCGGUUCGUGAAGAACCGGGACUAAUGGGCUGGCCAGGCCCGAACCAAAGUCAUGUUUUCUACUAGUGGGUCCGACCAAAUGAUCCCAAACUUUAUGCACACCCUACCAUGACCAUGGCAUGCAUGUGGGAGGAGAAUUCAUACACCACGGCCUCAUUUUUCUUGAAAUCCCAUUAAUAGCCAUGUGUAUUACAUGUAAGUGAGCAUGUGUAAAAUUUAUUAGGUGAUUGGAAGGUCAAAACAUGAACUUGUCAUAUAUGCAAAAAAAUGUGUAUUGAAUGCAAGUGAGCAUGUGUAUAAUUUAGUGUGUGAUUUGAAGAUCAAAACACAUGACAAUAUGCCAAAAAAAGUGCCCACCUACCAGAGCAGGAGAAUUCAUAGACCACGGCCUGCAUACGACUAGGAACCCAGCCGUUCAUGGGCCAGGAUGCAGGCUUGUGGUGCAGAAUAUCUCUGCUGCUAGUAGGCCCCAUGGGGCAGAGGGGACGAGAGUUAGGCAAUAUACUGUCUGCAUAUGAUAGGAGCUUGGGAGGGGAGUCGCAGCCGGGUAUAUAAACCGGUGCAGCGCUCUGUCGCUUGGUGAGGUGGGAGUAAACUCCCACCACCCGACGGUUGUGUGUUGUGCUGUACCCUGCGCAGCUCUCCUUGGGCCCAAUUCGGGUGGGCUGGCCCAGGGCAGCCUUACCCGCGGCGCGCUGAUCUGUUUUAUAAAUUACGUUCUUUUUCACUUCUUAACUCCAAAAUUUAUUUUCUUUUUUAUAUUUCUAAUACUUAAAAUCAAAUCUCUUUUUUUCUAUAUUAUUUCUAACAGUGUUUACUAAAAUUUAAAAAUAUGCCAAAUUAUGUUGUGUUUUAUUUCAUUUGUUCGUCCUCUUUUUUAUAUUGAUAAUAUUUGUGAAAUAUAAACUAAGAUGGUGUGUUUUAUUUCAAUUCUUCAUUCUAAUAUUUCUUAUCUUUAUUAUAUUUGAAAUAUUUUUUGUUUGUAAGAUAAAAUGUUCUGUUUUAUUUCACUUCUUCAUUCUAAUAUUUGUUCUCUUCUUUAUAUUUGAAAUAUUUUCAAAAUGUAAGAUAAUAUGUUAUCUUUUAUUUCACUUCUUCAUUCUAAUAGAUCUUAUCUUUUUUACAUUUGAAUUAUUUUUUAAAUGUAAGAUAAUAUGUUGUCCUUCCUAAUUAUAAAUUUUCUUUUUUGUUCGAUACUUGAAAUAUUAUUAAAUCAAAUCUAGUUGGGACAACGCAUGCAUGCCUCCACAUGCACCAUGUACUACAAGCAGGUUUACCUUGCCGGUCCCACCAAAUGAUCCCAAACUUUAUGCAUACCCAAGGAUGACCAUGACAUGCAUGCAUAACAAGUAUCGUUCAUUUCCGACACUCGAUGCAUUUUCUAUGGUUUUUCCGGUGACAAAACCCUACAACACUGCUCCCACUUGACGCAACAUGCGUUUUGUGUCCGAAUUUGUGCACACCUUGCCUGGGGGACCACAUUGGCCAUGCCCACAUGGUCCCAAAAGUUGGGGUCAUCUCAUGCAUGCUUCCACAUGCACCAUGUACAAGCAGGACCCUUCGGGUCUGCGGGAGGGCAGGUCUAAAAGUGGUUUUCCUUCGCGGUCCCACCAAAUGAUCCCAAACUUUAUGCAUACCCAAGGAUGAUCAUGGCAUGCAUGCAUGACNNNNNNNNNNNNNNNNNNNNNNNNNNNNNNNNNNNNNNNNNNNNNNNNNNNNNNNNNNNNNNNNNNNNNNNNNNNNNNNNNNNNNNNNNNNNNNNNNNNNNNNNNNNNNNNNNNNNNNNNNNNNNNNNNNNNNNNNNNNNNNNNNNNNNNNNNNNNNNNNNNNNNNNNNNNNNNNNNNNNNNNNNNNNNNNNNNNNNNNNNNNNNNNNNNNNNNNNNNNNNNNNNNNNNNNNNNNNNNNNNNNNNNNNNNNNNNNNNNNNNNNNNNNNNNNNNNNNNNNNNNNNNNNNNNNNNNNNNNNNNNNNNNNNNNNNNNNNNGGCAGGUCUGAAAGUGGUUUUCCUUGCCGGUCACACCAAAUGAUCCCAAACUUUAUGCAUACCCAAGGAUGAUCAUGGGAUGCAUGCAUGACAAGUAUCGUUCAUUUCCGACACUCUAUGCAUUUUCUAGGGUUUUUUGGCGACAAAACCCUACAAUACUGCCCCCACGUGACGCAACGUGUGUUUUGUGUCCGAAUUUGUGCACACCUUGCCUGGGGGACCACAUUGCCCAUGCCCACAUGGUCCCAAAAGUUGGGGUCAUCUCAUGCAUGCCUCCACAUGCACCAUGUACAAGCAUGACCAUUCGGGUCUGCCAGAGGGCAGAUCUGAAAGUGGUUUUCGUUGCCGGUCCCACCAAUUAGGAAGUCAUAAAUAGGACAAUAUUUAAUCAUACAUAUUUGAAAUGAAAUUGAAAACUAUGAGAAGAAGUGAUAUGGAAUUAUGAAACAUGAAAAAACAAUUAGGAAUAAGAAGGAGAAAACAUAAAAUAACAGGAAAACCAAAUUAAAAGGGAAAGAGGAACAAUACAUUUGAAUAUAUAAUAUUGCAGAAAUGAUAGAGAUACUAUAAAUAUUGUUGAACAUAUACAAGUAUACAAUAACUAAUAGGUGUCACAAAUAUUUUUAUGAGGGAAGAACCAAUGAUAUUUAUUUCGAGGGAAGAAACAAUGUAGAGGUAGGUGGGCCGGCCCAGAACGCAAAUAACUAUCGGAUCCAUAUUGUGGGGGCCCACCACGCUGCGCUUUCCAUGCACGUCGAUCACGGGAGUAGUUGUCGUUCUGUUACACAAUUCCGUGAUCAUGCUAAUCCAUAUGUUCCUAAUCCCUACGAUUGAGGAGCACGUUCAGCCUCGCUUCAACAAUGGAAAAUAUAGAUCGCGAGAUUGGCUACAGGGAAGUUACGACGACCUAGGAGUCGACCUCGUAUAUAAUCUCCACCUCCUCACACAUGUCGCCGACUAGAUUGCCUCCUGCCAGCGAGUCGUCGACAGCUCCGUCCACCGCAUCCCACACGCGACAAAAACCCCGAGAAGAUCAAGGUCGUCCGCACGUGCUGGCCGCCCUCAACGAACUACGUCGACAACGCAUCGCCGACUUCUUUCAUAUUCGUCGACCCAUCAAGUAAGUUGUCCUCCUUACCUCGCGACUUCAUAGCAAGCUAGUUCCUCCGUCUCGUUGCUUUGAUGGACUUAGGUUUACCACAUAUUUUCAACUAGUAUCAACUCGACUAGAUGCGUUCUGAUCAGAUGGCGUACAUGAACUAAAUCUUUGGUUCUUUCAUAGCAUGGAAGAAUAAGAUGUUGUUUCUCAAGAAACAUGAUGCAAUAGAUUUUUUGUCACAUGAUCCAAUUAUAUUUUUGUCACACGAUCCUAUUAUAUUAUUGUGCACAUAGAACAUUAAAGAGUUAUAAGCAUUAGAUGUUGAUGAACCUCAAAUAGGUACCAUUGCUAUACACCGUAGUUAUUUACAGCUAAUCAAUUUGUCACCCUGUUAAUAAUUUAUCUGAUACUCAAAGAACUUGAUCAGAUGGAAGUAAAUUCAAUUACCAAUUGUAGUUAUUUUUUAUUGCCUCAUAUCAGCACACACUUGGCUGCAUGUUGCUGUAUACAUGGUGCUAGUUUUAUAUUUGCAUUAGUGUUAUUUUUGCAUUUUUGUUAGCUACUGCCAGAAAGUUUUAUAUUUUUGCAUGUCUAUUGUUAUUUUUGCAUUAGUGUUCGCUAAUGUCACGAAAUUUUAUGUUUUCUUUCAACAGGAUGGAUGAGAUGAAUGGAGAAAUAGUGUGCACCGUUGAAAAAUGGUGCAAGCUUGUUGCCGCUCUAUCGAGUGGUCAACGCGCUAGAGUGGCUGAUACAACAUUGCGCAACAUGCUGCAGAUACCAUCUAUUAAGAUGCGUACCCUAUUGAUUAGGUAUAUGAUUGAGAAUUUUUGAUGCCAGCAAGUCCAGAUUCAUUAUACAAGAGCAGGUUGGGGAGAUGACUCUCGGUGCGGUCGACGUCAAGUGCAUCUUUAACCUCGAGAACCAAGGACUCUCCGCUUCGGACAUUCUGAUUGAAGAAGGCGAGGACAUGAAGGAGCGGGUGACGCCACAAUUUCUCAGUAAGACAUCUGAAAACAUAGUGAUAGAUAAUCUCAUUGAGGACAUAAUUAAAAGCAAAGCCACCGACGACGAUUUCCUUCGAAAUUAGUCCUUGUCCUGUUAGGAACAAUUAUUGCUCCCAUGUCGAGCAAGAUUGUGCCAAAGUAGUACUACGCUUUGGUCCAUGAUGUGAAACGUAUUUCAAAGAUUAACUGGAAUGCGUUCAUCCUGUGUGUUCUCCUCGAUUGCCUUCGCAAAUUCAAGAAAGGCAAACACCUCCUCAAGUGGCCGAAAGGCAAUUUGGCUCUGUUGCAGGUACACAUAUGAGACCUGUUGCAUAAUGUCAAUUAUUAUAUCAUUGCUAUUUUAUGUGAUGUAUUAUACUAACUCUAAACCCUUAUUUUUUUUGUAGUACUUGUACUGGGAGAAGGUGCAACCUGUUGAAGGCGAUUGCGCCUAUAAUCCCAACUUGUGCAUACAACCUCUUAUGAGGAAUUGGACCGAAGGUGCAGCCACUAGGAGAUAUCGGUUUGACUAUGACAAUGGGCGCGGCCGUGAUAAUGUCAAGGUAAGUCAUUAUGUUCUUACUUUGUUAAAUGUUUUGUAACUAAAUAAUAUUUAUUUUUAAUUCAUCACAUGUACUUCAAUAUCACAUGCAGAUCGAAAAUAAUAUCACCCAAGAGUAUAGGGCGCAGGAGCCCAAAAUCCCAAAUAAUGUGCCUACCAUGGAGCCAAAAACCAAGCCUGCAAAUGGAAAUGGAAAGAAGUCGAUGACAGCCCCAAUGCCGGAAGAUUUGAUGGAGCUUAUAAUGAAGCGGUGCAUGGACUUCAUACACACCUAGAUGAGGCAAAUCCCUGAUCAAGUUGCUGAGGUGUCAUACCCUAACUUUAUAGUUUACAGAUUGUUUCCUGUUUUAAACCAUGCAAGCAUUACUAACUUUAUAUUUCUAUUGGAGAGGUUGUUGGAGAAGUUGAACAAAUCAGGUGUCAUGUACUAGCCAGCUGUUGUCGUGCCAUCCGUGGACAAUGAUGUGGAUCAAGAACUGAAUUCGUUCGAGAACGGUCCAUAUGAAAAGAAGGAAUUCAUGUACAAGGAUGACAUAGAAUCACACGGAGAGCCUGUCAUUGACAUGACGCAGCCUGAUGAAGUGGUUCCCAACCAUAAAACCGUACCUGAGGUACUAUGUAUAUAUAUUUCUGUCUAUAAUUUUCUCCUUUAAUUUUUUUAUGUGCUGAAAUGUUCACAUGAUUUUGUUGGCCAAACAGAAAACCCCACCGAAGAUGAAUGGACACAAGGAAGCUUCACCUAUUAAGCGUAAUGAUGAAUGUGGCACUACACCUGAAAACCCUUGGGUCGUUGGUAAUUCUACUCAAGCACCUUCAUCGGACAUAGACAUUUGUCCAUCUUCUGUCAGCAAGUUCAUGGCUAAGGCGAAUGGAAAAAGGGUGCAACAAUCGAUAAGGAUGAGGAAGUUAUGUCCGGUAAGCGGAAGCGGACCAUUCCCAAGAAAUUUUAAUCCCCCUACGCACUUGACAAGCCCAGCAGGUGUACCAACCGUGGUCAGAAACCCUACGGUACCCGUUCUGCUAGUAGAGGUAUCGUAACUAACUUUCUGAAGUUGUUAUAUACUACGAAUGCAUAUGAUCACCAUUGUUGACGUUCAUAUUAUUUCAUGCAGCUCUGUUUUCUGAAAAUGAUGAGCCGGAGGUUGUGGCAGAUGAGUUGACACCGGAAAUAAUUGAUGCAACUGUUUAAUUUGUUGAGUUAGCUGCUAGCACCGAGAAGAAUAAGGGGAAGAAAGUUUACUACAGUGAAGGGCGUGGCAUAUCUCUGACUUUCGAAAGGAUUUGACCGGUACUAACUCAUAGAUGGCUGUCGAACGAUGUAAGUACUACUUGAAUGACCUGUUAUUAACAUUCUCAAUAAUCUAUGUCUCAACUUUCAACAUGUAAUGCCCUCAUAUUCUAUGAAGGUUAUUAAUGCUUAUAUGGGACAUUUGGAGCUGCCCUCAUAUUCUAUGAAGGUUACCUCUGUCCAACGUGGAGGUCCAAAUUCCUUGUAGAUCUUGCUAUCGCACGAGACGAUCCAUUGUCGUCGAGCUGCAACAUGGAUAGUGCUCUGUCCAAAGCUGAAGCAGUUAAUAGAGUCAUGCAAGAGUAUACUGUGCGUGAUAAGGUACGUUAUGUUUGUAAUUCUUCACUACAGGGCAUUUCAUCAAGUAUUUCGUUUGAUCCAUAAUGGUUUUUUGCACUGUACACAUAUAUCGCGUUGAAUAUCGACAAUGCCCACUGGAUGACCGUGGUUAUGCACUUGAUCAAGAAAAAAUUCCAAGUUCUCGAUUCACUCUAUCCUCUGGACCUGACAGAAAAGACUAUGAAAGCAUUGGUAAUAUAACCAACAUUUGUACCAUUGGUCUUACAUGUUGUUUAUGAUUCUUCUUUAACACUAUCCUCUUUAUAGCGAAUGGCUAUAGCACACGAAAUGCACCAAGCAAAUCUUGUUACACCAGGGAAAUAUCCGGACGUAAGAAAGUGGCCUAUCAAGGAGUAUGACAUGCCCCAGCAAGAGGAUGGGUGAGUUAGUAGGACAUCAUGCACAUUCAAACAACAACACACAUGUUCGUAUUGCCCACCGCUAAUGUUUGCAUAUAUAUCAGGAACUCUUGUGGCCUGUUUGUCACAGAAUGUCUAGAACAUUGGGAUGGGGACUGAAUGACCCGUGAUUUUUCACAGGUAUGCUGUUUUUUAGGUUUGUAGACUAGCUAGUAUGGUUGUCUAGCAAGUUCGGUUCAUGUAACCUUUAUGUCAUUUUUUGCAGACCACCAUUAAUGCAAGAAGAAGAAGUUUCUUCGCCGAGUUGAUUAUGUCACCUUCGAACACGAUGCACUGUGUGAAGAACAAAAUUCGCGAAAUCGCAAGGAAAAGGCGCGCCUGAAGAUUUCAUGCGGCAUGCAAGAGUCAAGUUUUAGUGGUUUGGAUUAAGUCCGGUCGAAGGUUUCGAUGGCAUGAUUAUCUUUGGGUUUCUAUCAUUUUUAUGUAAUAAACAGGGCAUCUCGAAUAUUGUGACACAUACAUGUGUAUGUGUUUGUCAGAUAAUAGGCUCGUACCAGACAAUUUGGUCAUACAAUUCGCUCGGAGAAGACAAUUUGGUCGUACCAAUAAAGUUUUGGCUUCACUUAUCAAUUGUUCUUGCUUAAUAUUUUUCUCGUUCUCCAAUUUUUUAUAAUUGUAUUUAUCACAUUAAUAGUAUUCGCAUUCUAUUUUUCUCUUCAACUGCUCUAGAAGUUUCAUAUUAAAAUUUUCACAUUCUUUAUUUUUUCUAAAACUCUAUCAAGCUUAGCCUUCUGCCUUAGCUAUCUGCAUGUCAUCAUCUUGCGUAAUCGCCUGGUAAUUCCCCCUCAUCACAUCAUUAUGAAAAGUAGUCAUGUUAGCUAAGUAAAUAUAUCGAGCCAAAACGUAUUACACAGAUGAAAAUUAGUCAUGUCAGCUCAUUGGCUCUAUCGCAUGUUAUCAGGCAUCAUGUUUUUCUAUUUUGUUUUACAAACCUAUCGUUUUUUUAUUGUACAUAUAAUUAACUUUUUCUGUACUCACCAUGAUGUCAGGCAGGGCCCAUCUAACCACAUGAGGGGCCCCACAGGCGGGCUAUCAUGCCAACAGCGCUACACAAGCCCAUUUUGCCAGGUUCACAUUGAUCUUUCCCCUUUUCUCGUUUCCCUUCCAAAUCCCUAGCCCUCUCUCUCCAUUUGUGCCUCCAAAUCUCGACGGCGAAAGCAUGACAGCGAGUUGGGCGUCGGGCGGUGGCGGCUGCGGCGAGAAGAGCGGUGGCGACCGCAAGUUAGGUCAAACCCUGAGUCCUAGAAGCAGGUGGGCGGAUUCAGUGGAACAGGAGGCAGCGGCGGCGGAUCGAGUGGAACAGGGGAUGGGGGUUUCGUGGGCGGCGGCGGGCCGGGAGAACCCACGGCUAGGGUUUAUUCAGUGCUACACUUUGGUGGCAAAAAGGUAAGUUCUUUACCGUUGUUCUUUACAUCCCAGCAUUGUCGCCCACAAUUCAUGACCUGUGGCCCUGACAAGCUCCAUCUAUUUGGUCAUCAGGAAACUCCUGGUGGCUGUGUCUGCAUAGAUGCAAACAAUUUUGGUAGCACAUUAGUGGGAUGUGUGUUUGAGGUUACACUACUAGGGAAAAGCCAAUACACAGAAUCUUACCAGCAGCGCUCCCUAAAAUACCACGCUACUGCUAUUUAGCAGCAGCGCGUGUUAGAGAAACGCGCUGCUGACAGGAAAAUAGCAAUAGCGCGGCCACCGCAAACCGCGCUGCUGCUAUAAUUGCCAUGACCUCGCCCCCUCGCUAGUUAUAGCAGUAGCGCACUUUAUUGAACAGCGCUACUGCUAUAGAAGUUAGCAGCAGCGCACUUAUGGGAAAACCAUUACUGCUAAGAUCAACCCACAAGUUUAGUCCCACCUCGCUCCGUGAACAGGGUGUUUACCACCUUAAAUAUGUUAUUUCUAAAACUACCACAACUAGUUGGUCUUCACUGAACUCUAUGUGUAAAUUUGUGGACGCAAUAUGAGUCCUCUCCGGUUCCUACCGGAUAGGACUCAUAUUGACAAUUCAGAUUGUACACAAAAAUAUCAUUGAUGGCCAAUGUAUUUUUGCAUUGACGUAUUUUUUGUAUAGUUACACUUAGCAGUAGCGGUUUAUGUGCAACGCGCUACUGCUAUUCUGAUUAUCUGUAGCGCGUUUCGGCAAACGCGCUACAACUAUACCUACCUUAUCCCCACGCACACGACCGGCGCCCUCACUCACACUCUCACUCUCGCCCCCCGUGCCAAUAACCGUCGUCGUGCGUCGUCGCCGCCACCACCUUCGUCCGUCCGCCGCCGAGGUACUCCCCUCCUUCCGUCCCUCCUCCCUCCUGCUCGCACAUCCUCCCUCCGCCUGCGGCCGCCCCUCCCUCCUCCGCCGCCGCCCUCCUCCCUCCGCCUGCGGCCGCCCUCUCCCUCCACCGGCAGCCCUCCUCCCGCCGCCCUCGACCUCGCCGCCCCUAGCUACCUCUCCGUCGCCCCCACCCCCUGCCACUAGUUAGUACUAGAUUUAGCAGUUGUAGAUGUUAAUUUAGGGUUCAUAGCUAGUACUAGAUGUUAAUUUAGUUAGUACUAGAUUUUUAGUAGUAGUAGAUGUUAAUUUAGGGUUCAUAACUAGUUUAGUAAGUAAAUUAAUAAACUAGUUAAAGUAGUUGAAUUAAUAAAACUAAUGUAUUUUUAGUAAGAUGAUUAAUAUAACUAGUUGAACUACUUUAUUUUUAGAAACAACUAGUUUUUUUCUAUUUAUAGUAAGUUUAUAUUUAGUAAGAACUAGUUGAAUUAAUAAAACUAGUUGAACAUGUCAUAUUUGUUGUUAUUUUUUAGUUUAAGCAAUUAUUCGGGAUGUAUUAGUGAUAACUUAUAUGGUUUCAGGUGACCACCGCCGUCCCCGUCACCGACCCCCUCCGACAUCCCCGCCGUCGUCCCCGUCACCGACCCCCUCCGACAUCCCCGCCGUCGUCCCAUUCAGCGACCCCCUCCGACAUCAAGGUGAGACCAGCCAAAUAUCCUUGUAUAUCUUUUGUUGUUCCUCAAAUAGGAUAUGUGGUUGCCCAAGUGGCCCUUCAUGUUCAGUUUACAUCUCCGAGUGGCCUAUGUUUUGCCGGAGUGUUGAUUAAUUUCCGUUCUGGUAAGGCGCUCGAUAUGUCCUUUUAUAGCAAAGGUCAUGCUGGAUUUUUUCGUGAAUUCUGGCAUGACUUGUGCUAGAAUAUGUACAAGUUUAAUCUUUGAAUUAUGAACGUAGGAAAUGUCGUACUCGGACAACGACAGUCUCUCGGGGGAGUGUAGCUGGUGCCACGAUGAUCGAGGUAUGUGCGACAGGUUCGUUCGGCUGGACGAAGAUCGGCGCUUCAGCAUUAAGCUCGAGGAGACCUUCGAUUGUGAAAUGGUACGCAACAACGACAAGUGUUUUUUUCAUAAUUAAGCAUGACUUCAACUAUUUCAACGUCUAAUUUUCAUAUUUUACAAUUCGACUAGCUUAUCCCAUGCCAUGCAAGAUGCUAUGUCUUGGAGAGGAUGGGUUUUGAAGACCAUGAAAAUUUCAAAACAAAGAAAAUACACCUAAGGACCCAUCAUGAUAUGGAUUUUGAAGUAAAUCUGUGCAAUGCUCAGAGCGUAACCCAUUUUGGUUGCCAAAAUUGGGAAGCACUUUGCAAAAUUAUGGUUUUUAUGAGGGUAUGAUUGUCACCAUGGAUCUUGGUGAUCCUGACAUAGAGCAAGACAAUAUGGACAUUUGGGUCCUUGUUGACACGCUUCUGAUUGUACCGCUAUGUGAGUUUCUCAAACAUAGUUAUUAACUAAUUUAUAGUGUUUAUUUCAAAAUAGUUGAUAGCUUAUUUCCAUUGACAGCUUAUUUUGAUUCUUCAAAGACUGUGCGGAAGAUGGUAGAUAAAACCCACUACACCGAUGGUACCGAGUUAACGUAUAAGGAGAAAAAUCAUCUGAUCGCAUUUUGUACUCUUCUUGAGAAUUACAAUAACUAUUAUCAAACUCCUCCAAAUUAUGGUGAAUACGUGCCACUAGUGGAUGUGUUGAACCACGGUAACUUCUCUGGAGAUACCCUGGUAAGAUUUUUUACUAUUACGACAUUUGUGCAUCUUUUGCAUACUUCUAAAACUAGUACAUCAUUGCUAACUACGAAGUUAUUAUUAUGUUUUUCAACAGAAACUCCCGAUGGAUUGUGUGCCUCAUCUGAUGUCUCUGCAUGGUCGCCUCUCAGUUCUGAACAUACUGCCAGGUAAAUCUACGGAGCUCACCUGUGCAUAUCGGAUUUCUAAAACCCGUGAACACAUGUUCAUCAAAGAAUGGAAGAAAUGUAUGGACAUUCGCAAGGAGGUUCUUGGAAGUAACAUUCAGCGAAAGGCAAGAAUUGGAGAUAGGCUAAUCUCCAUUCUCCAUAAUGGAGAGUCAGGGCCUAUCUUGUUUUUUGCUAUUUUACCUUAGAAAAUGUAGUAGGUCUUAAUCAAAUGUAAUAGGUCCUAUGAGGUACAAUAUGUUUAUUAUGUGGUAAUGUGUUAGAGUUGAUAAUGAUGAUCUUGAGGAGGUGUUAUGUGAUGUCAAUGAUGAAAACGAUGAUCAUGAGGAGGUGUUAUAUGACAAUGAUGUAUUAUGAUGAUAAGUUGUUAAUGAUAUGAUGAUGAUGAUGAUAUCAUUAUAUCAUUGGGUGAAAGAACCGCGGAUUAGUUUCAAGUGGAUGGACAUCCACUUGAAACUAAUCCGCGGUUCUUUCCCCCCGUGAUGUAAUAACUCAUUAUGAUGUAAAAACAAUCUCUGAAUUCCUGUUGUAUGAAAACUUGUGUAAAGGUGUAUGAAUACAACAUGAAAUAAAAAAGAAACAAAAUACUAAAUAAUAGUAGUAGCGCGGGAAAGGAGAAGAGCUACUACUAAUUACCAGUAGCGCGGUUCUGAAGAAGCGCUACUACCAAGUCAAUUUAUCAGUAGCGUGGGUCCAGGCGCGCUAUUGCUAAGCAUUAGCUGUAGCACCUUAUCAGUAGCACUCCUGCCCGCGCUAUUGAUAGGCCUAAAACCCGCGCUGCUGCUAGGCUUUUCCCUAGUAGUGUUAGUCUACUGAGCAUGAUGUUCAAACUAGUACUGCUAUUACGGUCAAGCUGCAAAAAAGUUCAAUGUUUAACGCUUGCAGUGACAAGUUCAGUUAUAAAUUGACUUGAAUUGCUCAUGAUUUAUUUAGGAUGAUAUCACUUCUGAGUAUGUUGAAUGGGUUGAUGGGGAGUGGGAUAGCAAAGCAAUGUCAGUCAUUAAGUAUCUUGCCAUGAAGAACAAGAAACUGGAGACUAAGAUUACAGAAUAUGAAGCUGAAAUUAAAAGGAAUGAGAAAGAAAAGAGGGCAAUGGUUAAGAUGCACAAGGAAAUAUUGCUCUAUAGGGAUAGGAUUUUAGGAUUUGGAGGUCUUCUGUAUCUUGGCCAUCUUGCCAUUAUGAUUGCUAUCAUAGUUAGCAAGUAGAUUGUUCAUAAAGUUAUUAACAUCAUUGCAAUUGACAUGAUGAAAUGCUGAUUAAUUAUUUGCUAUUCAGUUUAUGGGCAAGGUGUACCAGAGAUUGCAGCAGAAAUAACAUGGGGCCAUCAUGUUUGGUAGACAAUGCACUUUUGGCAUGUUCUAUAUUUGGCAGACAAUGCACUUUUGGCAUGUUCUAUAUUUGGUAAGUGAUGCACAUGGGCACAUUACUGAUUUGUGCAGCAGCCUAGUUCAUUGUCUUGUUGCAACAUAGGAGCAACAUCUAGCAGCACCUACACCUUUGAUGCAACACUGAAGCAAAGCAACAAUACAUAUUCAAUAUUCUGAAAUUUAACGGAACUUGACACUUAGGGUGAGCAGUAGAUAUUCAGUUCUUCAGCCACAAAGAACCCGACCAAACCGUACCGAUUGCAUAACUUAUGUGCUUACAUAUAAAAGCAUACCUAACCAACAUCAAACCCAAAAUAAUGUGAACUUAUAUGCUGAAACAUAUAACAGCAUACCUAACUUAAGAUAACCAGCAGCUUCCUCCUCCUUCAGCAACUGUGCCCGUCUUCACUUCUUCAGAAAUUUGAGGCGGCAUGAGCGGCGCACCACACACGGAGAAGCCUUCUUCUUGACCAUCGUCCUGUUCGGCAGCUGCACCACCGGAUCCUGAGCCACCUCCUCUUCUUCCACCUUCACUAUGUCUGGGUGGAGGGGAAGGAGCUCGACGUCGAUGGGCAUUGUCUUGCCACCCUCGAUGGCGACCGGCGCUACCAUCUGCACGGCGUCCUCCUCGCCCUCCUCAUGGUCAUCAGGGAUGACCAGUACCUCGUCCAUGUCGUCCUCCACGAUGUCAGAGCCCAAUGGAAGGACUGGCUUCGGCACGUGGCAGACCUGGUAGUCCAGGAUGAUGGGCGCAGGGAGAGCGAGCUCGACGUCAACGCGCCCCGCCCUUGACGCGACGCGUGCUGGAUCUGGCUGCAGCUUCAUGGUGGUGGAGUGGUACAUCCACCACCUUGCACGUUGAACAGGGGAGUCGCUCAGCGUGGCCUCUCGCAUUGCCCGGACGAGGAGGAGAGCUGGAGGGACGCCGCGGCCGUAGGGGAAGGCGCGCUUCUUCUCGGCGUCGGUGAGGACUUUGACGAGGCCACACGCGUGGUUGACCAACAUCUCCGUGUUGGGGAACCAGCCGCACACCUCCGUAAAGUGCGCGCGCCACCCCUCGUCAUCGUUGGCGAGCUCCAUCAUCGCUCUCUGCCAGCCGAGGCUUUUCUCCAUGGAGGCGGCUGCAGCGGUCGCCGAUGAGGGUUUUCUCGAUCUACUGUGGGUGGGGAUAAGAGGGGAGUUCAAACCGGCACGCGAGGUAGGUGGGUGAACGUGUGGUGGUGAGUGGUAAGUUACUUAUUUAAUGGCAGUUAGGACGUGGGGAGGGGAAAUGUACAAUAUUCUUUCUACCAUGUAUAACUAAUUUAUUUAGGUCGAAUUUUGUUGUUUAUUUAGAGAUGUAAAAGGUUGACACUCCCACUAAACAAAGUGUCGAUCGAGUUACUACAAUAUAUAGGAACCAAACACUCGAUGUUAAAUGUCGAACUAAAUUUGAUGCCAUAAUGUGAAAAGGAUAUACUGUCCUGUUCACUCGAUUCAUCCAUAAAAAAUUGAAGCAAGUGGUCUACUCUUCUUCCUUCUCCACUUUUCUGCACAUCAUAAAAGACAAGUUAAUGAAUGACAAAUUUUUCAAUAAUCCACAAUGCAUACAAACACUUACUUCUGAUUUAGUUUGCAUUUCUUGCUAUGUUUAGUGUGUCCUAGCAAUUUGCAAGCGCCGCGCCGGGUUUUCAACUCAUCAAAAGAGAGUGGUCUACCAUUUUUCGAGACAGGGCGGUUCUCAUCUACCUUUGUUGCACAUUUGCUUGACACUUUCAUAGGAUCUUUAACUGCGACCAUGUUGCCUUCACCAUCGUCUACAUAUUCAACUGCACACUUACUGAAGUCAUUUGUAUUCUUGCCCAAAUUUUCCUGUAGCAGAUCAUACUCAUGACUCUUAGCUAUCACAGCCUUCAAACUAUCCUGUAACUGAUCCCACAAAGUUGGGUGUUUGCAUGUCACAUGCAUAGCUUCUGACGCUAACACACUGACCAGGCUAUAUUUCAUUCUUUCCCCUGCCCCAGUCCAACCAAAUCCCAACAGAUCGCUUGUGCGCCUCGCAGGCAGUCCCAACCUUGCUUGUUUCAUGAACCGAAUAAGAACUAAACACAUUGGUAUUUCAGAUAUGUUCAAGUACUUCAGUACGUGGAAUAUGUGCUUGCAAGGUAGACCCUUUCAAAUCAUUCUUCUGCAGCUGCACCGUAUAGGCUCUGCGGAAUUUACUGGUGUAUACUCCACCCAAAAACGGCUCUUCCAGUUAUUCUUCCAGGCCACGAUGUACUGCUGUGAUCUGUCGCCCAGCUUAAUUUCUACAAUCUCCAUGCCGUCAAUUUUUCUAAGAUCAUCUUACAACAUAUAGAAGUUUGCUGGAGUGAAGACGUGAGAAGCAGCUAUCUCAAGUUCCCUCGAGCUAGUAACUAGCACCGGUAAACUCUGUGAGGCCGUGCAGUCAUCUCGCGCCUCGUUUUCAUGGAUACGUACAACGGUGUUCUCAUAAUGCAAAAUCAUAUCUACCAGGGUCAUUUCACCGUCUAGGUGGAGGUGAAGGCAUGAGUUCAGGCUUUCACUCUAUUGGUUGCUUUUCAUGCCAAGCCAAAACCCCUCUGUCAGAUAAGCCGCGGCCCACAGUCUCCUCUUCUUAUACAUCCAUCUCAACCAUGUUAUAGUUUUUUCCGACUGCCAUCUUUUGGUAAACGCGUGGCAUCUCUCUUCAAACGUGGUCGUGGACGUGUUGUAGUACAGAAGAGUUCGGAACUCCUUCAAGGACUUGUGACUGAGGUGAAUCUUCAUAUUUUUUUCUAUAUGCCACGUGCAUAUACGGUGCCACACAUCUGCCAAGACUUCGUGAAUUGCCUUGAUCAUCGCAGCGGCGGCAUCUGUGAUUACACUCUUCGGCAUCUUUUGACACAUGGACCUCAAAAAAGUCUGCAGCAGCCACACGUAUGUCUGUUCGGUCUCGUCCGAAACUAUGGCACAACAAAAAACAGUGGUCUUCUUAUGAUUGUUAAGACCAACAAAAGGUAUGAAUGGCAUACCAUAGCGGCUCAUCUUGUAUGUGCUGUCAAAUACAAGAACGUCGCCGAAGUCCUCAUAGUCAUGACGAGACUGGGAGUCACACCAGAACAUCCUAUUCAAGUGUCCUUCCUUAUCUAGCUUGUACUCGAAAAAGAAGCUAGGAUCCCUCUAUUUCCUACUGGCCAUGAUGCAUAUGGCUGUGGCAGCAUCACCUUUUGAAAGCAGCUUCCACUUCUCCUUGGCGUAAAGGUUGUAUAUUUCACGCCUGGUAAAACCAACACCGCCAUACCAUACAUGUUUGCUGAUAAAGGAAUCCAUCAUGCCAUGAGUUCUAAUCCCUACAGCUCCCAUGGACAUUAUCUCAUGCUUCUGGUACACUUUGAUUUUUCCGUAGGACCAAAGAAAAGGUACCUCAUCCGGUCCUGCCAACAUAUGGCUAUGCUUGUCCUCAAAACUUGCAACAUACCAAACCCCACGCUUUUGGUCAAGCUUGGCAGUCAUGUGUGCUUCGCAAAAGCAGCGUGUCUCGGCUCUGAGCCUACGGCUGUGUCCUUCCUCGGUUAGCAACUUUCUGUCACGUUUCCCUUGUCUGGAACAAGCAAACCGCCUAUAACGCAUAUGAUGUGACUCGGUUUUGCUAUACCUGACCUUAUUCUUUCUAAUGCUGAAACCAUUAACUCUAGCAUAGCUCUUGUAGAAAUCAUACGCAGCAUCGUGAGACAUAAAAGUCAUAUCCAUUAUCUGCAUGAACAUAUCCCUCUUAUCAUCUGCACUGGUAGUAUCUUGGACAUUCUUUGCCCCAUCAUCUUCUGUCACCUACACAAUCAAAACAUAGCCAUGAAAACAGUUUUCUAUGGUAUAACAUUACUUUCAUAGAACAUUGAUUACACAAAUACCUCACUCAUGAUGACCACCGACUGCGAAUCCCCAGAAUCAGGUGUAUCUAAUGAUUCGUCAUUAAGGCCUGUCUCCGCGUCGGAUUCACCGUAAUAGUCGUACGCAUUAUGACAUUCAGAAAUGAACUGAAAAAUACAACACAAAUACAUAAUUACUUAUCAUAUAAUAUUCUAGAAUGAAUUCAAUUUGCAUGCCAAUAAAGAUUCUCACUUACAUACCCGACUAAUGUAAUCUUCAUUUGAGAGCUCCGAAUUGUUUUCCUGACCAGCAUCAUGCUCAUCCAUCUACAAAUUUUCAAUACAAAAAUAUAAUGUUGUCGGAUGGCACCAAAAAAUUACAACAUGAUAAUGCCACUCACAUUAAAAUCUUCCCAUUCGCUCCCAUUCUCUGACUGAUCUCCAAGAUCUGAAUUUUCAUCAUCUGACCAACCUUCUAUCCAGUCUUUCAUCAGUUCUCCAAAUUCCAUGUCUACCAUUAUAUCAGUUAACUCCUCGUCCUCCAUUUCCUACAACAAAUAAUAUGUAUCAACACAUGUGAAAACAUUAUCAAUGAAGAAAUAUCAACACAUAGCACAUGAUCACGGAUGUUAUGUAAAUAACCCCAACCGAGGCCGUUCAGAUGUGCCAAACCAAGUCAGGAAGAUGGCCACGACACCCGUCGUGAUCACUUUCAAUCGCGAGGAGCAGCACUACAAAACCUAGCUAGAUCUGUGAUUACCUCUGCCGUCGGAUACCUAGUUUAGCCGCCACAUCAAAUGACGAUAGUCCUGGUGGACACAGCCAACGGCAACCGACGCUACGUGAACCCUACACUGAACAAACCCAGAUCACGAGGAGCAGCACUAGCAGAACAAGAUCCAUGAUCACAUGCUCCACCGGGUAGGUAGGUUACCCGCCCCGCUAGGUUAACCACUACCUCUGGCGGCGGCAGUUUGUUCGAUGUUGCCAUGAGCGAGACUAGAGGGGUGCGGGGGGAUGCGGGAUGCGGUACCUGUGAGCGCUGGAUAUUCAUGAUGUUGUCGCGCCCGCUGUCCGACGAGAUCGCCGGAGACGAGAUAGCCGCGCGCCGCUGGAGAUCUACUGCGUGAAUUAUGGAGCUGCGAGAAUGCUCGCGAGAUUGAUGGAGCUGCGUGAAUGGUUGGAUCCGGCAGGUCCUACGUGGUCGUGGGGUUGUGUGAUGUUUUUUUCGGACCAGGGUACUAUACGUAUACGGUAUGGGUUGUACAGGGCUAGAUAGGGCUUGGCAGGGCUAGACAGGGCUUGGUUCUGGGCUACGGCAGGCCAGGAAAAAACCAAACUCGCAGGGAUAUAAAUGCCCCUCGGAAAUUAGGUUAGGGGGAGCACUGGAGCAGGGCUCUUGCAACACAAGCACAUAGCUAUGUGCUCUGUCCAUUUGCAUCCUUUUAUUCUGUUGAAUAUGCUUGUGUUAAAGUUAUCCUCUUAUUCAUUGACAAUCGAGCAAAAACAAAUUGGACAGAGCAUGUUGUUGUGUCGACACUGCCGGAAGACGAUCAGCAGGACGGCAAAAGGAAGAUGGAAGAACCAAAAAACUGCUGAUGUGCAUGCCUCCGGUGAUCAGGAUUAAGUGUUUUCCAGAAAUGUCUGUGAGAUUUGUUUCUCUCAGCAAGACCAAACAAUCAGGAACUCAUGUCAAGUAGCUUGGAAUAGUUGAUGUUGUGUUUACUUUUCUUUAGAAUUUUCUCCUCAAGUGAAGAUAGGAUAGUUGAUUCAGAUGGUGGGGCUUUUCUAUUGUAUAAAUGAAUUUGGUGUACACUGAAUGAAAGCUCCUGGUAUUUGAAGAUCCUUCUGAAAUUUGCAUCAUAUAUUUGUUGUUAUCCACUCUCCUGGUAACAAUGGUGUUCAAUGUACAGUGCGCUGGUACUAUAUAUCCACCCAUUGCGAUGAAAUUUGGAGUAUCCAUCCGUUUUUGUUCCACCUAUUCAAGGAGAUGAAAACACCAAAAUUUUCCAUGCCUGUGCGUCAGUACGCCGUCGUGGAAAUCAGAUCGCGUGUCUAGUUUGUGAUGGAGUAGAACACCGGGCACACAAUGACAAAGCCUCCAUUCUGCGUGUCUUUUACCUGGACCUGCUGGGGACGGCUGCUCCAGUGGAGGUUAGCCUUGACUUGCAUCGCUUGAUGGAGGGGGGCCCGGUUGGAUUCCUUCCAAUCAUCAAUCCUGGAUCUGCCAUUCUCUCCUGAGGAUAUCAAGGUCGCGGUUUUUGGGAUGCACUCUGGUCCUGCUACCGGCCCGGUUAGCUUUGGCCCUGCUUUCUUCGAACACGCCUGGGCUCUCCUUGCCACUGACCUCCAGGACUUGGCCAGAGACUUCUUUCACCACAACUCUGAGCUCUCGGGCAUCAACAGGGCCUACAUCGCUCUCAUUCCCAAAGUGGAUGCCCCCACGUCGCCUUCAAACUUCCGGCCCAUCUCGCUCCAGAACUGCCCCCCCAAAAAUGUUGUCUCAUAUAAUGAUGACUCGCCUACAACCUAUGAUUCCUUUCCUUGUGCACCCUGAGCAGACUAGCCUUUUGCAUGGAGGGUUCAUCUCGGAGAACUUUGUCUUGGCGGUACAGUUGGUUCAGUGCUGUCACAAGAGGAAAUAGCCGGCCUUUGUGCUCAACUUGGAUUUCAAGAAAGCUUUUGACUCUAUCUCCGGAAUUGCUAUGGACCGUGUACUAGAGGCGAAAGGCUUCUCAAGCAGGUGGCGUACGUGGGUACGCGACCUAAACACCUCCAGCCGCUCUGCUGUUGUGCUCAAUGGGGUCCCUGGAAAAUGGUUUGAGUGCAAAAAGGGAUGUGCCAAGGGGACCCCAUGUCCUCGUACCUCUUCACUCUGGUUGCCGACAUUCUGUAAUGCCUUGUUGCGGCGAUCGGAGCGGAGGGGGGUGAUAACACACAAGUGCAGGGGAUCGCAACAGUUUUCGAUAAGUAAGAGUGUCGAACCCAACGAGGAGCUAAAGGUAGAAUAAAUAUUCCCUCAAGUUCUAUCGACCACCGAUACAACUCUACGCACGCUUGACGUUCGCUUUACCUAGAACAACUAUGAAACUAGAAGUACUUUGUAGGAGUGAUAGGAAAGGUUUGCAAGAUAAUAAAGAACAUGUAAAUAAAAAGUAGGGGCUGUUUAGAUAAAGAUGCAAUAAAGUAAAUGUAGCGAGUAUGGAAAAGUGGUCGUAGGAGUUGUGAAUUUGUCCCUAAGCAAUUGACUAUGUUAAUAAACCGGUAAUCAUUAUUGCAAUUUUAUUUGAGGGAGAGGCAUAAGCUAACAUACUUUCUCUACUUGGAUCAUAUGCACUUAUGAUUGGAACUCUAGCAAGCAUCCGCAACUACUAAAGAUUCAUUAAGGUAAAACCCAACCAUAGCAUUAAAGCAUCAAGUCCCAUUUAUCACAUACGCAACAAUCCCCUUACUCGGGUUUGUGUUUCAGUCACUCACGCAACCCACUAUAAGCGAAUCAUGAACACAUUGCAACACCCUACAGCGGGAAUCCCUCACGCUUGCGCGACACGGAGGGCACCAUAGGACAGCACCAAUAAUAAAACAUGCAACUCAAACCAAUCAUAGCAAUUCAUCAAUCACCGAUAGGACAAUGGAAAUCUACUCAGACAUCAUAGGAUGGCAACACAUUGUUGGAUAAUAAUAUGAAGCAUAAAGUUUCAUGUUAAAGUAGAGGGUACAGCGGGUUGCGGGAGAGUGGACCGCUGGAUAUAGAAGAGGGAAGGUGAUGGAGAUGUUGGUGAAGAUGAUGGAGGUGUUGGUGAAGAUCGCGGUGAUGAUGAUGGCCCCCGGCAGCGCUCCGGCGCCACCGGAAGCAAGGGGGAGAGAGGCCCCCUUCUUCUUCUUCUUCUUCUUACUUGACCUCCUCCCUAGAUGGGAGAAGGGUUUCCCCUCUAGUCCUUGACUCCCAUGGCUUGGGAGGGGCGAGAGCCCCUCCGAGAUUGGAUCUAUCUCUCUGUUUCUGCGUUCUGUGUUUCUGCCCCUUCACUGUUUCCUUUAUAUCUGGAGAUCCGUAACUCCAAUUGGGGUGAAUCUUUCGCCCAGAUUUUUCUCAUAAAAUUAGCUUUCUUGUGGCAAAAGAAGAGCGUCAACCACCUUACGGGUGGCCCACGAGAGUCCAGGGCGCGCCCAGGGGGAUGGCGCGCCCCCUAUCUCGUGGCCACCUCGGACACCGUUUCGCGUUGAUUCUUCCUCCGAAAAAUCCCAAAUAUUCCAAAAUAAUUCUCCGUCCGUUUUUAUCCCGUUUGGACUCCGUUUGAUAUUGGUUUUCUGCGAAACAUAAAACAUGCAACAAACAGGAACUGGCACUGGGCACUUGAUCAAUAUGUUAGUCCCAAAAAUAGUAUAAAAAGUUGCCAAAAAUAUGUGAAAGUUGAAGAAUAUUGGCAUGGGACAAUCAAAAAUUAUAGAUACGACGGAGACGUAUCAGGGGGGCCCCAGCACCCUCUUGAUUCGUCUCUCCCGUGUCUGGUUCUCCAGUACACCGACGACACUCUGAUUUUUCUCAAAGCGGAGCCAGCCCAAAUUGCUAAGUUGAAGAGUGUGCUGGAUAUCUUUGAUGCUAACACUGGGCUCAGCCUUCACUACGACAAAUGCACCUUUGUCCCAAUCAAUGUUGAGGCAGAGGCGGCGCGGCACCUUGCUGCUGUGUUUGGGUGUCCGGUGGCAAGCUUCCCACAGCAAUACCUGGGACUGCCCCUCUCCGCAGCAAAAAUCAAGCUUGCCGACUUCCACCCGCUCAUUGCCAGGGUUGACAGGUGGCUGGCGGGUUGGUGCGGGCUCCUGCUCUCGUCUGCUGGAAAGUGGACCUUGGUGGAUGUCGUUCUCACGUCCUUGCCCACUUAUGCCAUGGGGUCCCUCCAGCUCGCUGGGAGAACACACGCCAGUUUUGAGAGGAAGUGUCGAGCUUUGUUUUGGGCAGAUGACACCUCUGUCAAUGGGGCUUAGUGCAAAAUUCCCUGGACUAAGGUCUGUAAACUGCGCAAUAGGGGCAGCUUGGGGGUUCGGGACAUGAGAUUGCAUAAUUCCUGUCUGCUAAUGUAGCUAUUGGCUAGGAUCCAUGCCCCCUCAUUCGCUAGCUGGCAGACAUGGUUUUCCUCACGGUACGGUUGGAGAGGAAAUUGUGAUAUGGGUAACUCCACUUCUCUUCCGACACAAGCUUCUUUGCCAAGCCUUCCCCAUCAACCGGAAAUCCAUUAAGAAAGGCAAGGGGCACAACGGCAAGGUCUAUCUUCGAUUUAUUUUUUUGGCUUUAUUCUUUAUUUAUUUCAUUUUGAUUUUUCCCUCUUCCUCUAUCCCUAUCCUCUAGGUACAGCAUUUGUAUCUGUUUGGAUCUUGGUCCAUGAUGGCCUUUGUAUUGAUUUUGACGAUUGGAUCUCUCUAUGAAUGGAAAAGGGGUGCUUCGGAUCGGGAGUAACCACUUUUACAGCCAAGACCCAUUCUUAAGUACAAGCCAGUGGUGGUGUCCGGUCGAAGGCCCAAAGAUUGUGAAGUGGGCUGGUUACGACUCAACUCCGUAUAAACCUAUGGAAAUCAUAGUAGCAAAUGACGCUAAGAUGUAUUGUGAGCACAAAUGUCGGACGCCUUGAUACCCCCACUUGGAAAUCUCUCCUGGCACUCCUGCCGCUUUUCUGGGCACAAACCGCGAGCUUCAUUGGCCAUGGUGCAACCACGUCCUUCUGGCGGGAUCUAUGGUUGGGCAGUUCAAUGUUUGAGCUCAGGUUUCCGGCUCUCUUCUCGCACACGAAGCGCCCCAAUGCUUGUGUUGCUGACUCCCUGCGGGGGCUGGAUGCCCAUCUCCAACCUCAUCUCUCUGCGAUCGCCUGCUCUGAACUUGCUAGUUUGACGGACGAGGUCCAUGGUGUGAUCUUAUGGCCUGGCGUGUCGGACGAGUGCGGGAUGCACUCUUCCGGAAGGGCGUUCACUGCUCGGGGGGCAUACCAGGCUACCAUGGCAGUACAUGAGUUGUACACCUUUGCGUCGAUGAUAUGGCGUAGCUUUGCUCCCGAAAAGUGCAAAUUCUUCCUCUGGCUGUGCCACCGCUGGCGUCUCCCGUGUGCUGCCCUGCUCCAUCAAAGGCACAUCAUUAGCAGUUCUGCCUGUGCUUUUUGUGGAGAAGUGGAGACCAUUGAGCACUUGAUGUUCGGAUGCCGGCACGCUUGUGCCAUCUGGGCAGUAGUAGCUCCUGGCGCUGCGACUGCCCUCUCUGUCGAAUACCUGUGCGCUGCGCACGGCGCCGGAAUGUCGCCCCCCCUCCCCCGCACGCCUUAGGGUCACUACUUGUGUUGCGAUUCUCUGGAACAUUUGGAAGAGUAGGAACGCCAAGGUUUUCCGUGGGCUGGACCUCUCUCCUCCUGAUGUGGCCCGUGCCGUCGCGGCAGAUGUCUCCCUGUGGAGAUGGAGAUGCUCCCGCAUCAUCUGUAAAAUGAUCCUUGAGUCGUGGGUUCAGUGUUUCGCUACCUUGCUGUAGGGCCUCGGUUCCUUCCCCACGCUGCUUUUCUUCAGUCUUUCAGCCUUACUCCGCUGCUUUUUCGGUGCAGUUGUAACUUGCAUGGGGGGCCUCCCUCUCAACCCCUCUCUCCCUUGUAACUCUGGUUUGAUCACCCCGGAAGUGGUACAAUGCUUUUUCUCCUAGGCUCUCGUGACUCCUGGGCGACGAGCGGUUCCUAGGGUUUGAGCGCCCUCUAGGUCUUCGAUUUCGUCGUUGAUCCUUCCUUCUUUCCCCCCAAAUCCAGUCUGAUCUCCUGCUACUCCUGGUGCGUGUGUUUCCUGGAUCUGGUCUCUGCUCGGGUGAUUAAGGGGGCUUCCUUGUACCGCUUCCCACCCUUGGCAGGUGCUAGUUUUAGGUUUCAGCAUGCACCUCAUGGCAGGGGCUCGGGAUGCAGGGGGAUCAGAUGCCCUUGGGGCCGGAAAGUUUGCGCCGGGCGGCGGAGAUGGCGAUGCCUCCCAGGCACCUCCGAUCGUUGGGUGGUUGAUGGCAGUUCCAGGUCCAUCUCCCUUGCCGGGCGGUUCUUCCUCUGCAACCCGCGUGGCGGAUCAUGUUGAGGAGAUGAUGGAAAGGCUUUGUCUGACGGCUGUCGAGGCGAGACCCGUGGUACUAGAUGAUGAGGAUGAGGCAGAUUUGGUGGCUCCGGAUUGCGCCCUGGUGGGGAAUGUUCUCUUCCCUAACAUCCUCCACAUUCAGACGAUUUCUUCUGCUAUGAGGCAUGCUUGGGGAAAUCCUAGGGGUUUGCUGCUCCAUCCCUACGGGGACAAUGUUUUUGUUGCUGAAUUUGGUACCCAGGCAGAUAGAACCAGGGUGAUCGAAGGCUCGCCUUGGAUGGUGGGAAAACACGUUGUUCUUCUCAAGCUCUUUGAUCUGAACACCCAACCCCUUCGUGUCAAGUUUGAUCGUCUGGCUAUCUGGGCCCGUAUAAUGAACUUUCCACCAUGGUUGAUCAGGGCUAAACUUGGUCUGGAAUUUGCAAAGCCUAUUGGUAGUAUCAUCAUGGUUGACGCUGAUUCUGACGGGUGCUGCUGGGGUGGAUAUAUGCGUGUUCGGGUGGAGAUUUCUGUUGGCGACCCACUCGUGCGUUAUGUGACAGUGACCUCAGUCAAGCUUCAGUCGACGGACACUUAUUCGGUGAUGUAUGAGAGACUGCCCUUUCAUUGCUUCUCGUGUGGCCUCCUUGGCCAUUCUUCUGUCCUAUGCCCAUCUCCAGGCUUCAGGGAUAUGAAUGGGGACCUGCCAUAUGCGGCUAAGAAGAUCUGUGUCCUAGAUGAGACUCACAAAAGGUCUGGUGGAUCGAAGUCCUCGAUGGCUUCCUCGUCCACGGGUUCUGAAAACAAGGCCGGCGGUCCUCGGCCUGCUCCCUCUGGUUGUGCUAGAGCUGUUGCCUCUAUGGACUCGGCGGCGGCUGAGGGUGAGGUCUCAUCCCCUGUCAAAAGAGCUGGAAGGGGCCGUGGUCGAGCCCCCUCCUCCCGAGGGCGAGGGAGAGGAUGAAGUGCGGCUGCGAGCAGGGAGCUGUUCUCGGGCAGUCAGGACAAGGUGGGCAUGUCUGGGCAAAAGAGGAAGGUGGCAAAAACUCAGGCCCCUUUGGUGAUCUGUGACCAGGUUCCUUCCGAAGCAAAUGAUCUAGCUUUGGUCUUGGCGUCGGACUCUCAAGCUGCUAAUGUUGGUGUGGAGCAGCUAAGUGGUGAGGAUUCAAACAAGAAACAACGCACAUAAUAUUCUCGAUCGGCGGAUCCGGCGGCGGCUGCGGCGCAGCCCCGCCAGAUGCAAUGAAUAUCAUAUGCUGGAACUGUCGAGGCCUGGGGUCGGACUCGACAGUUGGCGAGCUUUGCUGGCUUGUGAAGCUCUAUCGACCCUCCCUCCUCUUUCUUUCUAAAACUAAGAUGAGGGAUUCGCGUGUGAAGAAUUUCAUGUGGUCAUUGGGUUUCUCUGGUUGCUAUGCUAUCAGCAGUGAGGGACUCAGUGGCGGUCUCGCUUUGUUUUGGACUCAUGCGGCGGAUGUGACAGUUAAGGCAGCCAAUAAGAGGUGCAUUGAUGUUUAGGUGAAACUUGAUGAGGGUUUGCCGUGGAGAGCGACGUUCGUCUAUGGCGAACCAAGGAGAGAGGAUAGGUCCCUCUUCUCGGAACUCCUUCGGCAUAUGCAUCACUCCUAGUCGGGUCCGUGGUUUUGCUGCGGCGAUUUUAAUGAGGUGCUUACACUACUAGGAAAAUGCUUAUAGGUAGACAUUUAGCGGUAGCAUUGGUUAUAUACCCCCACAAUACUACUACUUAGCAGUAGCGCCGGACAAAACCAGUGCUGCAAGCGCACGUUACCAGUAGCGCUUAUUUUCCAGGCCAGCGCUGUUGUUAGUGGGCCACGCACUCGGCCCACUAUUGCAGCUUUAGCUCUAGCGCUGGGCCUUCUCCCCCACGCUGCUGCUAAGCCCACCUCUACUUCCUCCCUCUGGCCCGCGUGCGCUCUCUCACUCACUCUCACACUCACACGCUCACACUCACGCGCCCCUCAAUCCCCCGCUCCGGCCGCCGCCCCCGUGUCCUACGUCGGCUUCCCUCCCCUGCGCAGGCCCUCCUUCCCCGCCUGCCGCCCUCCCCCGCGUCAGCCCUCCUCCCCCACUGGCCGCCCUCCCCCGCCGGCCAUCCUUCCCCGCCGGCCGCCCUCCCCCGCGCCGGCCCUCUUCCACCGAGUGGUACUCCUCCCUCCUUCCUCCUCCUCCUCCCUCCCUCCCUAGUUAUAAUUAUUAGAGAGUAGUUAUUUUGAAUUCUAUAUAGAUGAAAAAAUGUAGGUUCUUAGAAUAAUGUAGUAUGAACCCUAGUUAAUUUGUAUGAACCCUAGGUUUUUAAAUUAGCUAGGUUUUAAAACUAGGACAGAAAUUUAUCUAGGUUUUUAAAUUAGGACAAAAAUUUAUCUAGGUUUUUAAUUAGGUGUAGUUAAUAGAAUUUAGGUGUUUUAGGUGUAUUUAACAUAAUUCUAGGUGUUUUAGUUGUUUUAGGUGUAGUUAACAAAUUCUGGGUAUUUAUUUAGUUAAAGCAAUUGUUGUUAUUUUUUUAGUUAAAGCAAUUUUUCCUGUUAUAUGCAAAUUUGCAGUGGACAUGUCAUAUUUUGAACAUGUCACAUUUUGGACAUGUCAUAUUUUUCCGAGUGGCUUAUGUUUUUCCAUAUUUUUACGUUAUGGCAAAUUUCAAGCACUCGAUAUGUCCUGUUUUUAGCAAAGUUCAUGCCGAAUUUUUCUAAGUGCUUAUUAAUUUUGUUUCCAUAAUUAAGCAUUUAUUAUUGACAUCUAUGAUGCCUGGCCCGCAUCCUCGUCGUCGACUCAGCGGAGGAGGCUUGCUUGAUUAUAGGGGCCAUGUCUGGGACUGGGCUCCGCCUGGCUGGUGCUGGGAGGUGCUACCUUCCGGGGCGCGCAGCUUGGUGAGGAGGCAGCCCAUCGUCGACCGGACCUUAUUUGGUGGCGGUCGCGUGGGCCAGUGACCGUGGGGAGGCCUUCGUCCACUACAGAGGUGGUAUCUCACCGUGUCAGCAAGGAGGAUGAGCACGUCCGUCGCUACAUGGUUGCGUUGGAGGGCAGGUCCGACAGUACCUGGAUGGUUCUUCAGGGAUCUCACUGGAGCUAUGAUCCUCUGAUGGUUCCUUCUCUUUGGGUGUCCACUGCCCGCGCCGACACCCACCGUUCACUAGGGUUCUAGCUGUAUUAGUGAUGUUAUAUAUAUGAUACAAUUCGAGAUGUAUUAGUGAUAAUAUUCGACGAUGUACGGACGCAAGAGAUGAUUUAGUUUUCUUAUUGAAUGCAUGCUCAUUUGAAUACUAAUUCAUUUUAUGAUUUAGUUUUGCUUAUUGAAUGCAUGUCUGUUUCAACUAUAUGAACAUAGGAAAUGUCUGACGCCGAUAACGAAAGGGAAUUAGGUAUGUGCGAAUACUGCGAAGAUGAGCGCGGCCAGCGCGACGGGCCUCACCUAGUUGGUGAUAGGCGCUUCAGCAUCAAGCUGGAUGAGACGUUUGAAGUGCAUACAGUAAGUCACAACGACAAGUCUUUUUUCAUAAUUAAGCAUGCCUUCUUCUUUUGCUUCAACUUAUAAUUUAUUUAUUUUUACUAUUCUACUAGUGUAUUCCCUGCCAUGCAAGAAUAUAUGUCUUGGAUAAGAUUGGUUUCAGUACUAUGGAAAGUAUGGAGGUAAAAAGAGUUAACUUGAGGACCGAGCAUGGUUAUAGUUUUCUCGCAAAAUUAUACAAUACAGACACCUACACCCAUUUUGGAUGCAAACAAUGGAGAGCACUAUGCAAGGUUUAUGCAUUUGAUUCGGAUAUGCUUAUCACCUUUGAUAUUCGUCCGGAAGAUGAUAUUGAAGAUAAUAUUGACAUCUGGGUCGAUGUGUAGACGCCUCCAGUUCUACCUUUAUGUAAGUUUCUCAACCAUAUUUAUGUCUUGGAUAUUGUUUAUUCAAAAAUAGUUGACAACUAAUUUCUGUCGACAGCUUAUUUCCAUUCAAGCAAACAUGUCCGGCGCUUGGUAGACAUGACCGACUACUGUCCCGGGGCUGAACUAAACUGCGAGGAGACAAGUCAUUAUGUUUCAUGGCUUGAGGAUCUUCAUAUUGUCAAGACAAAUUAUUUUCCUAGACUUAGGAAUGUUAGUACUCAAAACAUGCGACCAAUAGUGUUCGUACUAGGAAAGAUGGUAAGAUUUUUACUAUUUGUCCUCAGUGCAUCUUUUGCAUACAUUAUUUUUUAAGCUAAACUUCAUUGCUAAGUAUGUUACUACGAUGUUCUUCAACAGGGACUCCCGAUGAUAGUUGUGCCUCAGUGGAUCAAAGCUAAAGGUCGCAUGUCCAUGGUUAGCAUACAGCCAAGACUUCCUACAUUGCACAUGAGUGCAUUCAGGAUUUCUAGAAGCGAGCAAGUCUUAAUAGUCAAAGACUGGAACAAAAUUGUGAAGGAUCGCAGAGAAGUACUAGGGGGCAGCAAUCAGAAGCGUAGCCCACAAUUAGGAGACAGGUUCAUCUGCAUGCUUCAAUAUGAUGAAUCAGGAGCGCUCCACAUGUUCUAUGCUAUUUUACCUAAGAGAGAGCAGUAGGAGUGAUUAGCUAGCUAGAAUGAAUUUCAAGAUUAUGAUGAUGUGCUACACUAUGUAUCUAUGAUGAUUAGACAAUGUUGGUGGUAAUGACUAGCUAUGAUGAUUAUUAGCUAGUAGUGUUGGUGGUAAUUUUCCCUUACUUGCAACUCCUAUGCUGAAUUAGAGGCUAUGUUGAUGCUACUACUAAUCAUUGUUGGUGAAGCAAAUGCAUCUGAAUUUCCAUCCAUGGAUACUGCAUUUGAAUAUUAUUAUUUUUAAUUUCUAAUCAAUUAGAUGUAGCGUGGGGUGGAGAAAGUGACCCUACUAGUACAUACGUUAGUAGUAGCGUGUGUGUGGAAAGAAGCACUACUAGUACUUAGUAUAUCUGCAACGUGGGAUAGAAAACGCGCUACUGCUAAUAUUUAGCUAUAGCGCCGUAGCAGUAGCAUCGGCACCCACGCUACUGGUAUGAAAAAAACCAUGGUACUGGUAAGGGUUUUCCUAGUAGUGCUACUAGUGAUGAACAUUGUGCGCCCAAAGACCGGCUAUACUCUCAGAUGGCUGUAUUCAGGUAUUGCAUGUUGGAUUGUGGUUUGUAUGACUUGGGGUUUUCGGGUCCUAAGUUCACUUGGUGUAAUAGACAGGAUCCCAAUAGUAAUGUCCGGUGUCUCUUGAAUAGAGCCAUGGCUAACAGUGACUUCUCCAACUUAUUUGGGCUUGCAAUGUGGAGAAUAUUAUUGCCACCACAUCUGAUCACUAUCCGGUUCUUGUUCGGCUUGGGGCAGAUCUUCAGGUGCACCGCUUGGUCCCUGUGCAGCAAGGUUUCAAGUUUGAAGCGAUGUGGCUACGGGCGACUGAUUACCGAGACACUCUCGAGCAGGCUUGGUCGGCGGGCAGAGAUGGCAUUUUGUCUUUGAGCUCGACCUGGACAAACCUCAAGGGGGUGGCUAGCUCUCUGCGUACUUGGAGCAAGGAGGCAUUCGGCUCUGUUCGUAAGAAAAUUGGGAAGAUGGAACGUCGCCUUGCUACCAUUAGGGCGUCACCGCCCUCCCCGUCUUCGCUUGCUGAGGAGAAACACAUUGAGUGUCAGUUAUGCGAGUUGUUUGAGCGAGAAGAUAUCAUGGAGAGACAGCGGUCUGAAGUGGAUUGGCUCAAGGCCGGUGACCGUAGCACGGACUUUUUCCAAGCUCGAGCGACAGCCAGACGGAGAACAAAUAAGAUUCAUUCGCUUUUGCGGGAUGAUGGCUCGGUCUACUCUACUCAAAGUCAGAUAAAAGGAUUGGUGCAGUCCUAUUAUGAGAAGCUCUUCACAUCCAAACCUCGCUCCUCUGCUGAUGAGGUUCUGUAGGCGGUCCCAAAUAAGGUUUCUGAUGAAACAAAUGCUGACUUGUGCAGGCCCUAUUCUAAUGAGGAAAUUAGGACAACUUUGUUUCAGAUGGGACCGACCAAGGCCCCUGGCCCGGAUGGAUUCCCGGAUCUUUUUUACCAAACACACUGGGAGUUCUUGGGCGAGGACAUUUGUCAUGCGGUUCGUGGUUUCUUGGAAGGAAUACCAAUUCCUGAAGGGUUCUGUGAUUCGGUUAUUGUUUUGAUUCCAAAGACUACCAAACCGAAACUGUUGAAGAACUUUCGGCCUAUCAGUUUGUGCAAUGUGCUCUACAAGAUUGCAUCCAAGGUCUUAGCCAACCGUCUGAAAUCUAUUCUGCCUGUGGUGGUUUUGGAGAGUCAGAGUGCCUUUGUUCCUGGCAGAUUGAUCACGGAUAACACCCUUAUUGCUUAUGAGUGCCUUCAUACCAUCCGAAAUCAACGCGUGAAGAAACCUUUCUUUGCCCUAAAGAUCGAUAUGAUGAAAGCCUAUGAUCGUGUGGAGUGGAGCUAUCUGCAUCAGUGCCUGACCAAACUUGGUUUUGCAAACUCUUGGAUUGAGACUGACAUGAGAUGUGUGACUAAUGUCCGUUAUGCCGUGCGUGUUAAUGGUGAGUUAACUGAUCCGGUGGUUCCUUCUUCUGGGAUUCGUCAAGGGGAUCCAAUAAGCCCGUACAUAUUCCUCUGAUGCUCUGAAGGUUUGUCUACUCUGCUAUUUCAAAAGGAGGCUCGUGACGAGCUACAUGGGAUUCGCAACGGCCGUCAUGGCCCAUCUAUCUCACACCUCCUGUUCGCGGACGAUAGCAUCUUCUUUGCGAAGAGUGAUUAUCAGAGUGUGGCAUCAUUGGAAUUGAAAGAUCGAGGAUGUCGUCUAGAAGGGGGGUGAAUAGGCGCUUUAAAAUAAUUACGGUUUAGGCUUGAACAAAUGCGGAAUAACCUAGUGGUUAAUUUGUCAAGCACAAAACCUACAACAACUAGGCUCACCUAUGUGCACCAACAACUUAUGCUAAGCAAGAUAAGCAACUAUGUGAUAGCAAGAUAUAGACAAAGAACAAUAUGGCUAUCACAAAGUAAAGUGCAUAAGUAAAGGGGCUCGGGUAAGAGAUAACCGAGGCACGCGGAGACGAUGAUGUAUCCCGAAGUUCACACCCUUGCGGAUGCUAAUCUCCGUUUGGAGCGGUGUGGAGGCACAAUGCUCCCCAAGAAGACACUAGGGCCACCGUAAUCUCCUCACGCCCUCGCACAAUGCAAGAUCUGUGAUUCCACUAAGGGACCCUUGAGGGCGGUCACCGAACCCGUACAAAUGGCGACCCUUGGGGGCGGUCACCGGUACCCGUCAAAUUGCUCGGGGCGAUCUCCACAACCUAGUUGGAGACCCCGACGCUUGCCCGGAGCUUUACACCACAAUGAUUGAGCUCCGAAGACCACCAACCGUCUAGGGCACCAAGGCACCAAAGAGGAACAAGCUCUAGAGUGCCCAAACACCCAAGAGUAAUAAGCUUCUCAAACUUCACUUCCACGUAUCACCGUGGAGAACUCGAACCGAUGCACCAAAUGAAAUGGCAAGGGCACACGGAGUGCCCAAGUCCUUCUCUCCCAAAUCCCACCAAAGCAACUAAUGCUAGGGAGGAAAAUGAGAGGAAGAACGAAAGAAGAACACGAAGAACUCCAAGAUCUAGAUCCAAGGGGUUCCCCUCACUUAGAGGAGAAAGUGAUUGGUGGAAACGUGGAUCUAGAUCUCCUCUCUCUUUUCCCUCAAGAACUAGAAAGAAUCCAUGGAGGGAUUGAGAGUUAGCAAGCUCGAAGAAGGUCAACAAUGAGGGAAGAACAUGUGCUCAAAGGAUAAGGUUCAUUGGGGAAGAAGACCCCCUUUUAUAGGACCUCCCGAAUCCAACCGUUAUGUGCUCAGGUCGUGCACAAGCGGUACUACCGCUUGGAGGAGCGGUACUACCACCUAGCACGGUCAAAACAGUCCAAUCGAGAGAGAAAACACGAGUUUUUGGUCCGGGGCGGUACUACCGCUUAGGAGCCACGGUAGUACUGCUCUGGAGCGGUACUACCGCUCAGGAACCGCGGUACUACCGCUCUGGAGUGGUAGUAAAAAAAUUCAUCCGCUCUAGUCGCGGUAGUACCGCUGCAGCCUUUACCAAAACAGCCACAACUUUUGCAAACGGACUCCGAAUUCAACGAAACCAAGUUUGUUGGAAAGCUAACGACAUGGGCUAACACAAUAUUGAUAGAAAUAUCAAGAAUAAGCAAAUGAGAAAAGUCCCAUAAGAAAAUGGUGAGAACCUUUCAUCGGAUAAGACCGGUAAAACCUCCAACACCGAAAACAUCAUAGAAGACGCAUGCGAACUCCAUUUUCGAUGAACUCAAGCUUGCCAUCAAGAUGACCAUAAGCUCUAAGACUCACAAAGAUAACCAAACAAGAACCAAGAAACAUGAUGCAAGGAUGCAAUGGUUUGAGCUCUCUACUAACGAUACGAUCAAGCUACCAACUUGAGAGCCCCCCUUGAUAGUAUGGCAAACGAUCCUAUAACUCGGUCUCCCAACUACCACCACAAGACCGGUAAAAUAGAAAACCUAUCAAGGGAAAACCUUUUCCUUGCACAUGGUCCACUUGAGCUAGAUGAAGACGAUCUUGACUCCCUCAAGUUGGACCACCUUUCUCGAUUGCGUUGGCUCGAUGAAGACUAGAUGAUUGCUCCCCCAUAGUUCACUAUGGGUGAGCCACUCUUCGCACAUCUUCACAAGUCCAUUGACACCACAAUGGAUGGCAAGAUUCAAGCACUUGAUCUCUUCGUGAUGCUCCACCUGAACUUGCACACGGCAAUCUUGAUGACGAUCACCACUUGAUGUCAUCCUUUCCAUGGGUUGUAUGAUAUCUUCCUCUUGACGCAAGCCCAUGGAUACGUACCUAACCCCACAUACAACUCUCACAUAGACCAUGGGUUAGUACAUAAAUUGCAAUGGACAAUGCUUACCAUACCAUGGGAUCACUUGAUCCCUCUCGGUACAUCUUCUACGCUUUGUGAGUUGAUUAGCUUGAUUCACUCUUGACUUAGUCUUGAUCAACCUUGAAUCUUUACAACUCUCUUCAUUUGGAUGAUGUCUUGAAGGUAAACAUGAAUGAUCACACAACCUUCUUCUUCAAGACAUGCUUGCAAUAAGCUCAACACUCAUAUGACCAAUCUUUGGAUAAUUCCUUAAUAGCACCUUGAUCAUCACAAACUCUCAUUGAAACCAACAAAUGGACUCCAAGAAAAGCCUAUGGGCAAACCCUUCAAAUAAAACUCAAGGCAACCAUUAGUACAUAGGGAUUGUCAUCAAUUACCAAAACCACACAUGGGGGCACCACAUGUCCUUUCAAUCUCCCCCGUUUUGGUAAUUGAUGACAAUCACUUUCAAGAGAGUUUAUACAAGGAAUUAUGCAUCACCAUUCAAUGCACCAACCAAUAAUGCAUGCUCAUGAGAUGCAAAUGCUAAGGAAACAAAAACCAAAGCUACUCCACAAAACUCUCUAAAACUUCUCCCCCAUUGGCAUUGAUUGCCAAAAUGGGCGAAAAUCUUAGAAGGCCAAUAUAAAUUGUGGUCCUCCAUAAAUUGUGUAUUUCUCAACAAGAGAGUGGAAUGUAAUACACAUAUCCAACUUCCAAUACUUGGAGGAAGACAAACUAUAUUGAUGCCCAAAGAUUGCAACAGAAAGAUAUGCCACAAAGACAUAACAAAGAUAGACACAAGCAAUCAGAAGAUACCAAUUGAAGCAAGCAAUCAACGGAUAUCAAUUGAACCAACUAGACCAAUGAUCCUACAUGCCACAAGAAUAAAGAUAUUAUGAAAAGCGCAAAGGAGUGUUCUAAAGAAACUAGAGAAGCUCCCCAUGAUUUGUGCACACAUAGGAAUUUUUGUAUUUGAAUACAAAGUGCACAAAAUAGGAUCAUAGCUCCCCCAAAAUCAAUAGAAACUCACAUCCAGUGCAAGUGAGCAUAUAUGAAACAAAGCCUAGCGCUUGCAACAAGCACAUGGUUGAGCAACAUGUAAAAGAGGCAACUUAAGAAUAGGCUCAACCAAAAUGAUGUGUGUGAGUCAUGGCGAAGCACUUGAGAAGACUAAGAUUAGGAUGAGAAUUAAGCGUCAACAUAGUCUUGAAAGAAUGAGGCACACGGUGCAAGGCCUAUCAUUCCCACACCCAAAUGGCAAAUGGGUUCACAAGCUUAUUAAUAAGCAAAAGAGAACCUAUGCUUGUGACAACCCGUGGUGAAGAUAAACGAGGGGAGGCUCAUCAAGACGAGGGAUACAAAUUAAGAUGGCAAAAACCUCGUAAAGAUAAGCAAGAGGAAAAUAAUCUUCACCACACAAGAGUGCAACAAGAUGCAACUAUAGAGGACAUGCACUCAAGGCAAAAGCUUUCAUGGAGCCACCAAAGAAAUAACAUAAGAAGACAAGGUGGACGUGAAAGAAAAGAUAUCAACUAGAGAUGUAAUUUCUCUCAAGUGUAUAAGGUUCUAUGUAGACGAAAUCAUGAUGAUAUAUAUAUCUACAAAGAAGGAUGUACACCCGAAAUAGUUACAACAUGAAGGAACAAGAUAUCCACAAGGAAGUCAUAAAUAUACCAAUAAGAUAUUUGCUUGAAAGCAUAGCACAUGGCUAGAUAUGGUCUUAUUGUAUAUAAAUGAAGUCCAAACACACAUCCAUCAGAGGCAUCACAACUAGCAACAAGAGAUCAUCGUUGGGAUGCUUUGAGAAAGGAAACACGUAUCACAAGAUGUGAAAUGAAUAUCAUGCCAAGAUGCAACCUACACAAGGUUGAAUGCAAGAGGAGAAAGCAUGAAUAGAUACUUGUUACCGAGAUAUCAUUGGAAGGAUGUAGUAGAUACCAAUUGAAGGUAGAUAGUAGUUCAGUGAUCAUCCUAGCUUGACUCCAAUAUGCACAUGGUGACAACACCUUCCUUAUGAGUGAGCCGAGCAUCCAAUGCAUCUCCAAAUGUUCCUAGAAGAACAACACAAACUAAACGGUACCCAAACUCAUCAGGACCAAAUAGUUAGAAACACCAAUACAUAGGACAAACUCCACAUAAAUAUGUGCAUAUAGAUAUGAAAAUGAAUUUCAUGCACAUCUCAUCCAAAUUGAGACUAGGUGGAGUUUCCCCUAUAUAUUGAGUCAAAGAAAGAAAGCAUGCCAAAUGAAAUACAUGAAGUAAACAUGCAUGCUCAAGACUUUCAAAACCCGAAACCAAAAACAAAGAAAUGCCAAGUGAAGAGGAUACCAAAUGGAGAAAUCAUCACUUGGAAGAUAUCAUUAAAGAUACAUCAAGGAAUGAGAUAUCCAUUGAUACACACUAAACUAAAGAUGUCAAACUCCCAAAGAGAGGAUGGUUCCAAACAAACCAGGCUCUCAACAAAGUUUCAUGAUGGCACAAAGUACCAAAAAGAAAUGGCUUGCCUUCCACCAAAACACACUUGAUAAGGAUCACAAGAAGAGUGUUCUAAAGAAAAUAGGAUAGCUCCCCCACGAGUUGUGCAUUAUAUAGGAUUUGCAUUUGAAUACAAAAUGCACAAGGUGGGAUCACCACUUUCACUAUAUCUAUAAAACACUAGACAAGAACAAGAAAUAAACAAGAUCCACAAGUGGUAGGGAAGACAAUGGGAGUUGACACAAACCUUGGCAAGAGAAAAAGGCAAAUAAACAAAAGCCAAUGUAAAGAUGAUCAAUUAAAUUCUACCACACAUAAGUGAUUACCAAUUGUCAAAAGACAAGAAGUAUUUGGAAAUAAUUCCCGGUGGUAGAUAGCAAGGAUAUCCGACAUCAUCUUCACUCCAAACAAAAAGCAAAUUGCAACUUGUAGAGCUAACAUGCCACCUAGGAACAAGAUAAUUUACAAUAUCAAUUCUAGGUGACAAUAUCUCAAAUGUACACAUUUUCUAGGCUUGUACUAUGCACUUACCAUAUUACUCCCCCAUAAUGUGAUACCAAUAAGAACUUAACAAGAGGCAAUAAGAGGAUCCAACACGAGAUAAUCAAUGGAAUUUUUAGAAUUUGAAUUUCUCAUGAGAGAUAUACCACCUAGCGACUAGAUAAUCUUGUAAUAUCAAUUCUAGAUGGUAUUCCUCAUGUACACACAUUUAUAGGAUUGUGAGGUGCACAAAGCACAUCACUCCCCCAAAAUGGGAUGUUCCAUUGAUCUCUCACACGAGCCAACUAGGAUACAAACAGGAAGCAAAAAGGCUCAACGCACGACGCACAUGUACAUGAUGUGCAAACCAACACACACAUACUUGAUUGCUCAAGAUAAGCAAGUUGGAAGCGCAACAUAUACAAACACAUGCAAGGAACAAAACCAAAACAUGCAAGGGGGCAAGUAACUUUCAAGGUAAACAAUUUAAGUACAAGUUACCGCAAGGAGGCACAUUGGAUAUAAGAUAGAAACUUGAUAAUCCAAUUGACUUGGCUUGAGACAAAGAGAAUGAUGAAGUCCCCUUAAUUCUUCAUAAUGUAGCCAAGUCUCCAAUGCCCUCCAACAACACCUAUUGAUCAAGUUUGAGGUUGUUGCUCCCUAACCAAGUUGGGUCCUAAGAGGUUAGUCACAAUAGGUUUGGCUACCCAAAUGGUUCUUUGCUUGACACCACUUUGAGUACCAACAAACUUGGCAAACACAUUGCCAACCUUAUCCUUACCAAGAGAAUAGAUAUUAUCAAUAAUAAUUGGGUUGGAUAAGUUACCACGAUUGCAUGGAGAAGCGACGUGACCUUUCUCACGACAUAAGUAGGAAUGUCUACUCUUCACUUUCCUCUCACUUGAUUUCUCAAUUUGAGAAGCAUUAACUUGAGUCUUCUUGGGAAGAGGCCUUUCUUCAACUUGAUGUUGAGCAUGAGAUUGAACUUGUGCCCUCUUCCCUUGUUGCUUGACACUAAUGGCCUUCUUCUUCAAUGGGCAAGAUCUAACAUGAUGCCCUUCGACUUUGCACUUGAAGCAAACAAUCUUGGCCGAAUUCUUGACUUGUUCUUGGCCCUUCUUCUUGUUUAACUUGGACUUCUUCUUCUUGUUGGAGUUGAAUCCAAGUCCACCUUUGUCAUUGGGGGAUUUUUGCACACUCAAGAUAUUGUUGAGUGUGGACUUCCCUUCAUGACACUUUUCCAAGUCUUUCUUCAAAGAAGUGACUUGGGCCUUGAGCUCUUUGAUUUCCUCUACAUGGUUAGUCUCAACACAAGUACUAGAGGAAGUAUAAGCUUCAUCGUUAGAGCAACAAGGCAAGGAAAGAAAUUCAUCACAGGAUGUACCAACAUUGUGAGUAGAUGAAUUACAAGGACUAGCACAUGGCAAUAUACUAUUUUGACUAGAAGUAGUGCUAGUAUCCACAUGAGGCUCACUAGAUGUUACCUUAGCAAUCAUGGCCUCAUGAGCUAUCUUUAGCACACUAUGGGAUACUAGAAGAUCAUCAUGAGAGCUUGAGAGCUUUUCAUGACUUUCUUCCAAUUUCCCAUAAUUGCUAGAUAGCACCUCAAGUUGAGCCUGUAGCUCAACAUUCUCCUUCAAAAUGGAUGCUUCACAAGUAAUAGAAUUAGUAGCACAAGAAUCAUCAUUAACAACAAGAGGAGAAGGCAACUUGGCAAGUUCUUUUAAAAAAGAAGCUUCAAGUUGGACAUGAGACUCGGUCAGUUUGAUGAGCUCACCCUUGAUGACCCUUGAGCCAUUUUUGAGGUGCUCAAAAUCCUCAAGGAGUCUAGCAUGAGAAACUUCAAGCUUAGCAUUUUUAGUUUUGAAAUCAUUGGCCACCUCAAGAGCUCUAUCAUGAGAUUCCCUCACUCUAGAUAAUUCUAGAGCAAAAGUCUCCUCAAGAGAUUCGGAGGUGGUUUGUUCAUGUUCAAGAGCUUGAGAUAGCUCUGCGAUCUCAUUUGCGUAAUCACGCCCAUGAGCUUCCAUUUUCUCAAUGGUGACCUCAUGCUCCUCGAGAUGAGAUUCCAACUCCUCAAUAUAUUUGUUGCCCUUAAUGGCAAUGGACAUAAUUUCCAUGAAGUUGGAACGAGCAAUUUUAUUUUUAUGAAGAGCUUUAAAAAUCAUUUCCCCCUUAGUUUUUAAGGAGGCAACAUUAUCAUUCUCUUCAUCAUUAUCCUCACCAUCAUUAGCAUCAACAUCAUCAUCAAGAGACAUGGGGUACAAAGUAGGAGAUACCUUUGACGCCUUAGCCAUAAGGCAAAAAGCAAUGGAUGAUGGUGUAGGAUCCCUUGAGGCACCAUUAAACAUCACAUUUUGUUCCAUGGAGUGUUGGAUUUCCUCUACAUUGUUAGCACAACAAUUCGAGGAAAUAGAUGCAUUUUUAUCAUGGCAACAAGACAUAGCAAGCAUAUCAUCAUGAGAUUUAGUCAAGCAAUUUCUACAUGAUAUGCAAGGACUAUCAACACAAGCAUGUGAAACAUUUGGAGUGCUCGAAGUGUUAAAGCCCAAAGAAGGAGCAUUGCAAUAAUAUAGUGAUGAAGGAUCAUCCACAAUAAGCAUACUAUCAUCAUUGCAAUGACCAACACUACUCACCAUAUCAUUACCUUGUGGCAAACCACAUGUAGGUGAAGUAGAAGAAGUUGAGAAGACUAUACAACCGGAGGUGGAGGGAGAACAAUCAUCCCCACAAAUAUUGGACACACCAUAUUUAUCUUGAAGCUUUGUCCACAACUCAUGAGCAUCCCGGAACGGCAUGAGUUGAAAAAUAACUACAUUACUCAAAGCAUCAAAAAGCACAUUAGAAGCUUGAGCAUUGAGAUAAGAGUUUUUCUCAUCCUCUAAAGAUAAUCUUUGGGGAUCCUUUGGAGGAGAAAAACCCAUAUCUACAAUUCGCUCUAAAUUUGGGUCCAUGACCCUAAAGAGAUUAAGCAUGCGAAUUACCCAAACAUCAAAAUUUGUGCCAUUGAAACUAAGAGUGUCAUAGAAUCCUAAUCCCCUAGUCGACAUCUAUACUCUCUAGGCGGUUAAGCCUAACAAAGAGAGACGAGGCUCUGAUACCAAUUGAAAUAUCGAGGAUGUCGCCUAGAGGGGGGGGUGAAUAGGCGCUUUAAAAUAAUUACGGUUUAGGCUUGAACAAAUGCGGAAUAAACCUAGCGGUUAAUUUGUCAAGCACAAAACCUACAACAACUAGGCUCACCUAUGUGCACUAACAACUUAUGCUAAGCAAGAUAAGCAACUAUGUGAUAGCAAGAUAUAGACAAAGAACAAUAUGGCUAUCAAAAAGUAAAGUGCAUAAGUAAAGGGGCUCGGGUAAGAGAUAAUUGAGGCACGCGGAGACGAUGAUGUAUCCCGAAGUUCACACCCUUGCGGAUGCUAAUCUCCGUUUGGAGCGGUGUGGAGGCACAAUGCUCCCCAAGAAGCCACUAGGGCCACCGUAAUCUCCUCACGCCCUCGCACAAUGCAAGAUGUCGUGAUUCCACUAAGGGACCCUUGAGGGCGGUCACCGAACCCGUACAAAUGGCGACCCUUGGGGGCGGUCACCGAACCCGUACACUUUGGCAACCCUUGGUGGCGGUCACCGGUACCCGUCAAAUUGCUCGGGGCGAUCUCCACAACCUAAUUGGAGACCCUGACGCUUGCCCGGAGCUUUACACCACAAUGAUUGAGCUCCGAACACCACCAACCGUCUAGGGCACCAAGGCACCAAAGAGGAACAAGCUCUAGGGUGCCCAAACACCCAAGAGUAAUAAGCUUCUCAAACUUCACUUCCACGUAUCACCGUGAAGAACUCAAACCGAUGCACCAAAUGCAAUGGCAAGGGCACACGGAGUGCCCAAGUCCUUCUCUCCCAAAUCCCACCAAAGCAACUAAUACUAGGGAGGAAAAUGAGAGGAAGAACGAAAGAAAAACACGAAGAACUCCAAGAUCUAGAUCCAAGGGGUUCCCCUCACUUAGAGGAGAAAGUGAUUGGUGGAAACGUGGAUCUAGAUCUCCUCUCUCUUUUCCCUCAAGAACUAGCAAGAAUCCAUGGAGGGAUUGAGAGUUAGCAAGCUCGAAGAAGGUCAACAAUGGGGGAAGAACAUGAGCUCAAAGGAUAAGGUUCAUUGGGGAAGAAGACCCCCUUUUAUAGGACCUCCCGAAUCCAACCGUUAUGUGCUCAGGUCGUGCACAAGCGGUACUACCGCUUGAAGGAGCGGUACUAGCGCCUAGCACGGUCAAAACAGCCCAAUCGAGAGAGAAAACACGAGUUUUUGGUCCGGGGCGGUACUACCGCUUAGGAGCCACGAUAGUACUGCUCUGGAGCGGUACUACCGCUCAAGAACCGCGGUACUACCGCUCUGGAGCGGUAGUAAAAAAAUUCAUCCGCUCUAGUCGCGGUAGUACCGCUGCAGCCUUUACCAAAACAGCCACAACUUUUGCAAAUGGACUCCGAAUUCAACGAAACCAAGUUUGUUGGAAAGCUAACGACAUGGGCUAACACAAUAUUUAUAGAAAUAUCAAGAAUAAGCAAAUAAGAAAAGUCCCAUAAGAAAAUGGUGAGAAUCCUUCAUCGGAUAAGACCGGUAAAACCUCCAACACCGAAAACAUCAUAGAAGACGCAUGCGAACUCCGUUUUCGAUGAACUCAAGCUUGUCAUCAAGAUGACCAUAAGCUCUAAGACUCACAAAGAUAACCAAACAAGAACCAAGAAACAUGAUGCAAGGAUGCAAUGGUUUGAGCUCUCUACUAACGAUACGAUCAAGCUACCAACUUGAGAGCCCCCCUUGAUAGUAUGGCAAACGAUCCUAUAACUCGGUCUCCCAACUACCACCACAAGACCGGUAAAAUAGAAAACCUAUCAAGGGAAAACCUUUGCCUUGCACAUGGUCCACUUGAGCUAGAUGAAGAUGAUCUUGACUCCCUCAAGUUGGACCACCUUUCUCGAUUGCGUUGGCUCGAUGAAGACUAGAUGAUUGCUCCCCCAUAGUUCAUUAUGGGUGAGCCACUCUUCGCACAUCUUCACAAGUCCAUUGACACCACAAUGGAUGGCAAGAUUCAAGCACUUGAUCUCUUCGUGAUGCUCCACCUGAACUUGCACACGGCAAUCUUGAUGACGAUCACCACUUGAUGUCAUCCUUUCCAUGGGUUGUAUGAUAUCUUCCUCUUGACGCAAGCCCAUGGAUACGUACCUAACCCCACAUACAACUCUCACAUAGACCAUGGGUUAGUACAUAAAGUGCAAUGGACAAUGCUUACCAUACCAUGGGAUCACUUGAUCCCUCUCGGUACAUCUUCUACGCUUUGUGAGUUGAUCAGCUUGAUUCACUCUUGACUUAGUCUUGAUCAACCUUGAAUCUUUGCAACUCUCUUCAUUUGGAUGAUAUCUUGAAGGUAAACAUGAAUGAUCACACAACCUUCUUCUUCAAGACAUGCUUGCAAUAAGCUCAACACUCAUAUGACCAAUCUUUGGAUAAUUCCUUAAUAGCACCUUGGUCAUCACAAACUCUCAUUGAAACCAACAAAUGGACUCCAAGAAAAGCCUAUGGGCAAACCCUUCAAAUAUAACUCAAGGCAACCAUUAGUCCAUAGAGAUUGUCAUCAAUUACCAAAACCACACAUGGGGGCACCACAUGUCCUUUCAGGAAUCUACCCUCAACUCCUAUUGUUCGGGUUCAGGCCAAGCUAUUAACAAAUACAAGUCGGCGCUGUUCUUUGGCAGACACUGCCCCACAAGUGUCAAGGACAGGAUUAAGGCACAGUUGGGCAUCACCAACGAAUCCUUUCAUGACUCAUAUUUGGGUAUGCCAACGGAGGUUGGUAACUCUCCUACUAGUACCUUCAAGUUUCUUAUUGAUAAGGCGUGGCAGAACAUAUUUGGUUGGUCUGAUUGGCCUGUGUCUAGAGCUGGCACUGAAACUUUACUCAAAUCAAAGACCCAAGCUAUCUCCGCCUUCAUUGCAAGCUGUUUCCGUUUGCCGGUGGCUAUCUGUGAGAAGUUCAGGCAAAUCAUGUCUGAUCAAUGGUGGGGUCACGAGGAUGGCAAGAAGAAAAUGCAUUGGCGCUCUUGGGAGUGGCUUUCUACGCCGAAAUCCCUCGGGGGCAUGGGUUUCAGGGAUAUGGCGCUCUUCAACCAAGCUAUGUUGGGCAAACAAGGUUGGAGGCUACUGACUGACCCUGGAUCUUUGUGUGCUCGGGUUUUAAAGGGAAGGUAUUUUCCGUUUGGUGAUUUCUGGAAUGCUUCUGCUCCUAGUUCUGCCUCGGCCACUUGGCGUGCUAUUCUUCAUGGGCGGGACCUACUCAAGAAGGGUGUGCAAUGGGGGAUAGGGGAUGGCAGGAGUACUCUCAGUGUCAAAGAUCACUGGAUUCCUUCCACUCCUCCGGCUAUGCUUCAAACUCUUUCACCCAUCCCAAGCUCGGCUACAGUCCAUUGUUUGCUUGAUGAGGAGAGCGGGGGCUGGAACGAGGAAUCCGUGCAUGCUUUCUUCCCCGAUGAAGUGGCUAAUGACAUUCUCAAUAUUCAUGUGAAUCUAGAGGGAGGUCCGGACUUCGUGCGCUGGCCAUUCACAAAAUAUGGUCAAUACUCCAUUCGCUCAGCAUACAAUAUGGCCAGGACGAACAUGUUUCUGUUGGCGCGAAGUGGAAAUGGUGAGGGUCAGCACUCAGGUUGGCCUUUGGAGGAUAAGCUGUGGAAGAAGAUUUGGAACAUCAAGGUUCCGAACAAAAUGAAAUCUUGCUGUGGAGAUUUGUUUACAAUUGCUUGCCAUCGGGAGAACAACUACAGCGACGCCAUGUCCCAACGAGGACGGAUUGUGUGUUCUGUGGCCGGGCUGAAGGCAUCGAGCACGCGUUGCUCUUCUGUGGCCAUGCUAGAUUAGUCUGGGAGGAGAUCAAGGAUGUUUUUGGUCUCAAGCUGGGUCGUUCCUCAUUCACUUCUCCUAGGCAGUGGUUUUUUGAGCUGAUUGGCCGGUGUUCUGACAGGGAUAUCUCCGUCAUCACGGUCACAUUUUGGCACAUGUGGGAGGCCCGCAAUGCUGCUCGCAACAAUCCGGAUCCCCCUCAUCCAAAGCAGACUGCUGCGAGGUCAAGAGCUUAUGUGGAUAUGAUCUUCCAGCACCUCUUCAAGCCGGCUGCUGGCUCUGGGCGUGAAUCUUCGGGGACUGGCUUUCGUUGGACUCCGCCACCGCAGGGUACGUUGUUGGUGUCGUCUGACGCUGUGGUUUCUUCCGACAGUGCUUCUUCUGUGGCGGGGGUGGUGGUCCAGGAUCAUUCUGGCCAGUGUGUGGCGGCUGCCUCCGAACCCUUGCCCGGUGUCUCGUCCCCGGAGUUGGCUGAGCCCUUGGCGCUCCGCCGGGCGGUGCUACUGGCGGGCGAGAAGAAUUAUGGCCGGGUGAUCUUUCAGUCCGAUUGCCUCUCGGUGGUUCAAAGGAUUCAUUCUCCGAUCCUGGACCGGUCCAUGGUGGGUUCGAUCAUCGCUGAUAUCAAGAUGGCCUGUCGAGCUUUGUCUCGGUCUCUUUUAUGCAUGUUCGUCGGCAUUGUAAUAUUUUAGCUCAUGUUCUAGCUAGAUCUAGUCUGAACUCUGUGAGUCUUUGUGUUUUUCAUUCUGCUCCGGAUUGCAUCCAGGAGUCUCUGUGUAAUUUGUUUGCUUGAUUAAUAAAGGCUAACGUUCUCUCAAAAAAAAAAACUCUGGUUUGAUCUGGUUAUAUGAAAAUUCAGGUGGGCAGUUUUUCUGCCUCCCGGUGACGUUUCAAAAAAAAAGGACUACUGCGUAAAGCUCAUGGAGAUGGCACAACUCCACCACGUCCGGGUAGUGCGCUGAUGGUUCCUAUCUUCUUGUUUCCUUAAUGCUAGUUAGCUGGGCAUAUCAGCGAAAUGGUGAAAUUUACUUUAAGUUAUCCUUUUAUUCUAUAGCUAUAUGCUUGUGUUGCUACCGGAAUAUUAGUGAGCAUAUAUUGUCAAACCUUGUGUGUUUGUCUCCUUGGCAAAAUUAAUUUUCUGUUCAUGCCAAAUGGUUGUAUACACUUGUUGUAACAUUAAACUGAUGCUUUCCCUUUAUUCUGUAAUUAUUAUGUUCAUUAGAAUGAUCAUUUUUAUUUAUCUGAAAGUAAUGACUAUAUGCAAUCUAAUUUGCGGCACUGAAGAAGUAUAGAUGUUCUCCUCAAUACAAAAUUAUAUGUUUCAAGGUAGAUACACUAUUUUCAGAUAUGGAUAUGCGUGUGAGCUUGUUGAAUCAACAUAUAGGCAUACGUGCUAGUAGGUUCACAGUGUACAUCAAAUUCAUUUAUAGAACAGAAAAACUUCACAAUAUGCAUCAACUAUCCUAUCUUGACUUGAGGAUAAAAACCUGAAGAAAUGUGAACAAGAACCAACUAACCCAAUCUACUUGACUUGAACAAAGCUCCACAAUCUCUCUUCCUUUUGCCGUCCUACUGAUCGUCUUCCGCCAGUGUUGACAGCAAUGUCUGUGCAUUUUCCUUUUGGUCCAUUGUCAAUGAAUGAAAGGAUAACUUCAACACAAGCAUAUAUAGCAGAAUAUAAGGAUGCAGAUAGGCAGAGCACAUAGCUAUGUGCUUGUGUUGCAGCCAGCAGAUGAGCAGACAUGCUUUGUACUUUUGCAAAGAUGCGGCCAGCAGGUCAAUGUCGAGUAACUAGGCCACAUCCAGCGGAACCGAGCUGAGGAGGUGGCCAUGGUCGAAACGCCGGCAGUUAGCGGCAUAGCGAGCGCCGGUGGCUGCCGGGGUGCCAAGGAGCCUGAUCAUGGACGACAGGGACAGUAGCAGGGCCAGAGCUUCGGUGCUUCCGCGGCAAAACGAGCUUCCGGCGGCAGCAACGAGCGAAAGUGGACGCCGGAGAAGGUUUUUUUUUUUUUUUGGAGCUUAUGGCGGCGACAAGCAAGCAUGAACGCCGGAAAAGAAAGGGGAUCCGGAUUUGAUAGAUGGGGCGGCUGGAUGUUUGCAAUGGGAAUGGGGUUAGUUUUUUGUUAUUACUGGAAUUAGAGGAUUAAUGGCAGGCUGCGUUGAGAUUUCUUUUGUCAAGUGUCCUAUGCUGAAGAGGGUCGCAUGGUUGGAGCGUACGACCCGGGUCAGAGAAUUGCUGGCAGCUUAGUAUUAUUAGAAAAAAAUAAGAAGCUUGCAAAACACCGCGAUCGAAGUACAGAGGUCAAAAUAAAUAGAAUAAUGAUCAAUGGAAAAAGAAAAAAAUCCUUUAGCUGGAUAAGGGGCGCUUAUUUUCCAGGCAACUCAAGAUCACAUUAAAUUCAAACCAAGAAACUUCCAGAUGAAAUUCGGAGUGACACCCUUGCAACGAAUCCAAAGAAACAAACUGUACAGUUCGUCAGUGGUGACUUUAGCUGCAUAUGUAGAAGUAUCUGGUGGCCACAAAAAAACUGAGAGGCACCUAUGUUAUGUUAACCAGAACAAUUCAGAAAAAUGAAGUGGCAAUAUGAGGGAAACUAGUAUACUCUUUCAUAAUCCAGAUAGCUUUACUGAACUGCAAAAACUAAACUUUUACUGCAUGGAUCACAUAAAAACAAUGAAGAGUUCCGUUUCACGAGAUCAGAAUAUCACUCCAUCAGAUUUUGAAAAGGCGCAUUUCGAACAAGAAAUAGGCCAAAAAAGAUAAGAGAUCAAUCACAUAUGGGACAGAAUAUUCCAAGAAAAAUCGUCAAGCAGUGGGCUUUUUUGGGAAUAGAAAUGACAGAUACAAAACGAAAUUGUGUAGAAACAAAUGAAAUUACCCAUAUGCAGCUAUCGCGGAUACAUUACCUGACUUUUCUCAUAAGCUGCUAGAUUAUGUCGGCAGAGCGAGAUCCACGAGCCGGCGCAAUAAUCGCCUUGCCAGGGCAAAUCCAGCUUCGGGCAGCACAGGAGGGGAGCUAAACAGAGGGGCGCACCGCACACGAAUCCACAUUAGGCUUUGUUCAGUUGAUGGGGCUCUAAUACCCUUGGGGAUUUCUGUCCACCCAGCAGUAGGGUGAUCCCCACUCCCUCACCCAUUCCCUGUAGGGAUUAAACCUCCAUAUUCUUCCCAAUCCCUCUCUCAAUUUUUGUACGGUUAACCCCUCCCUCAACUAUGUACCUAUUUCUUAUAGGAUUGCGCUUGUGUAGCUAACAUACACAGAGACUUCACUGAACAUAUGCUUGUACAAUAGAAGUACUACUAACUGAAAAUUAAAUUUACAAAUGCCUGCUCCUGAUCUCAAAGUAGUUCAUGUGAAGAGACCAUUUGUAAAUGUCUCUAAUUAAAAUCUAACAGCUGGCAUUCAAAAUGUAAGUUCUUCAUAUAGGUAAAACAGAUUAUCUCAAAAGUGAUAGCCAAGAACUCGAAGUUUUAUCAUUCUUCGUAUGAGCCAGAUAUUAAACUGAGCAGAUAACAAAGGCAACUAGUGAGCAACCGUAGAUUCAUAUAUACUUAUAUCAGACGGGACAACCAAUACACUUGUAGACAUACAUUUUAUACAACAAACUGCUUACCCCAAAAGAUCUCUGGAAACACAAAGGCAUGGCAACCUCAUCUAAGGUCACUAUUUAGCAAAAGUAACUAGAUAGAAGCUAACCCAGGAUGGGCACUAUACUACAAAUUUAGCAUGACUUAGUUGCCUUCUCCAACCCAACAUAAGACAUUUGCCUCCAAAGAUCAAUCGGAACGGAAGGAUAAGCAGUAGCUCAUACCAGAUUGGCGUACUA